This 114442-nucleotide long non-coding RNA is filed under the name Olea europaea (common olive). Its description in RNAcentral is "long non-coding RNA (OEUR_LNC001754)". The record is from RNAcentral. Lineage: Eukaryota; Viridiplantae; Streptophyta; Magnoliopsida; Lamiales; Oleaceae.
AAGAUUGAUUCUUUCAAUGCACCCUAUUAUGCUCCAUCUGCUCAGGAAGUGAGAUCUGUAGUAGAAGAAGAAGGUUCGUUCACAAUUAAUUGUCUUGAGGCCUUCGAGAUUGAAUGGGAUGGGGGUGCUCCAAGCAAUAAUAAUUUCCAAAAACACAUUGAUAAAAUCGAAAAAGAUAAUUUUUCAAGGGGACAGCAAGUGGCUAAAACAAUUAGGGCUGUGGUUGAAUCAAUGCUGGAAGUCCAUUUUGGAAGAAAAAUCAUAGAUGAAUUGUUUAAAAGAUAUGCUCAGGUGGUUGGUGAUUACUUUUCCAGAACUAGUGCAAAAAACAUUGACUUGGUAAUUUCUUUGACCAAAAAGGGUUAAUUGAAGUAAUCACUGAGGAAAUUAUGCAUAAUGUUUACUUGUUUUACUGAAUAAUGUUUUUUAUUUAUCCGUUAUGAGUGACAUGAACAUGUUCUUCGGUAUCCUCAUGGAUACUCGUAUGAUUCGAAAAGUUCCUAUUUUUAAUUGAAUACUUUCUCUAAUCUAGAAUGUUGAUGUAAUAUUUAUGACAAUAAUUAGUUUGCAACUUUCCCCAAAGAAUGAUAAUCUUGAUUUUCUAAUUUUUAUGACGCAUGUUAUAAUAUGUUUUUCCUUUUACAAAUUUAGCUCUCUUUUCAGGGGCUAUAUGCAUGGAAAGUUUUUUGCUAUAUUUUGUUGAAGUGGCAACUUAUUUAUUUUUUAGCAUUAGUGAUCACACAUCAUUAACAAAGCCCGCAAAGAACCGCCUACAAAGCAAGAGCUCCUAAGAGUUAAUUUAUUUAUUUUUUCAAAAGAAUAGAAAUUUUGAAAGAAAAUAUGAUACGUAGUCAAGUUGUUUCGACUUGGUUGCUUGCUAAUAAAUUUUUAAAUAAAAUGAAAAUUUCAUUUUUCAACAAGAUUUGGUGUUAGAUGUUCGUAAAACCAUCCUAAACUUUGAGGUUAAUAACAAUCUUGUUGUUUUAAUACAAUAUUAGAUAUCAGGAUGUCUAAUGGAAUGUAUAAUGAGGCCUAGGAUCGGUACGAAUGUGGUUUGUAAUAAGGUUGAUGAUUAUCAGUUUCGAAGAUGAUGUUGACAAAAUAAAAAAAAAUUGAGUACUUUAAUUGCUAUGAAUAUUAGUCCAUGCAAUGGAUUCUGAACGCAAUAAUAUGUGGCUAUAUAUUUUUCUCCAUUCCAAGCUAAGUUCGACUUCUUGCAAUGUGACGAUACAAAUUUUGAAUUAUUUUCCUUCAAAUUGAUUAAUUUUCUCUUUCUUAACCAAAGAUACGACAAUCCUAUCCAAGAGGAUAUAGGUGAAUUAUUUAUUGUCGUAAGAUUUUCUUUCUUGAUUAAUUAGUAAUUUUUCUUUCUGUUUAUUUAUUUUUGGUUUAUUAAUUCUACUUCUCUUUGAAGUUUAGUUUUCUUUUGUUUUAUGAUAUUGUUUCCUUAGACCAUUAGGAUUAGGACUUUAGUUAUUUCUUUGCCUAUAUAAGAAGGGGUUUAGCACUCUUUGUACUAACCAAUUCAUUAUAAUUAGAUUCUCUAUAAAAUUUUGAGCUUUUUCAACAGUCUUCUUCUUCCAAGAUUUUUAAUUUCACUUCUGCACCAACGUCAAAACAACUUUUGCAUAUUCACUAGGUAGGCUUCAUGACACGUCAACUUUGAUAUGUUCCUUAUUUUCUUGAAGUCUAAAUGGCACAAACUAGUAGAUUUUCAUUAAAAGGGUUGCGUAAUUCGAUGAACAUGACAAAUAUCUUGGUUUACUUUUGGUGGUUAGUUGAAACCAAAAAAAGGAAAAAAAAAAGAAAAAAAAAGGAACAUUUGCAAGAAUAAACGAUAAACCCUAGAGUAAGGUAAAGGUUGGAAUAGGGGUUUGUUUUUGGUGAAGGGCGUAGAGAACCCAGUAAAAGCUGUUUUACAAUUAGUGUCUACCUAUGUGAUGAGCAUUGAUAAGUGUUACACUAAUCUUGGUCAUCAAAAAGGGACUUUGGGAGUACUUAUAUUAUUUUGAUACCUAUAUUAUGUUUAAUUCAGGAAAAACUUGGAUUGAACAAGUUUGGAUAAAUUGUGUUAGAUUAAAAUUGGCAAUUCAGUGAACAAAAAAGACUAAAUUGAAAAUGUGUAAAAGUCCAAGAGUGAGGUGCAAUUAGGUAUAGAUAUGUUAGGUAGGUUAGGGUUCAAGCUUGGAAUAAGAAAAGAAGAGUCAUCGCAAUUUCGCUUUCUUCUCGUCAAGACCUGCUCAAGCGAUAAAAACAUAAUGGACUUUGUUAGCUUGUUGUUAGGACGUUGCAAUAACGAAACAAUGUCGCUCACAAUUCGCUGGGUUAUAGCUCGAUCAAUAGUAUAUACUAAAAAACCCUAAUUUGUAAUUUUUGAGAAUUUUAAUAGGCCCAUACUACCCAAAACAUCUGCACCGCUUCAUGAAAAACCUUGGAUUGAGCAUUGUGAGAAAACACAUAUACUAUUUAUAUAUCAUUCAAUUCAUUCAUCCUUGGGUGUUGCAAUUGAAAAACAUCAAAACUCAUAAAAUCAAACAUAAAAAAUCCAUACUUCAAGAGUAUUUGUCAAAGGUUGAAUAUCGAGGAAGGUGAUCGGAGUUCCGGUUAAUGGAGAACAAGGAGUUCUCCACAGGAGAUAAACAUAUUUUUGGUUUAUUAAUUCUACUUCUCUUUGAAUUUUAGUUUUUUUUUGUUUUAUGAUAUUGUUUCCUUAGACCAUUAGGAUUAGGACUUUAGUUAUUUCUUUGCCUAUAUAAGAAGGGGUUUAGCACUCUUUUGUACUAACCAAUUCAUUAUAAUUAAAUUCUCUAUAAAAUUUUGAGCUUUUUCAACAGUCUUCUUCUUCCAAGAUUUUUAAUCUCACUUCUGCACCAACGUCAAAACAACUUUUGCAUAUUCACUAGGUAGGCUUCAUGACGCGUCAACUUUGAUAAGUUCCUUAUUUUCUUGAAGUCUAAAUGGCCCAAACUAGUAUACUUUCAUUAAAAGGGUUGCGUAAUUCGAUGAACAUGACAAAUAUCUUGGUUUACUUUUGGUGGUUAGUUGAAACCAAAAAAAUGAAAAAAAAAAAAAAAAAAGGGAAGAUUUGCAAGAAUAAACGAUAAACCCUAGAGUAAGGUAAAGGUUGGAAUAGGGGUUUGUUUUUGGUGAAGGGCGUAGAGAACCCAGUAAAAGCUGUUUUACAAUUAGUGUCUACCUAUGUGAUGAGCAUUGAUAAGUGUUACACUAAUCUUGGUCAUCAAAAAGGGACUUUGGGAGUACUAAUAUUAUUUUGAUACUUAUAUUAUGAUUAAUUUAGGAAAAACUUGGAUUGAACAAGUUUGGAUAAAUUGUGUUAGAUUAAAAUUGGCAAUUUUGUGAACAAAAAAGACUAAAUUGAAAAUGUGUAAAAGUCCAAGAGUGAGGUGCAAUUAGGUAUAGAUAUGUUAGGUAGGUUAGGGUUCAAGCUUGGAAUAAGAAAAGAAGAGUCAUCACAAUUUCGCUUUCCUCUCGUCAAGACCUGUUCAAGCGAUAAAAACAUAAUGGACUUUGUUAGCUUGUUGUUAGGACGUUGCAAUAACGAAACAAUGUCGCUCACAAUUCGCUGGGUUCUAGCUCGAUCAAUAGUAUAUACUAAAAAACCCUAAUUUGUAAUUUUUGAGAAUUUUAAUAGGCCCAUACUACCCAAAACAUCCAUUAUAUAAACAUCUGCACCGCUUCAUGAAAAACCUUGGAUUGAGCAUUGUGAGAAAACACAUAUACUAUUUAUAUAUCAUUCAAUUCAUUCAUCCUUGGGUGUUGCAAUUGAAAAACAUCAAAACUCAUAAAAUCAAACAUAAAAAAUCCAUACUUCAAGAGUAUUUGUCAAAGGUUGAAUAUCGAGGAAGGUGAUUGGAGUUCCGAUUAAUGGAGAACAAGGAGUUCUCCACAGGAGAUAAACGAAAUAAAAAAAUCGAGAGUUGGUGCAAGAGCACGCAAUCCAGGAGCACUUUGGAAAUUAUAGUCAGGAUGUCAAACAGUACUUGUGUUCGUCGAGUUUGGCAGUACUGUAUGUUGAUUUGUCUAUAGUGGAUACAUACUGGCUUAGGCUCGGAGUUUUUAAUUCCCAAGGGAUUUUCUCUGUCAAUAGAUAUCCUGUGUUAUUUAUUUUCUUGCAAAUUAUUAUACCACGACAAUUCAACAUAGGAUAGAUUGCAUGUGAAUUCAUUUGGACUAAUUAAUAGAUUGACUCGUUGCAAUUAUUAAUAAUUUGUUUAAAUUCUGCAUAAACACCUAUUUACCCCAUUAGGUGUUAGUUGGGUCGAACUAUAUAAUUUUAAAGUGGUAUCAGAGCUUAAAUUGAUUCCUGACCCAAAUUUAGUAUAGAUGAGUCAAUCUCUGUCUAUGCCUUCGUUUUUUGAAGGAAGCAACUAUGCAUACCGAAAGGUCAGAAUAUGAGCAUUCCUUACGUCCCUAGAGGAGUGUAUUUGGGUUAGUGUGCAAAAUGGUUGGUUCAUACUCUCUGUUGUUGUGCCAGUGUAGUUACGCCACAAGUAUUUCACUUUGGACUGAGGAUGAAUUAGCUGAGUGAAAUUGGAACAGUAAAAGACUUCAUGCAUUGUUUAUGGUUGUGUUUCCAGAAGAGUUUAGAAGAAUGUCAAUGCGUGAGACUGCUAAAGAGGUUUGGGACAUUUUAGAGACCAUACACGAGGGAAUGAAUACCAUUAAAAACUCCAAACUGCAGAUGUUGACUUCUAGGUUUGAAAAAAUCAAAAUGACGGAAGAUGAAUCAUUUUAUGAAUUUUAUGCAAAGUUGAAUAACAUAAUAAACUCUAACUUCAGCCUAGGUGAAAAGAUACCUGAAUCCAAGAUUGUCUAAAAAGUCCUUUUAUCCUUUUAUCUAGGUUUGAAGGGAUCCUACAAGUUCUUUUAUCUUGACUGUAUCUAAGUUCUUACUCUCUUCAUAUGAACUCACCAUAUUACAGCUUAAAAAAAAAAGGUCCAAUGCCUUAAACACCUUGAAGAAAGAGAAAUUUGAGUCAACUGAUACUGAGUCACUUAAAGAUGAAGAGACAACUUACUUUGUUUUGAAGUUUCAAAAAGUCCUUAAAAAUAAUGAAACAUCAAGAAAGAACAAAGGGAAUCCCUAAUAAAGUUCUUAAAGACAAGCAUGAUAAGGUUGGUUGUAAUAGUUCUAGUGACAAAACCUGUUCAAUUAGAUGUCAUGAGUGUCAGAGGUUUGCUUACUAUAGGAUCAAAUGUCUUAGCUGUAAUAAGAACUUAAAUAAAGGAAAGGGCAAGACAUUGGUAGUGUCACUAACGGAUGAUGAAACAUAUUCUAGUGAAUAGAGUGAGUCGUAUAGAAGUGAGAUGAAAGGACCUAUCUGGUCUUUAUAUCUAGUGUGAAUCAAACAAGUAGAAGUUCGAGGAAGCAGAAUGAAGUGAGGAUUCUAAGGAAGACUCUGAGGAUAAGACUAAUAUCACAAGGCUUAUCAAUUGUCGUUUAAGGAGAGCUUUGAGAUUAAGAAGGCUGAUAAAGCCCCAUUGAAGAAGGUUGAUGAACUUGAGAGAGAAAAAGAGAGACUCAUAGGUGAUCUUCAGGAUUCGACCAAUAAUCUUAAUGAGUUGAGGUGUGUCAAUGAGAAGUUAGAAGAUAAGGUAAAAACUCUAACAAGUGACUUGGAAAGAUCAAACACUCAACUCCAAUCUUUCUUGAACGGGACUAGGAAACUCUAUAACUUGUUAAGGAUGAAUAAGCCCUCUGGAGAUAGGCAAGGUCUGGAUGUGUUAAGAAUGAUAACUAUGUUACCAGUACAUCCAAGACCAUAUUUGUCCCUGCCUCCAAUAGAUCUAGUAACACUACUAAUCCUAAACCCAAGGACAAGGAUUUCUUAGGACAGAGGACCCUAGAACAUGUAGGACCACAAGCCUAAAAAUCAUUAUCAACAAUCACAUAGUUUUGAACCUAGGUUUAUUCCUACCUGUUAUAAUUGUAGUGUUCUAGGACACACGAGGCCUAGGUGUCAUAAGCUUGACAAUAAAGGUAGAGGUCACGAUAUUUCUAGCCAUGUUAACUUCCUAUUGAAUUAGGUUAGUCACUUGACAGAGAUGCUAACUAAAUUGACUUGGAUUAUCUCAACUUCUAGGAACGUUUGGUUUAAGAAAAGUGAUCUCAUUAGGAGUAAGGGGAAGUUGAAUUGCUUUGUUGCCCAUGUUGCAUUUAAGGCUCAAAAUAACUUCAUGUGGUACCUUGAUAGUGCUUGAUCUAGACAUGUGUGAAAAUAAGGCCAUGUUCUCUAUUCUUGAUGCAUGUAAUAGUGGUAUAGUUACCUUUGGAGAUGGGGCCACUGCAUCUAUCUUUAGUAAAUGUACCAUCCACAUAUCUGGAUUGCCUGCUAUAUCCAAUGUUCUUUAUGUGGAAGGUCUAAAAUAUAAUUUAUUGAGCAUAAGCCAGAUCUGUGAUGCUGAUUAUGAGGUAAGUUUUGUCCAGAAAAUAUGUACUAUUUAUGACCCUUUAGGUGAUAUUGUCCUUGAAGGAGUCAGGACUUCUAACAAUUGAUAUGGAGUUCUUCCAAAUUCGAACUAUAUGUGUAGCAAUGCUAAGAUUUAUGUAACUGAGCUUUAGCAUCAAAGACUUGGUCAUCUGAACUAUAAGAGUUUGUUGAAAUUAGCUAAAAAGGAACGUAUUGAUGGUUUACCCAAACUUGAAUUAAUUGACAAUGUUGUAUAAGGACCACGUCAACAAGGUAAACAACCUAGGUUACAUCAUAAAUAAAUCUCUAAAAUCUUGACAAAUAGGCCUCUAGAGCUAUUUCAUAUAGACUCAAUGGGACCAUCUAGGACUGAGAGCCUAGAAGGUAAGUGCUAUAUCUUGUUUGUGAUAGAUGAUUUCUCUAGGUAUACAUGGAUUCAAUUUUUGAGAGAAAAAUCUAAAGCAUCUAGUCUGGCCAAAUCCUUGUGCAAGAGGCUUAGUAAUGAACCAAGUCUCACUGUAUGUGGAGUUCGAAGUGACCAUGGAAAGAGUUUGAAAACUCCAACCUUGAAUACUUCUAUAUGGAUGAGGAAAACUAGCAUCAGUUUUCUUUACCUAUCACUCUACGGUAGUCGAGAGGAAAAAUUGAGUACUUCAAGAAAUGGCUAGAACCAUACUUUGCGACAAGAGGCUAGCACUACAUUUCUGGAGGGAAGCCAUUAGCACUGCGUGUCACAUAGUUAACAUAGUAUACCUUAGACCUAAAACUAAUAAGACCCUUUAUGAGAUUUUGAAGGGUAAAAGGCCUACUAUCAAACACUUUUGUGUGUUUGACUAUAAGUGCUACGUUCUAAGGGAUAGAGAGAACUUGGGUAAAUUUGAUUCAUAGAGUGAUGAGGAAAUCUUUCUAGGAUACUCUAGGAACAAUAGAGCCUAUCGUGUAUACAAUUCGCGCACUCAAGUUGUUAUAGAGUUGAUAAAUGUUGUGAUUAACGAGAAUAUCGGUGAGGGGAAGGGUAUGAGAAAUUGGUAUGAGUUGGAUAAUUUAAGAGUUGAUCCGGUAACGAUUACUGAACCUAAAGAACAAACAAUUCUAGAAGCCCCACAUUCUCCUAAAGUCUAAUCAUCCUAAGGAAAUUAUUACUGGGGAUCUAGAAGAAUGAAUGAGACUACGCAAGAGAGUUCUAAACAACCUGACUUACACCAACUAUGUUUCCUAGAUUGAGCCUAAGAACGUUGAGGAAGCCCAUAAACAUGAAUGUUGAGUCAAUGCAAUGCAUGAGGAACUCAAUCAGUUUAUGAGAAAUAAUGUGUGGCAUUUAGUCCCUAGGCUUGAAAAGUGUAAUGUGAUAGGUACCAAGUGGAUAUUUAAGAAUAAAAUCGACAACCAAGGUACCAUAACUAGUAAUAAGGCUAGGUUGGUUGCCCAAUGAUACACUAGGGUGAAGGUGUUGACUUUCAUGAGACAUUUUCUCCAAUUACACGUCUUUAAUCCAUUUGAAUUCUCCUUAUUGUCACUUAUACCCUAGGUUUCAAGCUUUAUUAAAUAGAUGUCAAGAAUGCCUUCUUGAAUGGAAUACUUCAGGAAGAAGUUUAUGUUGAACAACCAAAAUGAUUUAUUGAUCCAAAGUUUUUCUCACUAUGUCUUCAAACUUAAUAAAGCUUUGUGUGGUUUGAAACAAGCUCCUAGAGCUUGGUACGAUAGACUUAAGGCGUACCUCAUGGAACGUAGUUUCUUUAGAGGUGGUGUUGACAGACUUUGUUUAUAUGACAUAUUGAAAAAACCAUCACCAACAUAUAGAUUUAUGUCGAUGACAUAAUUUUUGGCUUUCCCAUUGAUUCUCUUGCUCAUGAAUUUUGCGGGACGCAUGAAACAAUAAUUUGAAAUGAGUAUGAUUGGGAAACUAAGUUAAUUUCUUGGUCUCCAAGUAAAGCAAACAGAUAAUGAGUUGCUUAUCUCUCAAUCAAAGUACGCUGAAGAUCUUGUCAAGAGAUUUGGGCUAAAUAGUAAGAAACACACUAGGACACCCAUGAACAUGAGUGUUAAGUUAGGUCAUGAUCCUAUAGGCAAGAAUGUAGAUCCCACACUUUACAUGAGUAUGAUAGGUAUGCAUCUAUUUCAUCACACUUUGAAGGAGAGUGCGAAAAUAUGGAUGAUGUCACAACCUUUUAGGAGCAUUGUAUCGUGAAAUGACAUGAUUUAAAAAUUUACCAUGAAGUUUUUCCCCCAACUUGAGUUCAUCAAAUCUAGAAUAAAAUCCACACAUUUAAGUAGAAAAACCUCAAAAGCUAUCCAAAAGUAUGGGAAAGGUAUAAAAACUUAUUCAGGAAGUGCCCCAAUCUUAAGAUUCCUAAACAAGCACAAGUAUACAUCUUUUACUAUAGAAUAUGCCAAGAAUUCAAGAAUAUGGUAGAUGCUUUAGCGAGAGGUUAUAAUUUGUAUGAGAGGAUAGCUAAAAAUUAAUCGAUGUGGCAGAGCGAUAGAGAAGUCCAAAGGAAAACAACUGGCAUAUAUAACGUGGACGAUAGCAUUGACAGCACAGAUGGAGGCAAUAACUAGAAAGCAUGACACUUUGACCUAUUCUGUGAAUAUGGUGCAAACUUCAAUUCUGAAGUGCACAGGUUGUGGGGGUAGAUCACAUCACUGCAAGCUGUCCUUUGGCUUCCACCCAUAUAGGUUAGCUAGCAGAGGUCAAUUAUCUGCAGAACUAUCAGAGAUAAAAUGGACCUUACCUACACAACUAUCAUUCGAGUUUGAACAAGAAUCCUAACUACACGUGGGUUGAUAAUUCGAAUUAAGUAAAUCAGAUGAGAGGCAAUCCACCAGCGAUUCAGCAACAAAAAGAAAAGAGAAAAUCACUAAAGGAUCUACUUGUCGAGUACAUCAUCAAAACUGAGAAGGUGAUACCGAAUCAGCAAGCCCCUAUACAUAACUUAUAGAAAUAUGGGGGACAGAUGGCAGCUGCAUUAGCCAACACAGCACAAGGUACUCUGCCAAGUGAUACAGAAAAGAAUCCCAGGGAACAUGUACUAACAAUUGAAGCGGUGAAUUAUACAACUAUUGAGCUCCAAUCACUUAUUCCCACUACCCGUGUCAAAGUUUAUUUUCUACCUAUUCCAUUUCCUCAAAGGCAUUGAAGAAAGCCUAAAGGGAAAAAGGUUUAGACCAUUACAACAAGAAGCAGAGUUCAGUGACCAAAAAUCAUUGCAAAUAUGAAAGAGACACAGAGCACUCAAACUCCCACUAAGGGUAAGGAACCGAUGGAGCAGUCUGAAGAAGCAAUGGAAAAAGAUCAAAUAAUUGUGUCAAAUAGUCCACAGCUUAAGGCAAAUGUUCUUGGCACUACACUGACACAUCUGGUCCCUUUUCCUCAAAGGUUGCAGAAAGCCAACUUGGAGAUGCAAGCUAUGAAAUUCCUGGAGGUCCUCAAAAAUUUUCACGUCAAUAUCCCAUUCAUUGACGCUAUCCUUUAAAUACCAAACUAUUCUAAAUUUUUGAAUGAGAUGCUGACUAAAAAGAGGAAGAUGCAUGAGAAUGAAACAAUAGUACUAUCUGAAGAAUACAGCACAAUCAUCCAGCACAGGAUCCCUCCCAAACUCAAAGAUCUAUGGAGUUUUACUCUACCUUGCUCCAUAAGAAAUUUGAAUGAUAUAAAUUGUUUAAUUGAUUCAGGAGNNNNNNNNNNNNNNNNNNNNNNNNNNNNNNNNNNNNNNNNNNNNNNNNNNNNNNNNNNNNNNNNNNNNNNNNNNNNNNNNNNNNNNNNNNNNNNNNNNNNNNNNNNNNNNNNNNNNNNNNNNNNNNNNNNNNNNNNNNNNNNNNNNNNNNNNNNNNNNNNNNNNNNNNNNNNNNNNNNNNNNNNNNNNNNNNNNNNNNNNNNNNNNNNNNNNNNNNNNNNNNNNNNNNNNNNNNNNNNNNNNNNNNNNNNNNNNNNNNNNNNNNNNNNNNNNNNNNNNNNNNNNNNNNNNNNNNNNNNNNNNNNNNNNNNNNNNNNNNNNNNNNNNNNNNNNNNNNNNNNNNNNNNNNNNNNNNNNNNNNNNNNNNNNNNNNNNNNNNNNNNNNNNNNNNNNNNNNNNNNNNNNNNNNNNNNNNNNNNNNNNNNNNNNNNNNNNNNNNNNNNNNNNNNNNNNNNNNNNNNNNNNNNNNNNNNNNNNNNNNNNNNNNNNNNNNNNNNNNNNNNNNNNNNNNNNNNNNNNNNNNNNNNNNNNNNNNNNNNNNNNNNNNNNNNNNNNNNNNNNNNNNNNNNNNNNNNNNNNNNNNNNNNNNNNNNNNNNNNNNNNNNNNNNNNNNNNNNNNNNNNNNNNNNNNNNNNNNNNNNNNNNNNNNNNNNNNNNNNNNNNNNNNNNNNNNNNNNNNNNNNNNNNNNNNNNNNNNNNNNNNNNNNNNNNNNNNNNNNNNNNNNNNNNNNNNNNNNNNNNNNNNNNNNNNNNNNNNNNNNNNNNNNNNNNNNNNNNNNNNNNNNNNNNNNNNNNNNNNNNNNNNNNNNNNNNNNNNNNNNNNNNNNNNNNNNNNNNNNNNNNNNNNNNNNNNNNNNNNNNNNNNNNNNNNNNNNNNNNNNNNNNNNNNNNNNNNNNNNNNNNNNNNNNNNNNNNNNNNNNNNNNNNNNNNNNNNNNNNNNNNNNNNNNNNNNNNNNNNNNNNNNNNNNNNNNNNNNNNNNNNNNNNNNNNNNNNNNNNNNNNNNNNNNNNNNNNNNNNNNNNNNNNNNNNNNNNNNNNNNNNNNNNNNNNNNNNNNNNNNNNNNNNNNNNNNNNNNNNNNNNNNNNNNNNNNNNNNNNNNNNNNNNNNNNNNNNNNNNNNNNNNNNNNNNNNNNNNNNNNNNNNNNNNNNNNNNNNNNNNNNNNNNNNNNNNNNNNNNNNNNNNNNNNNNNNNNNNNNNNNNNNNNNNNNNNNNNNNNNNNNNNNNNNNNNNNNNNNNNNNNNNNNNNNNNNNNNNNNNNNNNNNNNNNNNNNNNNNNNNNNNNNNNNNNNNNNNNNNNNNNNNNNNNNNNNNNNNNNNNNNNNNNNNNNNNNNNNNNNNNNNNNNNNNNNNNNNNNNNNNNNNAAACUUCUCUUUAAAGCCUUUAUGACUCGAGCAAUUAAGCAUACAAGGGUAUGUUAAAACUUGGUAUCCUAAAGUCAACUAACUUGGGAGUUAUCGGCCUAAAGCUCGUUACAGGGGUCAUUCAGAAAGUAAUCAGAGAUAAAGUGUGGAUGGUGGCUGAAUUUUAUUGAGAGAUACAUACAACUUGGUUGCCGGCAAGGGGAAUUAGAGAAAAACAUUGCAGCCACUAAAAACUCUUACUGAUACCAAAAAGGGGUUGCUUUGGGUAUAUAUAUAUAUAUAUACACAUACAUACCACAUAUGGCAGCCAAGUGGAGAGAAAGGAAGAAUUUUUGGGUUUACUUUGGAGACAAAAAGACAAGCUGCUGGCUGGAAUUGAUUAGUGUUUAUACCCAAAAAAAAAAAAAAUCCUACGGGGAUACCAUUGGGAAUAAAUAAGAGAGAAGAUGGCUGGUGGUUUAUAUCAUAUAUUGAUACAAAGGCAGCUGGAGGAUAGGGAGAGAAGAAGAAAGUGAGGGCUGCUUGGUAGAAGCUGAAUUGAACUUCUCAAACAAUACAAGUGGCGACUGUUGGAAGAAAAACGAGUGGGCAGCUUUUAAGAAUUGGGUGGCUGCAAGAUACAUAAACACGCAACACAAGGCUGGAGUUGAGAAGAAAAAAUAUAUGUUCAAAGAGAAGAUUCGCGGAAGAAAAUGACACACACAGGGAAUAAAUUACGUUCCAUCAAUUUUUCGGUGAUGUCUCUCCAUUUUCACGUGUUUAAUUCCAACAUUAUGUUAGGCUAAGUCUUCUCAUGUACUGGAUGAAGAUGAAACCCUUUGUUAUUUGUUUUUAAUUCGAGACACAUGGCUUAGUUAAAUUUUUGCAAAUCUUGAUUAAUCUUGUAUGCUUAAUUUUAUUGUUUAAUUGUCUGGUCACCAAUUAAAUAUAUGUUCGAUUGUUAUAGUAUUAGGAGGCUCACAAUAGGUCUAGAACACUACUUGAUUAACAUGCGUGUAAUAAAUUUUGGGAAUAAGAUUUAUCACGCGUUCAAUCUUUGAGAUAAUUGUGAAAUUGAAUGCGUUUUAUUCAUUUGAAUUCAGACUAGAAAUAAAUUCGAGUAAUGAAUAGGAUAUAUUUAAUUUGUCUAGGAAAAGAAAAUUAAUUACAACAAAAUUAUCGAUUGUUAAAAAUGCAAGAAGGAAACUAGCUACGUAGUCAAGAAUUAUAAUAGAUAAUAAUAGUUGGAUUCGUACUCUAAUACACUCUUCCCAGAUACUUAUUAAAUUUGCAUUUUACUCGCUUUCAUAGAUUAAUUAAAAAUCACAAAACACUUUUAUUUUGUUUACUUUGAAUCUAAUUAGGACUAGUACACUCAAUUAAAUUUUAUUUCUCAUGGAACGAUACUUUCAACUCAUUAAAUCUAUUACUUGUCAAUGAUCUCAUAUGCUUGCGGGUAUCACACGAACAAGUUUUUGACGCCGUUGCCGAAGAAUAAUUUAUUUAAUUUGAGUUUAUUAUCUAUUUUUAGAUUUGAAGUUUUUAUUCCUUUUUCUUUUUCCUUACUUUACUUGUUUUAGACUAUUCAUUGAAUGAUCUAAAUUUCUCGUUUUCCUCAUUUUAGGAAAUCAUAGUUUAUUCAAAAUUCUAAUGAGUUCGAGCUUCUUCCAAUAGAUUCUAAAAUUGAAAGAGCUUUCAUACAAUGAAGAAGAGGACAGAGACAAACGAGAGACAUUGCAGAAAAUCAACAUCGGAAUCAGGUUUAGAACCCAUUGCCACUAGCUCAAUCAAUUCAGCCAGAUCAGCCGAGGGUAGUGGCAAAUCAUGGAGAAGCUUUAGUGAGAGAUGUAAAUUCAGUGCUAGCACCAAUUCAACAUUCGAUCAUCUAUCCGCCACUGGGACAAGCUAACUUCCACAUUCGACCAGAUUGCAUAAACCUAAUUCAAAAUCAUUAAGAUAUCAUGUUCAGCAAGAAAGCUGCGGAAAAUCCACAUGAACACAUUCAAGUUUUUACCAUGCUGUUUGAUGUAAUUAGCCACGAGGGGAUGUCACGGGACACAUUUCGAAUGCGUCAAUUUUGUCACACGUUGAAGGAAUGUGCGAAAUUAUGGAUGAUGUCACAACCUCUUUGGAGCAUUAUAUCAUGGAAUGAUAUGAUUCAAAAAUUUACCAUGAAGUUUUUCUUGCUAACUCAAGUUCAUCAAAUCUGGAAUGAAAUCCACACAAUUAAUUAGAAAGACCUCAAAAGCUAUCCAGAGGUAUUGGAAAGGUAUAAGAACUUAUUCAGGAAGUGCCCCAAUCUUGACAUUCCUAAACAAACGCAAGUAUACAUCUUUUACUAUGGAAUAUGCCAAGAAUUCAAGAAUAUGGUAGAUGCUUUAGCGAGAGGUUAUGAGCUGUAUGAGAGGAUAGUAGAAAAUCAAUCGAUGUGGUCGAGCGAUAGGGAAGUACAGAGGAAAAAAAUUGGCGUAUAUAAUGUAGACACAGUGACGGCGUUGACAACAUAGAUGGAGGCAAUAACUUGAAAGCAUGAUAAUGUGACCUAUUCUGUGAAUAUGGUACAUACUCUAGCUUCGAAGUACACAGGUUAUGGGGCAAAUCACAUCACUACAAGCUGCCCUUUGGCUUCUAAUCAUAUAGGUCAGCCAGUAGAGGUAAGUUAUCCGCAGAACUGUCAGAGAGAAAAUGGACUUUACCAACACAACUACCAUCCGAGUUUGAACGAGCAUCAUAACUACGCGGGGGCUGAUAAUUCGAAUGAAGUAAAUCAGAUGAGGGGCAAUCCACCAGCGAUUCAGCAACAAGAUGAAAAGAGACAAUCAUUAAAGAAUCUACUUAUCAAUUACGUCAUGAAGACUGAGACGAUGAAACAGAAUCAGCAAGCCUCUAUACAUGACUUAGAGAAACAAGUGGGACAAAUGGCAGCUGCAUUAGCCAACAGAGCAUAAUAUACUCUGCCAAGCAAUACAAAAAGAACCUAAGGAACUAGGUAUUAGCAGUUGAAGCGGUGAAUUAUACAACUAUUGAGCUCCAACCGCUCACUCCCACCACCUCUAUCAAAGCUUAUGUUCUACCUAUUCCAUUUCCUCAAAGGCUUCGAAGAAAGCCAAAAGAGGAAAAUGUUCAUGCCAUUACAACUAGAAGCAGAGUUCAGGGACAAGAAAUCACUACAAAUAUGAAGGAAACAAAGAGCACUCAAUCUCCCACUAAGUGCAAGGAACCGAUAGAGCAGUAUGAAGAAGCAACAGAAAAAGAUCCAAAUAGUUGUUUCAGAUAGUCCACAGUUUAAGGCAAAUGUUCUUGGCACUACACUAACACUUCUAGUCCCUUUUCAUCAAAGGUUGUAGAAAGCCAACUUUGAGAAGCGAGAUAUGAAAUUCCUGGAGUUCCUAAAAAAAUUUCAUGUCAACAUCCCAUUCAUUGACGCAAUCCUUCAAAUACAAAACUAUUCUAAAUUUUUGAAUGAGAUGUUAACAAAAAAGAGAAAGAUGCAUGAGCAUGAAACAAUAGUACUAUUUGAAGUGUGCAGCAUGAUCAUCCAGCAUAGGAUCCCUCCCAAACUUAAAGAUCCAUGAAGUUUCACUCUACCUUGCACCAUAGGAAAUUUAGAUCAUAUAAAUUGUUUAAUUGAUUCAGAAACGAGUAUUAAUUUAAUUCCUUUACCUCUUUAUAGGAAAUUAGGAUGAAGAUAUCCUAAGGCGACAUCUAUUAUCCUUCGUCUUGCGGACUAAUCACUUGAACACCCCUAUGGAAUAGUCAAAGACAUGCUUAUCAAGGCAAGGGAGUUUAUUUUUACAGCUAACUUCAUCAUCCUUGACACAGAAGAGGCAUAUCAGAUGUCAAUAAUCUUAGGAAGGAUGUUCUUGUCUACAAGCCGAGCCUUGCUAGAUUUGGAUACCAAUAAGAUAAUCUUGAGGGUAGAGGAUAAGCGACAACGUUCUACCAUGGAGAAUCCAAUCAAGUAACCAUCAUACUUUGAGGAUUGCCAAUGAGUUGAUUAUUAGGAGAGUUACAAAGGUAAGCCAAUAAAUGUGAAACUGUUGGUAGGGACAGCAAUGGAAACUUAAUUUGUGGAAGAUGAAAGAUAAAAAAAAUGAAGUGCAAUCAGUGCCUAAAAUGCAGAGCUGAAAAUUCUCUCUUUAAGCCACCAUGAAUAGUCAAAACAACAAAAUCUAGCUAAAGACUAUAAAUUAAGCGCUUAUUGGGAGGCAACCUAAUUUCAUUACCAUUUAUUUACCUCAUCUAGAUUUGUUUAGAUUAUUAGUUCGUAUUAGAUUUAGGCACGUUUAAAUUUAUAGGGUAUUAUCAUCCGAUCAUGUUUUCACUAAGGCCCUUAAAUUUAUGUUGGUAAUUUUCGAGUGUUUUGACUAAGUAACCCAUGUUCUAGAUUAUUUGAUCUCUAAUAUUUGAUUUGAUUGAUAUAUGUAGGAAUAUAAUAUCGUGGAACACUCAAACCAAUAUUGACCAAGGGAAAAGCAUGAUGAGAAAGACUGUCUAGCUAUCACCCACAGUACCUUCCACGUUCAACAGAAAAAUAUGGGGAGUACAUUUGUCCUUUUCUUCCCUGUCCCUUUACAUUCUUAAUUAUGGUUUAAGACAUUGAUAACAAUGUAAGGUUUAAAUUUGGAGGUGAGAAAAAUUUUGAGUUUUUGAUUUUCAUAUGGUUAAGACAGUUUGACUAACAAUAAUGACUAAAUUUGAGAUUUUGUAUUGAUUUAUAAACUGUGGAUAGGAAACAUGUUAGAUUGAUUGAAAUUUAAACUUGCAAAAAUUUUUAUUGUACAUGCACUAGAAUUGAGUUUGAUAUUGUGAUGAAAUGAGUUGAUUUAUGUAUUUGAUAUAUUGAUUUAGUUAGAAAUAGAUGCUGUACCCAAACCAUAUUAAUUAUUUAUUCUUAGACCAAAUUUAGCACAGUUUGAGAGUAAUCUUACUGUUGUAGGAUAAUACGAAUGUGAAUGUGGAUUCCUUAUGUGAAAAAGUUUGUGUAGAUUGUCAUAGAUUAACAAGAUAAAAUUGAGCAAAAGUAUUAAAUUGGAGGUCGAUUUGCUUGAAUAGGUGUGUGAUAAGAGACAUUGCAUUGAUCAAGGCAUAUAUUUUGAAAUUUAAAAUUUCUUUCUAAAACUUUUAUGACUCGAGCAAUUAAGCUUACAAGGAUAUAUUAAAAUCUGGUGCCUUAAAAUCAACUGACUUGGGAGUCAUCGACUUAAAACUUGCUACAGGGAUCAUUCAGAAAGCUAUCCAAAAUGAAGUUGCCCUUGAAAAAAAAUUGUUCUCUUCGAAACCUUUUUUACUUGGGUUACAAAGCUUGUAAGGGUGUCUGAAAACUUGGUGCCCUAAAGUCACCUGACUUGGGAGUCAUCGGCUUAAAGCUCGUUUCAUGAGUCAUCUAGAAAGCCUAAGGAAGAGUGAAAAAAGUGAAAAUCAGAAAAAGCAAGUGCAUGAAAAAAGCUAAAGCACUUAUUGCCUUGUUAAGUCCUAAAACUUGUUCGAGGGAAUUUGACUUUCGAUGAAUGAUAAUUAGCCUAGUGAGUCUUGAUGAUCAAAGCAAUCAAAUAAUUGAAGAAUCCUUUAUUCAUUGAUGUAUUAACCUACAACCAAUGACGUCCACCUAAAUUGGAGAGGGUGAGGAUAGUAAUGAAAAAAUUCAAUCUUAAAUUACACGUUGGGAAAGAGUGAAAAGGAAAAAGUUUGGCAGUGUGUGAACCUUAUGAGAGAUGAAAAGAUACAUUUGAUCAUAAAGGGUCAGGAACUGGAACAAUUUGCGAAUUCAUUAAUGUCUACUUAGUCCUUCACACACACACACACACACACACUUCAGUUUUGCAUUGGAAAAUUAGAUAAUGGUUUGCUAUUGUGACUUUAAAGUGGACUCUAGAUUUAAUAUCGUGAUCUCAAAUCUUGAAGUAAAAAGAUAAACUGUCCAAUCAAUUUUUUGUUGCAUGCUUGUGUGUAUGUUGUUAUAGUUUUGUCUGAAAACGAACAAAUUUUUAACUUUGCGGGUAUGAUAAUUGCAAGUUUUGCACUUAUUUAAGCCAUAUUUCUAAAUUCUUACAUCGUCAAAUUAUUAAAUUCUACCUAACUUUGGUUAAUUUUAUUUUUAUUUUUAGUGAUUGACUUGUUUGAAGUAACUGGAAAGGAAGAAGGACAAUAUCGAAUAAAAUCUAUAAUUUGGGAUUAAAUUCCACAAGUUUGAAGUUAAGGAGGACAUUGGAUGCAGAAAUAAAUUUAUAUCAAGGACUAGAUUUCAUUAAAGGGGAAAAGUGGUGCCUUGAUGAGAAAUAUCUUACGAAUUGGGCUUCAAACCAAUUUGAAAAGGAAUGAAAGUAUAUUUGGGCUUGGAUCAUUUUUUUAACUACUUGGUGGAAUUGGAAUCAGCUUCAAAAUAAACUAGAACGAGAAUUUAAGUGGGCUUGUCCAAUGGAUAAAGGGCAGACUUGCUGUUGAAAUAAAGGAGGUUGGUGGCUGAAUUUUAUUGAGAGAUACAUAGGGAUGUCAACAAAUCGAGUCAAGUCGACUCGCGAGUCGAAAUUUUUGGCUCGAGCUCGGCUCGAACUUUUUUAAGGCGGGCUUUUUUUUGGCCUCCGCUUGGCCAAAAAAUUAAGGCUUGACCCUAGAUUUCGGCUCGGGCCUUAACGAGUCGAGCCGUGCCGAGCUUAUUUUCUGGAAUUUUUUAUCCUCAUCUCUUUGCUAAUAGGCAGGAAAACUACUGCCUGUAGGCAGCAAAUCCGCCUGUUAUUAAAUCAAGCUACCUGUUAUUAAAUACUUUUAUUUUGUUUACUUUGAAUCUAAUUAGGGACUAGUACAUUCAAUUAAAUUUUAUUCCUUAUGGAACGAUAUUCUCAAUUCACUAAAUCUAUUACUUAUCAACGAUUCCAUACGCUUGUGAGUAUCACACGAACACUUUGCAAUACUAUCUACCUGAAACUAAAAAUAUUUUAAAUUAAUUUUGCACCACAAUUUAGAUAUGCAUGUCGACACAUUUCUUGUGGGUUGUUUAUUUAUAGUCAUUGAGCUCAUGCAAAAGUAGUGUCUAGAAUAACAAAAUACUCAACUUUCAUUUUUUAGCAAAUUGUUAACCAGACAUUAUUUUUAAAAAAAUGCAGUGUUUCUAUUAUCUAAUUUCAACAAGACAACAGAAGAUUGGGGUAAAUACAUGUAUAUGUCGAAUUAUUUAAAAAAUGCAGUCACUGAGCGAGUUUGGAAAAUGCCCUGUGUACAGGGCAUUUCCUACAGGGGUCUUACCAACCCUUCACUGUAGGGGCGGCCCCACAUGAAAAAAAAAAAGGCCAGGCCCGUGCAUGUGUGUUGUCUGGCAGGACCCCUAUACAUGUAGCACUGUCCAAUGAGUUUUUUCAAGACUUUUUGUCAUCUUGAAUUUUCUUCAUCUGUCAUUAGAAAAUGGCAUCGGCAACCAAUCAGCGUACUUUAUGUGUUUUAAUAAAGAAGAAAAUAUGUGAUUACGAAUAAAAUAAGAAGUAAUAUGCCUUGUGAUCAACGCGAGAAAUUGGAAUACGGAAAAAAUAUAUAUAUUAUUGUGGACUAGAACAAGACAGAAAGGACGAAAGAUUUUAUGCAAAUAUUCUUAGGACAUUUAAGAACGCCAUCAAAAUUCAAAAGGCAUGAUUUCAUAGAUCGAAAAUAUUUCAUAGAACAUUCAAAAGGCAAGAAGUUGACCCAGAGGAAGGAACACCCGGGGUUGGGGGGGUUGGGGACGAUACCUAGUAAAUUUCAAUUUUGUCCUAAUUUAUCUUAUAAAUAUGGAGUUGGUAUUAGACUUUUAUACUACCAUCAUAAAAGAGAGAAAGAGAGGUUAAAGUAUAUAAGUUGUGCGAUUUUCUCUUGUAAACAUUUUUCAUCUUAGUAAAUUAUUGCGUGGACGGAAGAGCAUAUAGUCUCAUAUUGAAGUGAACCGUUUAUAAAUCUUUUGUGUCUUUAUUUCUUUCUACAAUUGAUUAUUUUAUGUAGAAUAGCAUUAUGAUUUCUAAUUCUCACCAAUAAAAAUGUUGAAAAUAAACGUUUCCAGGGAACCAUCGAGAGGGGAGAUUUAUUUACAGUUCUAUUCCUAGUGAGUGAAAGUAGGAAGCGUAAGGAAGAAUGUAGCUAGGUAUUGUGGUCAUCAUUGUGGUCCUUUCUAAUUUCCAACAUUUAACAUGUUGAAAUAAACGUUCCCAAGGUAAGAUUUAUUGGUUAGUGAGAGCUUUAGGUUGAACACAGCAUAGUGAGGGAAUGUAGGAAGCGUUAGAAGGAAUGAAAUUAUCUGAGAGAAAUAAAACAAACAAUAGCCUACAGUGUCCGAAUUUUUUUGACAGAGGGGAUGAUCGACUCUUAUAAGAAUUUUUUUUAAAGACUUUUUUAUUCACGUGGAAACCACGGCAUGUGAGAGGAUGUCAACCAUUCGGGCGAAGCAGCAAAAUUCUAAAACAAAACGCUAUGAUGCAAUGUAAUUUAUUACUUUUAAAUGCCAGUGACUAACAUUUAGCUACAAGUUAGGUAACUUAGAUGACAUUUAGCUAUAAGUUUGGUGACUAAAAAUGAAAUUAUCCCAUUUCAUCUUCUGUGUAUUUAUAAAUAAAAACAACAUACUCUGAAUGCAUUCAUAUCAAUUCUAGAUACCUGUGGAAUGGAAGCAAGAAAGAAAGAGCAUGCACCACAAUUUAGACAUGCAUGUCUACACAUUUCUUGUGGGUUAUUUAUUUAUGGUCAUUGAGCUCAUACAAAACUUGUGUCUAGAUUAACAAAAUACUCGACUUUCAUUUUCUCGCAAAUUGUUAACCAGGCAUUAUUUUUUUUAAAAAUACAGUGUUUCUGUUAUCUAAUUUCAACACGACAACAGAAGAUUGGGGAAAUAGAUAUAUAUGUAGAAUUAUUUAAAAAAUGCAGUCACUGAACGAGUUUUUCCUAGAAUUUUCGUCCUCUCGAAUUUUCUUCAUCUGUCAUUAGAAAAUGGUAUUUAUCAGCAACCAAUCUGACACGACUCGUCCCGACUCAACCUAAUUGACUCGACACGUGUCGUGCGCCGGUAGUAGAUGCCAGCUAAAUUUCGGACCCACCACCAAGGCAAACUUGACCUAUUUUGACUGUGCUAAUUUCUAUGAAAAUUUUGAUAGAAUUUCCCCUGUAACAUGAACAAAACCAACUUGAAAAAUCAUCAAAAUCUCAAAUAGACAUUUAAACCAAAAGUUUUGGAAACCACCACUUCCUCUAGUGCCACCACAACUACUACAAAAUAUAACAAAAUUCAACUGAGUGUUUCUACAACAUCAUCCUGUCAACAUACAAGUAUUACAUCACUUACAAACUCUUCUACAAAUAUGCUUGUCACCCAAAAUUAGACAAUUACCUAAUAAACAUAAGUUUUCCAACUAUUCAUUACAUACUUAUGAAACGGUCUCUUUUGCUUCAGCAGGCUUUCCCAAAUAUCUCAAAAUCGACCUUCUCCUGAUAGGAAAACAUGGUAAAAAGAUAUGAGUUUAUAACUCAGUGAGUGGAUAGUUGAAAAUAAAUAAACUUUUCCAUUUAUGCUAUUUUCUGAAAAUUCUUACACUAUUUAACGUUAAGAACUUCAAAAAAAAUAGUAACACUUUUAAAAGUAUACAUGAUCAUAUCAUAAUUUUUUGGAUAUAAUUCUAGAAAGGCAACUGUAUAACAUAAUAACUAUAAAUACUCUGAUAUCCAUGAAAAAUUAUGAAAUAUUGCUGCCUUAAUACUAUAAGCUGAAAGCUUUAUUCUGAAAGCUGAAUUAACUGAAUUCCAUAAUCUGAAAUCUGAUAAUAGAAUAAAUACUGAAAAAUCACACCAAAAAGAGUACCCAAUGAAUAGAAUAAAUACUGAAAAAUCACACCAAAAAGAGUACCCAAUGAAUAGCCUUACUCAUGUACAGAGUAAUCUCGAUGUACAUGGCAAAGCCAUUCAAAUCUGAUAAUCUGAUAGCUGAUAAUCUGUUAAUCUGGUCAUACGUACGCAGAGCUGCCCCAAAGGCUAAUCACCCUAGUACACGGCCCAAAGCCUAUGUGUGUACGAGAGUGGGUCCCAAAGACCUCUGAUAAUCUGGUCAUACACUAUGGAAACACAUUCACAAUAGUGCAGAGAGGGUAAAAUCACUGUAACUAGUCAUACACUGUGGAAACACAUUCACAUCAGCGCAGACUGGGAUAAAAUCACCUGGGUACUUUCUGAUGGUUUUAAAAUAACUUUAGCUAUACUGAAACAUUUAUAUUCAUAUAACAUGCUAGUCAAAUGAUUUAAUUAAACUGAAUUUAACUUUAAAAGCAAUUGUUAAUAAAAUCCAAUUUAUUCUAAAAAUCAUGCUAUAAAGUCAACUUUAUACAAUAAAUAACUUUAAAAUAUAAUGAAGACUUAUUUAUGAAAAAUAAGUUUUAUCCACUCACAGGGUAUGGGCUACAAGCUAGAUACGCUGAUAGACGUUUCCAAUCGCCUCGUUACCUCCUGAAAUACGAUAACGAUAACCAAUUUAUCCACUAUCAAAUCGAGAAACCUUAAUAUCUAAUAAUAUAACAUAAUUUAAAUGCUCUUGGUACUUAAAUAAAUUCUCAAAUUUUUCUUUAUUAAUUGGAGCUAAUCACACCUUAUAAUCCCUUGGUUAAUCACUAAUUUAUCAACAUAACCAUCAUUUCAAAUUUAAAACUAAUUUUACUCUCCAAUCUAAUGAAACUAGUAAUCACAAUUCCACCCACAUAAUAUACAUUUGUUCCAUAAAAUCAAUUCCCAAGUGAAAUAUUUCAUUUACAUAAUUACUUCACAAUUAAUUAAUUAAAAUCCCCAAAAUCGGAUUCUAGGGUUUUCCCAAAAAUUUGACAUCUCCAUACCUUGCUGAAAAUUUGAAAUGAAUAAAUCCCCACACUUGAGCUCCAAUUUGUGCAAAUAUCCCUAAAAUUCGACAUAUUAUUCAACAAGUUAAAACCCUAAAAAUUUUAACAUAAUUCAUACUUUAUCACCUAAAACAAAUGGAAAAUUUCAACCCAACUUGAAGAUAUCAACCUUACCUCCUUUCCUUUUCUUUUUCCCUUCUUCUUUUCCUUUUUCUUUUCCUUUUUCCCUUCUUCUUUCUCGGUCUCUGCUUUCCGUAACUGUGUGUGUGUGUGUUUUGGUGUGAAAUGAGAAAAAAAUGGGUCAAAGGUUUGAAUUAAUUGGUCCAAAACCCAAAAUUGCACAAUAAAUUCCUUAACUUCACUUUUUAGUAACAUUUAAUCCUUUAACUUCCAAAAGUAUAUAUAUAAAUUCCAAACUUUUAAAUAUAUCAAAUUCAACCUUUAUAUUUUGCAAAUUGCAAAAUAACCCAAAUAAAAUAUUAAAUUUCAUUUUAGUCCUUGAUUGACUUUGACUUUGACUAGUCAAUAUUUGAAUUUUUGACUAUAAAAAAUGGAUUGUAACACAAUCAGUGUAUUCUGUAUAUUUUAAUAAAGAAGAAAAUAUGCAGAAUUAUUGAACUAAAUGUGAUUACGAAUAAAAUAAGAAGUAAUCUGCAUGUUGAUCAAAGUGAGAAAUUGGAAUUGGAAAAAAAAAAAAAAGGUUUAUAUAUUAUUGUGGACUAGAACAAUCUAGAAAAGAUGAAAGAUUUUAUGCCUUGAUUGAAAAUAUUCAUAGGAAAUUUAAGAAUGCAAUCAAAAUUCAAAAGGCAUGAUUUUGACUUGGAGGCAGGAACACAAGGUGGGGGGCUGCGGCAGUGGAGACAGUGAUCACGCCAGGAUUGAAAAUAUUUCAUAGAACAUUCAACCAAUAUAUAUAAUAAUGCAACCAACAUUCAAAAGUCAUGAAGUUGACCAGGAGGCAGGAACACAAGGCGGCUGGGGGUGUUAAAUUUUGAUUUUGUCCUAAUUUAUCUUAUAAAUGAAGAGUUGUCAUUAGACUUUUAUGUUACCAUCGUAAAAGAGAUAAAUAGAGGUUAAAGUAGACAAGUUAUGCGAUUUUCUCUUAUAAACAAUUUUCAUCUUAGUGAAUUAAUGCAUGGACGGAAGACUACUGACUACAUAGUCUCAUAUUAAAGUAAACUUUUUAUAAAUCUUAUGUCUCUUUAUUUCAUUCUACAAUUGAUUGUUUUCAAUGGAAUAGCAUUAUGAUUUCUAUUUCUCACCAAUUAAAACGUUUAAAAUAAAUGUCUUACGGAACCAUCGAGAGGGAAGAUUUUUUAGUUAGUGAGGUUGAACAUAGAAUAGUGACAUAUGACACAAUUCUAAGUAUUGUAGCUAAGUAUUGUAGUCGCUAUAGUUCAAGCUACGUAGGCUUGACAUACAACCUACAGGGUAAUUUAUUACUUUUAAAUUCCAGUGGCUAACAUUUAUUUACAAGUUAGGUAACUUAGAUGACAUUUAGAUAUAAGCUUGGUGACUAAAAAUUUAAUUACCCCAUUUCUUCUUUUGUGUAUUUAUAAAUAGAAGCAACCUAUUCUUAAUGCAUUCAUAUCAAUUCUAGAUACCUGUGGAAAUUCAGAAGCAAGAAAGAAAGAACAGAAAGAUGGAAGUGGUUCAAGUUCUUCAUAUGAACAAAGGAGAAGGGGAAACCAGCUAUGCCAAGAAUUCAGUUGUGCAGGUUCCGUUUCUUGCUAACGUUCGAUUAUUAAUACCAUAAAAAUUCUAAAUUUAUCUUUACAACGAUUCUAGUGAGGCUGUCUUUGAAUUUAUCUUUUGCACUCUAUGGGAUUUAGGAUUCGCAGAGUUAUAGAAUUUCAGAAAUAAAUUUGUUUAUCACGAAGAGAUUAAGUGCUAAUGAAUUUUACCCUAUAGGUAUUUUCAACAAGUAAAUUUUAUUGAAGUGACAAAUCAAAAUCUUAAGAAACUCCAUGGAAACUUGGUUUUUUAGUUGUUAAUAUUGUCCAAUUUAUUCAAACAAAUGAAACAGAACUUUUGAAGACAUAUUUUAGGUCGUUCCCUCACUAAUAAACUUUAACAUUUUCAAAAUAAGGAAGUGAACACAAUAUUAGUGAUACCAUCAAAACGUCCUCAAAUGAAAUAUCUUCUUGCUGCCACCCAUUUACACACACACACACACACACAAAAGUGUAUAAUUUUAUACAAGUUUGUUAAACUUUUAGAUAAGUAGAACGAUUUGAGCUUUUAGAUCUGAGGACAAACUUAAAAAGUUCUUCCUCUCUCUGUUGUUUAGCUUUCUGAUUCUGUAUUUUGAAACGUUUCCAUGCAAUUGCAGAAGAAGAUAAUAUCAAUUGAAACUUCAAUAAUCAAGGAAGCAGUGCAAAAGUGUUUGGAAAAGAAUUUCCCUGAUAGUAUGGGAAUUGCAGAUUUGGGAUGUUCAACUGGACCUAACAGUCUAAUGGUAAUUUCUGAUGUAAUAGAUACAAUAUAUGCCACAAGUAAUCAAAAGGAAAUUCCAUUGCCGGAGAUAAGGGUUUCAUUGAACGAUCUUCCGGGCAAUGAUUUCAAUAGCAUAUUUAUCUCUUUGCCGGAGUUCUACAAUCAACUCAAAAAGGAGAAGAACAUUGGGCAGGAAGGGUGCUUUAUUUCAGGUGUGGCUGGCUCUUUUUAUGGGAGGUUGUUUCCUAAAAAGAGUCUGCAUUUUGUUCACUCUUCUUCGAGUCUCCAUUGGCUUUCACAGGUUAGUAUCAUUGUCUCGAAAAUUUUUCAUAAAUUGAUAGUGACGAGACAAAAACUCAUGACUUAUGUAUGCUUUGAUAUGACCAUCUCAUGUAAAAUCUUAUACACUAAGAAGACACAUUUUUUAAUUCAAAUUUGAUCUAAACUUUGUCAAACACUUCAAAAGUAUGCCUAACUAGACUCACAAAAUAAAUCUUGUAUGAAGAGGAGCCUCAUGUUACUUGAAAAGGGCUCUCCAUCAAGUAAAUCAGUCAGAAGUUUUAAUAGAUAAAGCAAUAAGUUUCCCCUAGGCUAUUAUUUAGAGUAAAUAACAAAUUAUUUAAACAAAUUAUACGAAGAAUACGCAUGCGAAUCAUAAUUUAAAAGUGUAAUUUCAUGUGUUUCUUGUGCAAUUAUUGAGAUUUUAGAGUUUUAAAGACAAUUAAGAAUUGCCUAUAAUUUCUGUCUUUUUCAUCCUAUAAACUUCGCUACAAAAACCUACAGCCCUUCUCCAUCUUUAAUUGGUGGACUACUACACAUCGCUUGUACCUAUUUUAUAAGGAAAUUUCCAAGUAUGGCCUAAACAAACGGUGCUCGAGUUGAAUUUUUUUUUUUUAGCCUAAUCCUUGAUUUGAAAAAAUAAAUAAAUAAAGAAUAUUGAUUGGGCUUCUUUUAUUAUCUAUGUCAACGAAAAGUUCUUGUAUCAACUUACAUCAUUGAAUGUAUAUUAAUCUUCAAUUUGUUUUUCUUCAAGGCUAACACGUACAUAGUUUCUCAUAGACAAGUGACACGAAGACUUAAAAACAUAUAAUUUUUACCGACUCUACCACCAUGCUGAAUUACUCUUGAAUUAAACAUCUAUAAGCAGAACACCCAUCUAUGCCAUUAUUCAUUUUUCUAAAUUUAUCAUUAACCUCAGGUUCCACGAGUUUUGGAUUCAAACAUCCUCAAGCCUCUGAACAAAGGAAAAAUCUAUAUAUCAAAAUCAAGUCCAAGAAGCGUACUGGAUGCAUAUUUAUCACAGUUUAAGAGAGAUUUCACAUUGUUCCUGAAAUCUCGAUCGGAAGAAAUGGUUGUUGAUGGACACAUGGUGUUGUCAUUCAUAGGCAGAGUCUCUGCCGAUCCCGCAUCAGGAGAGAGUUGCAUGCAGUGGGAACUCCUAGCACAAGCUCUCAUGAGUAUGGCCUUAGAGGUAAAUUAUUAUUUGCUAAAUAUUUGGUGCACUUUUUUUGUCCCAUCUACCGACAUUGUGCAACUUGGUUCGCAAUCUUCGGAUUUUGGCAACUUGAUCCCAACUUUUAAGUUUUGGGGUUCACCGAUUCCAAGUAAACAAUUUCAUUCAGUUGACGUUAAAAACUUUGAUUUUCAUUAAAAAGAAAUUUUACAUCUAUUUUAAUUAAAACAAAAAAAAAAAAGAAAAAAGAAAAAGAAAAUUAAGAGAGAAAUUCAGAACGUAGUUCCUUCCCAUGUGCUCCACCAUCACCCUUUCUCCCCAAACCCCUAAACAACUUUUCUAGUCCAUUUAUAUUUCCUUUCUUUUUUAUUAACUAUUUAUUUGGGAAAUUUUAUAAAUUUACUAAAAGGUUGAUGUCGAAGUUAAUAAUUAACUUUAAUCAAACAUUUUAUAAAUCUACAACUUUAUCAAUUUUUCGAUCACAUGUUUUAUUUUUUUAUGAAAACCUAAUAAAAUUUUCAUCAAAAGCUUUUAAACAGCAUUUAAAAUUAUGUAUUUAUAUAUCACUUACAUCGGAUUGUGUAAUCGAAUCAAAUUCUCUUUCAAUGUGUUUCUCAAAGAAUCCAAUUCAUAAGGAUUAUUUCCCAACUAAUGGAGAUAUCUUAGCGGUGAAUUGCCACAUAUGAAAUAGGGAAAUUUUGCAAAGAAAUAGCUCACUUGUUUCUCAAGAAGAAAUGGGAAAAUGAGAUGCUCAUUCUCAUUUAUUUUAUUGUUGAUCAUGCCCUUAGUUGUUCGAAGAAAUCCCUUAACAUCAAUUGGUUUUUUUACAUAAAGCUUAUAUGAGAUACGAAAUGCACUGUUUUUACUAAAAUUUAAAACAUUGAUCUCAAAUUUAAGUUGAUUCUAUUUCAAGUAUUCCUCGAAGAAAAAAGUUGAUCAAAUGAAUGGUCCUUUUAGCAUGUGCGUUUAUAUGCAUGCAUGCAAGUCCUUGAGCUUGAGUUAAAUUGAUGACUUCAGGGUAUUAUUGAAGAAGAGAAGAUUGAUUCUUUCAAUGCACCCAGUUAUGCUCCAUCUGCUCAGGAAGUGAGAUCUGUAGUAGAAGAAGAAGGUUCAUUCACGAUUAAUUGUCUUGAGGCCAUCGAGAUUGAAUGGGAUGGGGGUCAGCAAGCUGUUAAAACAAUUAGGGCUGUGGCUGAAUCAAUGCUGGAAGUCCAUUUUGGAAAAGAAAUCAUGGAUGAAUUGUUUAAAAGAUAUGCUGAGCUGGUUGGUGAUUAUAUUUCCAAAACUAGGGCAAAAUUCUUUUAUUUGGUAAUUUCUUUGACCAAAAAGGGUUGAGUGAAGUAAUCACUAAGGAAAUUAUGCAAAAUGUUAACUAGUUUUACUGAAUAAUGUUUUUGAUUUAUCUGUUAUGAUUCAAAAAGUUUUUUUAUGUAAUAUUUAUGACUAUAAUUUGCUUGCAGCUUUCCACAAAGAAUGAUAAUCUUGAUUUUCUAAUGUUUAUGAUGCAUGUUAUAAUGUGUUUUCCCUCUUACAAAUUUAGCUCUCUCUUGAGGCUAAAUAGACGGAAAGUUUUUCCCUAUAUUUUGCUGAAGUGGCUACUUAUUUAAUUUUUAGCAUUAGUGGCACAUAUCAUUAACAAAGCCACAAAGAACCACCUACAAAGCAAGAGCUCCGAAGAGUUAAUUUAUUUUUGUUUUUGAAAGAAUAGAAAUUUUGAAAGAAAAUAUCUUACCAAGUACAGUUCAGUUGUUUCGACUUCGUUGCUUGCCAGUAAAUUUUUAAAUAAAAUGUGAAUUUCAUUUUUCAACAAGAUUAGGUGUUAGAUGUUAGUAAAACCAUCCUAAACUUUGAGGUUAAUAACAAUCCUGUUUCAAUACAAUAUUAGAUAUCAGGAUAUCUAAUGGAAUGUAUAAUGAGGCCUAUGAUUGGGUCGAAUGUGGUUUGUACUAAGGGCGAUGAUUAUCAGUUUCGAAGAUGAUGUUGACAAAAAAAUUGAGUACUUUGAUUGCUAUGAAUAUUAGUCGAUGCAACGGACUCUAAAAGCAACAAUGUGGCUAUAUAUUUUUCUUGAGUUCAAGUUAGUUUCAACUUCUCGUAAUGUGACGAUACAAAUUUGAAUAACGCUACUCGCCGUCACUCACUAUUAUAGUCGCUCUACGUGGUAUACAUAUGUCGAUUAGUAAUUUGAUAUAUGAGCAAAGAAAAAACUAUUACAUUAAUACAUCAAAUUACAAACCACCAUGUAGAAUGUUAGAUAGGACUACUAACACCGUAAGUGAUUAUGAAUAGCAUUACUUUACAAAUUUUGAAUUAUUUUCCUUCAGACCGAUUAUUUUCUCUUUCUUAACCAAACUCAAGUACACAUUUUUCCAAGUGGGGAAGAUACGGCAAUCCUAUCCAAGAGGAUAUGAAUUAUUUAUUGUCGUUAGACUUUCUUUUUGUAUUAAUUUGUAAUUUUUCAUUCCGUUUAUUUCUUUUUGGUUUGUUAAUUCUACUUCUGUUUGGAUUUUAGUCUUCUUUUCUUUAAUGAUGUUGUUUCCUUACACCAUUAGAAUUAGGAGUUUAGUUAUUUCUUAGCCUAUUUAAGAAGGGGUUUAGCAUUCUUUUGUACUAACCAAUUCAUUAUAAUUAAAUCCUCCAUAAAAUUUUGAGUUUUUCCGUCAUUCUUUUUCAUUCAAGAAUUUUAAUUUCACAUCCACACUAACUUCACAACAAGUUUUGCAUCAACUUUGAUAAGUGCAUUAUUUUCUUGAAUUCUAAAAUAGGACAAACUAAUAGAGUUUGAAAGGGUUGCGUAAUUCUAUGAACAUGACAAAUAUCUUGGUUCACUUUUGCUCGUAGUCGGAAAAAAAUAAAUUAAUAAAACAAUUGCAAGAAUAAACAUAAACCCUAGAGUAAGGUAAAGGUUGGAUCAGGGGUUUGUUUUCAGCCAAGGGAAUAGAGAUCCUUAAAUCUUUUUUACAAUUAGUGUCUACCUGUGUGAUGAGCAUUGAUAAGUGUUACACUUGUCUAGGUCUUCAAAUUGGGACUUUAAUAGUACACUGUUGGGAAUCUACUUAACAAGCAUAACGGAAAAUUAAAACAUAUUUCGAUUCUCAUCAGAAUUCAUCUUUGUGUUUAGAUAGAAAUUGUGAUAAAAGUGAUAUCUUUUCACAAUCUGCAAACUCCUUCGCCUUAUCUUUGUUCCAGCAACUUGGAUUUGUCUCCUACAACUGUCCAAUUGUCCAGCCUCCAACGGUAAUCUACACAGAGAACAAGAUUGUAGUAUUAGGGUUUUACUUGUGCUAGCAAGAAUAAUGAAAAAUCACUACAAUUUUGAAAACCCUAAUCAUAUUUAUAUAAGUCCAAACGGGCUUAGCCUGACCCCGGCCAAUAUUUAAUUAACUCAUUUAAUUAAAUUCGGUCCGUGAAUUAAUUAAUCCAAUUAAUUAAUUCAGGCAUAUAAAUAAGCAACCCAAUUAAUUAAUUUAUCCAACACUUGUUAAAUUAAUUAAUUGACAAAUCACAAUCUUUCAAUUAUCCUUUUGUUUGCGACCUAUCAGGUUUCCGAUCACGAUGCCUAACGACGUGAAAUAUUAUUUUGAUCUAAUCAAAAUAGAUAAAUUAAAACACACUUUUAAUUUAUGACCAAUUACACUCACCGUCCCAUAUUGACAUCUAACAAUGUGUCAGAGCAAUACAUAUGACGAAAAAUGUCACGUGGUAUGACAAAACCAAACUCGUUCAUUUACCGUGAAACUAUAAUCCGUUCUUCAAUAUAAUCCGAUCAAUUACGAGAUGUGGAAGUAUGUCAAUCUCGAUUAUCGAUCAUAUCUUUCACUCCACUAUUAAGUCAAUAUAAGUUGAAAAUUUCUUUUCGACUUAUGAGUACACCUUGACCAAGGAUUUCGUUAUCGACUUAAUUGAAUGAAAUGCUGAUCAUAACAUCUUACUAUCUAAGAGUGAUGGAUCCUCUAUUGGUCAUUCACAACCUUCAUAUGAUUCUUGAUAGACCCGAACAAUGCCGUAUUAGCGACCCUUAGCAGAGCAACAUCCGACACUGUCAAAGCAUGACCGUCCUCAUAUAAAGUACUAUGACGACCUCAAGUCAAAAUGAUCAAUCCCACUACCGAACGUUAGAGAUUAACCACUAUCACUUAGAUAGUUAUCCAUGUGGAAUCUCUCGACGGGUCUUCAACGUUUUGUUCUAUAAAAAAAAAUCCACAUAUUCAUUUAAGUGUCACCACACUUUAGCUUGUGAGAUCAGCUACUUACUUCAUAAGUAAGAAAUGUCACAUGUGAUGCUUUAUCCGUAAUAAUAAUAUCCAUAUCUAUUUAUUAUUUACGACCACAGACGAUUUUAAGAUUCAAUCAUAUGUAAUUUGUAUCUCAUAAUCACAACUCCUUGUGAUUAACAAAUUACGAAGAUUUGAAUCUACGAAUUCUAUUAUUUAAUUUAAUUGUCUAUUAAUUAAAUAAUAGAUUUGUCAUUAAAUUGCAUUAAUUAUAUAUCAAAAAUUAUUUAUGUCCAAAGUUGAUUAGACCUAAGGCAUAACACUUGCACUUGAUCCAAUCACUUAUGUAUCCAAUAUCAUAAGAGUCUGCAUGAUGAUCGUAUUUAAGCUGCGACAACUCUUUGUCAGUGGAUCUGCAAUAUUGUUAAAUGUGGAAAUUUAUUCUUCUUUUUACUUUAUUUCUAUGUGUUAUCUCUUUGAUGAGAUUGUACCGCCUUAAUACAUGUUUGGAUCAUUGAUGAGACCUCAGUCCCUCGCUUUCACGGUGGCUCUAUUGUCACACAAUACAACUGUAUGUGAUCAAUAAUAUUAGAAACUACUCCAAGUUCAUUAACGAACAUCUUGAUCCACAUCACAACUCUUUGCUGCUUCUGAAGCAAUCAUGUAUUAGGUUUCUACCAAUGAACCAAUGGUUGUUUCAUAUUUGGAACAUUUCUAACACACCGUUUAAGAGUAAACCAAUUUUUCCAUAUAAAAUCUUCUCAAGAUUUUAUCUAUAUAGAUUGGGAUAGUUAAGCAAUUUUCUAUAUCUAUCUCUAUAGAUCAAGUUACUUCCCCAUAUAGUCUACGAAUAGAUCCUUUAACAACCAUUAUUUCAACGAUUAAAAUAGAGGGAUGUCGUUUCCUAUAAUAUUAGGAAUGCGACUGCUCCCACUAUCUUCUUGUAAGCACACAAUUCGUCUUUAUAUUUGAUAAAAUCAAACAUUUUGAUUUUUCCAUAAAAUCAAAGAUUUCAGCUCCAAGAGAUUUGUUUUAACCCAUAGUCAUGGUAUGCAACUAUUGCAACCAAAAUUCGAAUGGACCUCAGCAUGGCUACAUGCGAAAAGUUUCAUCAAAGUCAACACAUUGUCUUUGUCUGUUACCUUUUACUACUAGUCUUGCGUUGUAUGUAUGGAUAUUCCCAUCCAUGUCAACCUUUUAUUGUAAACCAUUUACAACCUAUGGAUUUUAUCUCAUCAGAAGGGUCAACCAAGGUCCAAACCUUGUUUACAUACGUCAAGUUCAUCUCGGGUUUCAUAGCUUCCUGCUAUCUCUUUUAAGUCAAAACUUGACUUUAUUUUUGUGCAAUUAGUAAGUCAUCAUCCUAGAUCAGUAAUACGUAAUUAGUAAUCACGGAUUCGCACAUUCUUGAAGGUCGAAUGAUCCUACUAGACUCACAUAGAGCUGACAUGUUCUCAGGAGUCUCUACUCCUUGAUUAAGAGUAUGUCCCAUAUCAGAUAUGGGCUAAAACUCGAAUUCGUCUACUUGAUUAACUAUAUCUGUGGACUAUUGAACUCUUUUAAGUUCUAUUUUGCUCCCACUGUCAUCUCCUAGAGUAAACAUUUUCUCCAAGAGGGCGAUAUGUCGUGAGACGAAGACUUUCUUUUCAAUAGGUUAAUAGAACUAUAUAUAAAUAUCUGCUUUGAAUAUUCCACAAAUAUGUAUUUAUCGGAUUUAGUUUCAAACUUAUCCGAUUCAAUGUUCUUCAAAUAAAUAUCACAGUCCCAAACUUUCAUAUGAGAUAAGUUGUGACUAUUGUCUUUCCAUAACUCGUAUGGGGUUCUGUUAAUCAAUUUAGGUGGGACAUGAUUUAGUGUACAACACGCUGCAAUCAGUGCAUAAUUCCAAAACGAUUUUGGGAGGUUUGCAUGGCUUAUUAUUAAUCACAUUAUAUCUAGUAGUUAACGAUUUAUCUUUUCAGAUACACCACUGCUGCAGUGUAUAUGGAAAAGUCCACUACAAGAGAAUCUCAUUCUCUCUUAGAUAAUCUAAAUUUUAUCUUUAAGAUAUUCUCACUCGAUCAAAUCUUAAUGUGAGGGUAUCUUUACCUAUUUGUUUCUCUGCUUCUAGUUUGAUCCCUUGAACUUUUCAACAGUUUCAUAUUUGAGUUUCAUCAAGUAUACAUGAUCAUUGAUGAAAUAAGAGAAACAUUACCUGACAUCAAUUGACAUGAGUCCAUAUGCAUUAUUAUGCAUUAGACCAGUAAUUAUGCUGACCUUUCUUCUUUUCAAGUAAAAGAAGAUUUGGUCAUUGUUCCAGACAUGCAUAAUUUGUAUUUGUCAAAAUCAAUUAAUCCCAAGUAUACAUCUUUAUAUAACUUUGGAAUUGCAUUUCCUCUGCAUGACAAAGUCUGCCAUGCCAUAUUUAGGUAAUAAUUAGAUUAUCACUUUUAUAUCUCUUAACUUCUAUACUCAUUGUAGAAUGCUUAGUAUUAAAGAAUAUAAAUGUCAUUUUGUAAUUUACCAUAAUCAUUAGGAUCUUUAUCAAGAUAAACAAGAACAACAAUUGUCCUUAACAUUAAAAUAAUUCAUGUUCCAACAUGAAAUUCGUUUAAUGUUCAGCAUUUCUCUAAUUUCAAUACUAAGCCAAGAGGCAACAAUAAGAAGUAUGCUCCUACAAGCAAUGCGGCAACCUUUGCUCAUCUUUAACGUGUAGGUUAACUUUUCCCUCUUGUAGUGGUCUACUUCCAUUUAGUUUCUCCAUAUCUAGUAUCAAAUACCUAAGAAACAAAUGAAGUAGACGUAGCCUUGCAACAUUUCUUCCAAUGACCUUUCAUUCUAUAACGAAGACAAGGGUCAUUAGAUUUGGUAUUUUCCUUUGCUCAGACUGUCUUAACCAUAUUGAAUGCUUUCUCAAAACUCCUUUAGAUUUCCUCUUAACACUCUUAGAGGAAUCAAUGGUUUACCCACUACCAACUUUGAUAAAGGGCGUAACAGUCCUAAGCAUGUUAAGCAACUUACUGAGUAUGCAUUCGAGCUUAUUUAUAUCAUAAUUCAUAAUUAGUAUGAAUAACUCUAUGAUAGAGAUUGCAUAGUUAAGUCAAUACUUAGUUCAUAGUUAAUGAAUGAACUUAAUUGAGACACUUCUCAUGUUAAUCAUCUGUAGUACAUGAGGAUUGACUAAAGAUUCUUUUGUCACUUUGCAUCGGUAUAGUUGUUUGGAAGUCUCAUAUCUUUUCACACAUGAUUAUUAUUAUACAACUCUUUGAAAUGAAAAAUCAUGUGUUAGCAUGUUAGCAUCUAUACUUUCAUGUUGUUUCUGUAACUUAAGUGACAUAGUUGCAAGUAUCACAUAUGUUGCAGUACUAUUGUCAUCACUAUGUUUAUUAUAGCAACCACCUCUUUCUUGAUUGAGUCAUCAGCAGAUGUCUCUAAAAAUGACUACUCAAGGACAUAAUCAAUUUUUCCCAUACCUGAAAACAAUUCUCAGAUUGCAGUACCAAUCAAGAAAAUUCAGUUUGGUUUUUAACAUUCAGUAUGCCAUUCAAAACAUAUGGCUACUCAAAAUUCAAUAUAAAUGUAAAUGACGAAAAGAAAAAGAAUAAUAUAUAAAAUGUAUCAAUUAAUUUAACAUGGACUUUUAUUAAUUUAAUUAUGCUCCCACUGUCUAACUAAAAUUUAUGACCCUCUUGCAUAAAUUUAUGGAGUCCAUAUUUGACUCCCAGUGGGCUGGGAUCCCAUCUAUUAUAUUAAGACCUUGAAUGUACUCAGCAAGCCUUAAUAUAAAAUUUGGGUAAAUAUUAUUAUCAAUUGUAUCUCCAUACAACUUCCAGAUCAUUAAACUGACAACUCUUUAUCUUCACACAUCUUAUGUGUUAGUUUAACAUGCCUCUAAAAUUUAUCUUUUUGAGUGUACUCAACAAAAGAUAAAUUUUAGUUAAGUCAAACUCGUCAUUCAAAAAUAUCAAAUAUUUUCAUAGUGUCAAACAUAUUCCUAAUAGACCAGCCUUGAGUGUAUUCAACAAGUUAAGACGAUUUGGGACUAUGAUUUUUCACUAUAAUGAUGGAAGACGAUUAUAAAUGUGACUUAAUAUUUUAUGGAGGGAUUUUGCAUUCAAGGGUCUCAGCGUAACAAUCAUAUAUAUAUAUAUAUAUAUAUAUAUAUAUGAUUGUUUUACACCUACCAUGCAAAUAAACAUAUAUAUAUAUAUAUAUAUAAUGAAAUAUAUGAACGUUUUCGACAAGAAGUGUCAAAUGUAGGGAUUUUUUUGCUAUUAGACCUUAUAAAAAUAUUGACAAUUCCUAGAGGGUAUAGCAUUGAUUAGUAUCAAUGCACCAUCUCCAUGGUCUCCUCCUCUUCUUGUUUCUUCAACUAGUAUAGCUGCAAUUUGUAUCCUAUACUAGUUGGCACACAGGCCUAAAUGAAAUUUGACUCGUAAGCUUAUAGUAACAAUAACAGACUCCCAGGUCUAAAAUGAUUAAGAGCUCGCAGACCCAUAAUAAUACCAAUAAUAAUGGGCUCACAGCCCCUAACCAAUUAAGAGCUCACAGACUCAUAAAACAAUAAUAAUAAAAUUAACCAUUCAUCACAUAAAUGUAUACCUAUAUAAUAUCUAAUAUUAUAUGCAAACAUAUUUCAAGUUUCUAGCAAUUAAGAUCGUCUAAACCUCUUUAAACAAAUGGAUCGGAACAAUUAAAUAAUGAAUUAAUCAUAUUAAUCAAUUAAUUCAAUUUGCGGACGUAUUUAAUUAAAAUCAAAUUUUAAUCAAAUACCGAACUAGAGUCCAACUCUAAUUCCACAAUUAUAGGGCGAGACUACUUAAUUAAAAUCAAAUUUUAAUUAAAUAUCAAGUUAGAGUCCAACUCUAAUUUUAAAACUUAAAGCGGUUGAAUUUAAUUGAAAACAAAUUUUAAUUCAAUAACAAAAUUAGAGCCCAACUCUAAUUCAAAGAUUUUAGGACGAAUUUAUUUAAUCACAAUUAUAUUUUAAUUAAAUGCCAAAUUAUAGUCCAACUCUAAUUCUAAGAAGAAAUUUAGGGCAAGACAAUUUAAUUAAAAUCAAAUUUUAAUUAAAUAUCAAAUUAGAAUUCAAUUCUAAUAUCAAAAACGUAUUCGGGUGAAAAAUUAAUUAAAAUGAAAUUUUAAUUAAAUGCUAAAUUAGAGUCCAACUCUAAUUUAAAUUGAAUUAAUAUUUUAAUUUAGGAUAUAACUCCCAAAUAAAAUAAAAUUCAAUUUUAGGCUAAAAGUUAAUAUUUAAGUUAAAACUAUAUUUUAACGAAAUAAAUUGAAUUAAUAUUUUAAUUUAGGAUAAAACUCCCAAAUAAAAUAAAAUUCAAUUUUAGGCUCAAAGUUAAUAUUUAAGUUAAAACUAUAUUUUAAUGAAAAUAUAAAAAGUCGUCAAUUUUAAAUAAAACUUUUAAUUUGGGUCAAAAUUAAAAUUAUAGGUCAAACUCGUUUAAAAUAUAAUUUUAAAACCAUUUUAAAAUUCAAAUUCAAAACCAUUUUAGAAAUUGCAAUUUGACCCAAUUAAAAUUUAUUAAAAGGUCCCUCAAUUUCUCAAAUUGCAAGAAGGCCCUUUAUUUAAUAAAUUACACAUUGACCUCGAGUUGAAAUUGCACACAGGGCACGAAAUUUCAGAAAUUUCAGAGUGAGCCGUUGUUCUUAUCAAUCACCCAAUUAUAGAAAAACCCCUAAAAACUCGCCCUUCUUCUUGGCAGUGUCGGUCAAUCCUUUCCCUCAACCAUGCACCGCCUCUCUCAAUCGGUAGCAGUACAUGGCUUGCAGUAGCUCGAACGAGCUGCUGUUCUUCCUGUAGCGUUGUAGCUACUGCUCUUCCUGUAGCGCAGCUACAACGCUAUCGAUGCAAUUUUAUCAGUAGAGUAUGCCGCUGCAGCAUGGUGACAAGCGCCGCUGCACUCUACAGUGGAGCCUGCUGCCCCUGCAUUUCCACGAACGGUGGUGCAGGUCACCACGACGUAACUCCACUGCGACUGCCACCUUUUUAUUUUUUAUUUAUUUUUAUUAUUUUAGAACUAGAGUUACUUUCUAUUCAAAACAAUUUUGAACAUAAAAAAUAAAUCUCUAAUUGCUAGAAACAAGAAACGAGCAAAAUCAACUUUUGAAUGUUCCCAAAAAUUCAAGACAAUCUCUAAUUAACACAAAGUAGACUCUGAUACCAUUGUUGAGAAUUUAUUUAACAUGCACAGUGGAAAUACAAACGAAUUUCGAUUCCUACCAGGAAUCGUCUGUGUUUAGAUAGAAACUAUGAUAAAAAUUGUACCUUUUCGAGAUCUGAAAAAUCCUUUGCUUUUCCUUUUGUUCCAGCAACCUUGAUCUACCACCUACAACUGUCCAAUUGUCCAGCCUCCAACGGUGAUCCAGAGAACAAAAAUGUAGGAUUAAGGUUUUUUCUUGUGUUAGCAAGAAUGAAUUCUCUACAAAUUUUGAAAACUCUAGUCAUAUUUAUAUAAGCCCAAAUGGGCUUAGCCUGAUCCGGUCCAAUAUUUAAUUAACCCAUUUAAUUCCGGUCCGUCGGGCCUAUAAAUAAGAAACCCAAUUAAUUAAUUUAUCCAACGCUUAUUAAAUUAAUUAAUUGACAAAUCACAAUCUUUCAGUUCUCUUUUUGUGUGCAACCCAUCAAGUUCUAGAUCAGAUGCCUAAUGAUGUGAAAUAUUAUUUUGAACUAAUCAAAAUUGAUAAAUUAAAACACCAUUUUAAUUUAUCACCAAUUCACACUUGUCGUCCCAAAUUGACAUCUAGCAACGUGUCUGGGCAAUACAUGUGAUGAGAAAUGUCACGUGGUAUAACAAAACCAAACUCGUUCGUUUACCAUGAAACUAUAUUUUUUUCGUGAAUAUGAUUCGAUCAAUUACGAGAUAUGAAAGUGCAUCGAUCUUGAUUAUCGAUCAUAUCUUUCACUUCAUUAUUAAGUCAAUAUAAGUUAAAAACUCCUUUUCAACUUAUGAGUACAUCUUGGCCAAGAAUUUCGUUAUUGACUUAUUGAAUAAAAUGCAGACCAUAAUAUCUUACUAUCUAAGAGUGACGAAUCCUCUAUUGAUCAUUCACAACUUUCACAUGAUUCUUGACAUGCCCGAACGAUGUCGUAUUAGCAGCCCUUGGCAGAGCAACAUCCAACACUGUCAAAGCAUGACUAUCCUCAUAUAAGGCACUAUGACAACCUCAAGUCAAAGUACCAAUUCCACUACCGAACGUUAGAGAUUAACCACCGACACUCAGAUAGUUAUCCAUGNAUAUAUAUAUAUAUAUAUAUAGUGUGGACGAUUAUGGACUUUUACUAUCUAGUCUUCCCGAGCCAUAUGGAAGACUAGUUGGUCAAUUUCUAUGGGGUAUAACAUUGAGCAGUAUUAAUGCACCAUUUCCAUGGUCUCUUCCUCUUCUUAUUUCUUCAAUUAGUCAGCUACAACCUAUAUCUUAUACUAGUUGGGACGCAGGCCUAAAUGAAAUUGAACUCACAGGCCCAUAGUAAUAAUAAUAAUAACGGACUCGCAAGUCCAAAAUGAUUAGGAGCUCGUAGGCCCAUAAUAAUAACAAUAAUAACGGGCUCGCCAGCCCAAAACACGACAAGAAUAAAAUUAACCAUUAACACAUCCACAUGGUCGAAUCCAUAAUCGUUAACUAGUAAUAUAUUCAUCACAUAAAUGUAUGCAUAUAUAAUAUCUAAUAUUAUAUGUAAAUAUGUUUCAAAUUUCUAGCAAUUAAGGUCACCUAAACUCUUCUAGACAAAUGGAUCAGAAUAAUUAAAUAAUUAAUUAAUUAUAUUAAUCAAUUAUUUUAAUUAGCGGGCAUAUUUAAUUAAAAUCAUAUUUUAAUUAAAUAUCGAACUAGAGUCCAACUCUAAUUCCACAAUUAUAGGGCGGGAUUAUUUAAUUAAAAUCAAAUUUUAAUUAAACAUUAAAUUAGAAUCCAACUUUAAUUUCAAAACUAAAGGGGUUGAAUUUAAUUAAAAUUCUAAAGGGGUUGAAUUUAAUUAAAAUUGAAUUUUAAUUAAAUAACAAGAUUAGAGUCCAACUCUAAUUCCAAGAUCAUAGGACGAACAUGUUUAAUUAAAAUCAAAUUUUAAUUAAACACAAAUUAGAGUCUAGCUCUAAUCUUAAAUAAAAUUUUUGGGAGACACAAUUUAAAUAAAAUCAAAUUUUAAUUAAAUGUUAGAUUAGAAUCCAAUUCUAAUUUUAAAAAUAUAAUCGGGUGAAUAAUUAAUUAAAAUCAAAUUUUAAUUAAGCAUUAAAUUAGAGCCCAACUCUAAUUUAAAUUGAAUCAAUAUUUUAAUUUAGGGUAACACUCCUAAAUAAAAUAAAAUUCAACUUAGGGUCAAAUUUAAUAUAAAAUCAUAUUUUAAUGAAAAUAUAAAAGUCGUCAAUUUUAAAUAAAACUUUUAAUUUGGGUCAAAAUUAAAAUUACAGGUCAAACCUAUUUAAGAUAUAAUUUUAAAACCAUUUUAAAAUUUAAAUUCAAAACACUUUUGAAAAUUGCAAUCUGAUCCAAGAUUUAAAUUAACAACAGGGCCCUCGAAAUGUCAAAAUUGCACAGAAACCCUGUAUUUUAAAAUUACAAAAUGACACCAUUUACAUAAUUGCAGGCGGGGGCUUACAAUUCAAGAAAUUGCAAGACAUACCCCUGCCUCCAAACACCCAACUGAAAACCCUAAUGAAUUCACCCAAAUAUAUUUUUCGUUUUCUUGCGCCACCAGCCAAUUUUGGGACGGCGACCUUUGUCGCCGCUUGCUCCUGCAACGGAAGUCGUCGCUGUCCAAGCGACGACUUCCAGCCGCUUGCAGCAGCAUCCAAUGCUGCUGCUUGUUGGAUGCUGCUGCAACAACAAGCAGCAACGUGGCUUUGCUGCUUGUGAAGGUCAACAGCGACUUCGCCGCAGUUGCAGACGCCAAGCGAAUGCUGCCGUGUUCUGUCGCCAUUGCCGGCAGCAAUAAUGCCGCUUGCAUCCCAUGCUCUUCGACCCCUUUUUUUCCUUUUUUGUUUUCGUUUUUAGAACCAGAUUUCAAAGAAAAAUGAAAAUCAAAUUUUCAUUAAUUUCUAGAAACUAGUAAAUGUAUAAUAACCAACUUUUGAUUGUACAAAAUGUUAAACAAUUUCUAUCAAACACAAACUAAACUCUGAUACCACUGUUGGAAAUCUACUUAACAUGCACAGCGGAAAAUUAAAACAUAUUUCGAUUUCCGUCAGGAUUCAUCUUUGUGUUUAGAUAGAAAUUGUGAUAAAAGUGAUACCUUUUUACGAUCUGCAAAUUUCUUUGCUUUAUCUUUGUUCCAGCAACAUGGAUCUAUCUCCCACAGCUGUCGAAUUGGUCAGCCUCCAACGGUGAUCCACAGAGAGAACAAGAUUAUUGUAUUAUGAUUUUACUUGUGCUAGUAAGAAUAAUGAAAAAUCACUACGAUUUUGAAAACCCUAAUCAUAUUUAUAUAAGUCCAAACGGACUUAGCCUGACCAGGUCCAACAUUUAAUUCAAUUCGAUUCUUGAAUUAAUUAAUUCAAUUAAUCAAUUCAACCCAAUAAAUAAGCAACCCAAUUAAUUAAUUUAUCCAACACUUGUUAAAUUAAUCAAUGGACAAAUCACAAUCUUCCAGUUCUCCUUUUGUGUGCAACCCAUUAUGUUUCCGAUCACGAUAUCUAAUAACGUGAAAUAUUAUUUUGAUCUAAUCAAAAUUAAUAAAUUAAAACAACCUUUUAAUUUAUGAACAAUCACACUCAUCGUCCCAGAUUGAUAUCUAGCAAUACGUCAGUCCAAUACAUGUGACAGGAAAUGUCAUGUGGUAUGACAAAAUCAAACUCGUUCGUUUACCGUGAAACUAUAAUCUCUUCGUCAAUAUAAUCCGAUCAGUUAUGAGAUAUGGAAGUCUAUCAAUCUCGAUUAUCGAUCAUAGCUUUCACUCCACUAUUAAGUCAAUAUAAGUCGAAAACUCGUUUUCAAUUUAUGAGUACACCUUGGCCAAUGAUUUCGUUAUCGACUUAAUUGAAUGAAAUGCAGAUCAUAAUCUCUUACUAUCUAAGAGUGACGGAUCCUCUAUUGGUCAUUCACAAUCUUUACCCGAACGAUACCGUAUUAGUGGCCCUUAGCAGAGCAACAUCCAACACCGUCAAAGCGUGACCGUCCUCAUAUAAGGUACUAUGACGACCUCAAGUCAAAAGGACCAAUCCCACUACCGAACGUUAGAGAUUAACCAUUGACACUCAGAUAGUUAUCCAUGUGGAAUCUCUCGGCGGGUCUCCAAUGUUUUGUUCCAUAACAAAACAUCUACGUGUUCAUUUAAGUGUCAUCAUACUUUAGCUUGUAAGAUUAGCUACUUACUUCACAAGUAAGAAAUGCCACACUUGAUGGUCUAUCCAUAAUAAUGAUAUCCGUAUCUCGUUAUUACUUACGACCACGGACGAUUUUAAGAUUCAAUCAUAUGUAAUUUGUAUCUCACAAUUACAACUCCGUGUGAUUAACAAAUUACGAAGAUUUAAAUCUACGGACUCUAUUAUUUAAUUUAAUUAUCUAUUAAUUAAAUGAUAGAUUUGUCAUUAAAUUACAUUAAUUAUAUAUCAAAAGUACUUAUGUCCAAGGUUGAUUGGACCUAAGGCAUAACACUUACAUACACUACUAAAAAAUAACUUUUCACCAAUGAAAAAUUACCCACUGAUGAUAUCCGAUGUUUAUCAAAAAUGAAUUAUAUGUUGGUAAAAGUACUCCACUUUUAAUUACGGUAAUCAGCAACGUAAUUGCCGUUGGUAAUAACAAUAUCUCUUUGCCAACGGAUAUUCCGUGCCUAGUGUGGUUGUCUAACUUUUGGAUGUUUCACCUACAGAUAUUUCGUAGGAAGUGUAUCGAUAAUCAUCAACGAAUGGUAAUUAGAAAUGGAUUAUCCAUUACUAAGUAAUCCACCCACUGGCUCUAUGAUUCUCGUCCAAUGGCCCUAAAGGAAAAUAGUAGAGUUAGAGAACUACUUCUGAAAGAAUGUGGUGCCAUAUAGAAGCAGUAGGGAACAAGUGGAAGAUAGCAAAAGGAAAAAGUUCUUACUCUGUGCAGAAAUGAGAAGAGAACAACCUUCAAUUUAUUCCUUAUUUAUCGAUCAUAGACUUGGAAAUAGUAUUGAGGGUCAGAGAAGUACCUACUAAUCUGUUUGUGCAAAGCAAGUUCAGGCAAAAAUUAUAUAUGAGGCUCUUUCACCAUGUUGUGUAGAUAAUAACAAAACCGAAUCUCAAUUAUCAGAAUCCAGCACUAAAAUCUAUGAUAUCUAUCCCUGAAGAUUUUGAUACUAGCAGAUUUUUUAAUCCUAGAUCAAGUAAGCCGAGAACUUUAUGGCCUAUAUUUUCUUGUAUAUUAAAUUAGUUUUAAAUAAAUCUACGUAGAACUGAUUUUAUUUCCCUUUUAGAAUAUACAUGGAUUUUAUAUCGACUUUGGAAACCACUGAAUUAUAAAACCAGUGCCUUCAUAUAGGCAUAAUCUCUAAUGUCUAAAAAUCUCUAUACUUAAAACCACCCAAAUGCACUCUUAUGCUUUUGUGACCAUUUAUCCAAAUCACAGCACAUUGGAACGAAAAUAGUAUUCUGAACAGCCAAUAAUAAUAAUAAUAAUAAUAAUAAUUAAAAAACACAAAUUAGAGCACUCACUGACUGCUUUCACAAGCUCUCUCGAUUCUGGACAAAAUUGCAGGUGACCCAUGGUGGUACUGGAUGCGCCUGGUUGAGAGGAGGGGAGUGGUGGUGGGCCGCAAUCGAAACAGUGGCUGAAGGUAGUGGAAAUAUGGUGAAAAUCGUGAUUGGUAGCGCGGUUUUGGGUGGUGAUUAGGGUGUUUUUGGCAACUCCGUGGCCCGGUGAUGACAAGAGGUUGAAGACGAAGGUGAGAGGGUUCGAACGGUAGUGGGAUUUGGUGGUCUAGAUGGCGGUGGUGGUCAAUUGUUGAGGAAGAAGGCGAUAGUUCUUCCAUGGUUCUCUAACGCAUAACGAUGGAAAAAGAGGAAGAAGCGACUAUUUUCAGUGUUCUAAGAUUUUUGUGCGUUUUAAAUUGGAAAAAUUUUCCACUAAUUAUUAGCCUACCAACAUAUCAAAUUUUUUGAAGGCUAAAGACGUAUCUUGCCCUUCAAAUUUUAUUGUCUGAAAAAAUAUAUUUUUUUUUUGUAGGCACAAGUCCUUCCACUAUUAAAAAUUUUGAAUCAAAUCAUAGCCCUACGAAAUGUCUUUUUGUAGGGAAAAGUGAACUCCACCCGCAAAUUUUAAUUUUUCUGCAGAAUUUUUGUAGGGAAAGUAUAUAUUUCUUGUAGUGGUAAAAGAUUUUUUACAAUUAGUGUCUAUGUGUAUGAUGAGGAUUGAUAAGUGUUACACUUGUCUUGGCCUUCAAAUUGGGACUUUGGGAGUACACUACUAAAAAACAGCUUUUCACCAACAAAAAAAUUACCCACCAAUGAUAUCCGUUGGUAAUCAGAAAUGAAUUAUCUAUUGGUAAAAGUACUUCACUUUUAAUUAUGAUAAUCAGCAAUAGAAUUGCCGUUGGUAAUAGCAUAUUUCUUUGCCAAUAGAUAUUCCGUGCCUAGUGUAGUUGUCUAACAUUUGGAUGUUUCACCUACGGAUAUUUCGUAGGAAAUGUAUCGUUAAUCAUCAAGGACGGUAAUUAGAAAUAGAUUAUCCGUUAGUAAAAGUAAUCCACUUUUAACUACGAUAAUUAGCUACGAAAUUGUAGUUACUAAAGGGUAUUCCAUCGUAAGGUAUAUCAUUUUUUGUUAAAAAAAGAUGUUUCAAGCUUUUACCUAAGGAAAUUCCGUAGGUAAAAUUAUUCCACUUUUAACUACGGUAAUUAGCUAUGGAAUUGCGGUUACUAAAGGUGAUAUCAUUUUACCAACGGAUAUUUCAUGUCUAAUACAGUUAGUUAAGAUUUGAAUCUUUCAUCGUCGGGUAUUCCAUAGGUGAAGUAAACCAUUUUUUGUUAAAAAAAGACGUUUCAAGCUUUUACCUACAAAAAAUUCUGUAGGUUAACAUAAUUUCUUUCACCUGUGAAAAAUCUAUUGCUAAUAUUAGGUAUAUAAAUUUUGAAAAUGAUAAAGAUGAACGCUCAAAGAUUAAUGUAAAUAAAGAUAUUCCAUUUAACAUUCGAAGUUUUUGACAAUAAAGUAAUUUAGCCCCUAUUUGAUGGGGAUUAAAAUUAAUUUUUUAAUAAAUUUUGAUAAAAAUUUUGAAAUAUGUGGUCGAAAAAUUGUGGGACCCAUAAAAAAGGUAGUUAAUAUUGAUUAUUUGACUUUGAAUUAGAUUAAGCCCCCCGUUUGGCCCUUAUUAAAUUACAUUUCAUUUUUCUCUCUCAUAUUUUUAAUCAUACAAUCUUUCAUAAAAUAAUAUCACACGUAAAUCGAAAAUUUUUCUUUCUUUUUCAACCACUCAUUUAAAAAAAAAAAUAUUCCACCCAUUUUCAUUUCCAAAAAAUAGGAACUAAACAUGGGCUAAAAUCCGAUUUAAAUCAAUAUCAAUCAAGGGCUUAAUUACAAAAAUAAAAAAAGAUCAAUCUAAUCGCGUUCGAGAAAUACAUGGAUGAACCAGUUUAUAUGCCAGCAAUAUGACAUCAUUCUGUUCGAAAUUCUGUCCUUAAAAUGAAAUCCUAUAAUACUUAACUUCAUUGUUGUCCUGUUUGAGCUCUUUUUUGAAGUAAUGUAUUAUGAAAUAGUGAUCGAUGGAGAAUGUGUAGUUAAAAGUGGAGAAAAAGUUUUUUUAUUUACGUAUAAUAUUAUUUUAAUAAAGAAUGUGUGAUUGAAAAUUGAGUACCGUAGGAAAAGAAUGUCAUAUAGAGCUUGUUUAGUAGAGAUUUUGAGAAUUGAUUUUUUAAACAUUAGAGACAAAGUAGGACCAACUUGUGAGAGAAGAAUUAAAAAAUGAAGGCUGAAAUAGUGAAAUAACAGAAAAAAAAUUUGAUUUUAAUUGACUUAAAAUCGCCCCCAAACAAGCACAUAAUGUAAAAGAAUGGGAUUUAAAUAGGGGCAAUAGUAACUACUACUAUUCUAUUAAUUAAAAUAAAUAUGAUACUUUAAUUGUAAGUUCUCAUGUUUAAAUAUUUUAACACAACAAAAAAUAUUAAAACAAGGUUUUAUCAUUAUUUUUUAAUUACGAGAACUUUCAUUGUAGAUUUUUGUGUUUAGCGUCUUAAUAGGAUAAUUAACUUAUAAUCAGGUACAUGUUUACAUCAAUUUCAGUAUAUUCAUAUCUGUUUACUCUUCGAAUAGACAAUAUAUAUGAUCAUUGUGGCUUUUGAUAAAAAAAUUAUACCAAUUAAAACAUAAUCAAUUUUAAUAUUUAUAUUUUUUUUCAUAAAUUACUACAUAGCUUCUAUAUGAUAACAUAUAUAUGACUAGAAACGACAAUAGAUCGAGGCGAACAUGCGAUGGUCCUCCCCAUUUCUCAUCUCAUCGAAAUUUUACAGUGAGACGAGGAUAUAAUAUCUUCAUUCGUAUCUUUUAGUUAAUUAAUUUUAACUUUUUUUAAAAAAAAUUAAAACGAUUUUGACAUUAAAAAUAUUUAAAUAUAUUAAAAAAAAGAUUCGGGAUGGAAUGGAGAAAUUCGAGGGGGAGAAAAUGUUCCCCUCCUCGUAAUAAAUACUUAAUAGGACGGAACGGAUGAUGAUGAAUUAUUUUGUUAUUCCUCAAUGAAUUAUUUAACUUCGAAGUUGAUACCAAAUUCUAUUUCACUAUUAAGAAUUUAAAACAAACAUCACAAAAUAUAGUAAAUAAAAUAUUUUGAUAACUUUCUAAAUUAAAAAGAUAAAUAACAUAGAAAAAAGUUUCAGUUUCCUCAUAAUUUUCUUUGGCCGUCCACCAAAACAUGUUCCCUAAUUUUAGAGAACUCUUCCUCUUCCUUUUCCUCAACCAAAACCCUUCUCUCUCACAAAUUGCAAAAUCAUUCUAUCAUCCUCUCCAAAAAUCCAACUGUCAUUUAUCUCAAUAUCACCGGCAAAUCAUAAAUUUGUCUCGUCUUCUUCCACGUAGGUACAUAUUCUUGGUGAGAUCUUCCCCUUGUUUUUUCCCUCUUCUUUUUCUCUCUUUUCUUCCACAAUUACUAUUCCUAGUAAGUUAGCGAUAUCAUUGUCAUGGGCUUUUUUCAUUGUGUUAGAUUUCAUUUUCUAUUUUGGGUUUCUUGGGUUCUUAAUUUCUCUGUUUGUGCAAACCUACGUGGGUUUGUGAAAUAAGGAAAGAGAAAUUUUAAUUUGUGUUUGAUAAUGUAGGUUAUAGAGUGGCGUUCGAAGGUAGCACUGAGUUGUGCAUGCUCAGUAUAAUUAGAUCAUAUAAAUUCAAACUAAGAGAAAGACCAAGAAAAUUAGUUUAUGGGAGAGCAAAUUACUGAAUGCAUUAAGCUGUUCCUGUAAAAUGUUGAUGGAGGAGGGUAAGUGUGAGAAGGAGCAAUUUCUAAAUUUAACAAGCAAAUUGUUCCAAUAAUGAAGUAAAAGAAGGAGGUUUCAGUUUAAUUUUCCAUUCAAAUUCAUAUUUAUUCUAUUUUGAUGUGAAAGACGAUCAAGAGUUUUGAAAAUAUACGUAGUCUACUUCUCCUAUUAAGAAAGAUGUGGUUUGAUCUCAAUAUUUUUUAGGAACUUUCUAUUGCAUUUUGAUUUUAAUUAUAUAUUCAUUAGGGAAUAAUAUAUUUUGAAUUUAUUGUAAAUGAAAGAUAAAAUACUAUUAAUGAAUGAAACUUUAUUGACCAUUAUAAUUCAGAAAAUGAAGGAAAUUAAAUAGAGGUCAUAAUUUCUUCAUUAUUUUUGCAGUAGUUGUAUAAAUAACAUUUAUGUGCUGUAAAAUAUGAUAUUCUAAUUUAGAUAAUUGGUGGUGUAAUUUCUACUUUUUGUCAUCCCUACUUCUUUGGGGCUUUUGCUGUGUGCUAGCAGCACAUUAAAAGUUUUAUGCUUCCAGGUCCACAAUUCUUUUGCGGGAACAAGGUAUUAACUAUACACAAUCUCAAUUUUAAAAAACUACAUCUAAACUUUCAAAAAUCAGGUCAUAAUUAUGAAUUUAUUAAUUUAAAAAAUAUUUGUUUAAUAUAAUAUAUUCUGGUCACAACAUUACAUAUUUUUUUGUCACAAUUGCUCGAUUAUAGGUCACAACUUAUUUAUUAGUCACAUAUUAUCAUCACAAUUUUAUAAGUCACAACUUAUUCGUCAAAUUUUCAAAUUAAUUGAUCACAAAUUAUAUAAUUUUUAGAUCACAAUUAAAAGGUUCACGGAUUAUCUUUCGAUCACAAAUCACAAGUUUUAUAAGUCACAACUUAUUCGUCGAUCACAAAUUUUUAAAUUAGUUAGUCACAAAUUAUUUUCUGAUCACAAAUUAAAUAAUUUUUAGGUCACAAUUAAAUCGUUAGUUACAAAUAACCAAAUUGCAAGUAACAAAGUAAUCAAAUUGUUGGUCACAUGUACCAAACACCCCACUUCCACCUCCGAUCUCAGUCUACCACCAAUGCAGAUGGUCACACUCUUUUUUCCUUGCCUCGCCCGCCGCCGUAGCACCACCACAACUGCCACCAACAUCGACUACAACACCACCACCACUGAUCAUGACACACCAACAAUGCACACAACCAUCGUACCCAACCAUCGCACACAAAAAAUUAUCGGAGACGAUGGCUACGAAGCACAGUUCCCAAACCAGCAGCACUAGAUCUAAGCACAAAUCGAUUGUGAUGCACCACCACACCCAUGCAUAUGCCGGUAGAGAUGAAGGAGAAAUGCUGACAUCGACCGCAUCAUACCAACCACCCACUGCACCCAAUCAGAUCUGCAGCGCCCAUGGAGAAAUGUCGUCGGCGCACACUGCCAACACCACUGCACACAACACUGUCAUUGUUGGUUGCUUCAAAUGACAUCAGUACCUUUGUCAGUGACUUGUGCGAAAGAGGAAAAAAGUGAGGGGUCUUCACGGCGACGAUGAUGGUGGCUACGCCUUGUGUGAGAGAGAGAGAGAGAUGUGAUUUGAAGGAUGACAAGAGAAAUGAAAUGAGAAAAUUAGGGUUUGGAAUAUAAUAGGUUGAAUUAAUUUAAUUUUAUAUUAUUAUUAUUAUUAUUUAAAAUACAUAAUCACCUGAUUUUUGUAUUAUGAUACUUAAAUCUUGAUUUAUGAAAACGGAAUCUUAAUUUCCUCUUCUUUUGCUUUUGAUGUAUAUUAGGCUUUUAUUGGGCGCUAAGAGCACAUUAAAAGUUUUAUGGCGUGGAAAGGCCUAUAUAUAUACACGCACACUCACUUACACUUUUAUUGAUUGGUCCGUACAGAGAGAGGGUUGUCAAAAACUAGUUGCUAACAUUCCAUUGAUUGAAUCCUACAAAACGUUUGUCAAGAGCUUUAACUCUCUUCAGGUGUGUGUGUGUGUGUGUGUGUGUGUCGGCUUAUUCUCCUACGAGUUGUUUCUCCUUUUGAUGAUUGGUUUUGCUUCAACUGAUUAUCUUAUUUUUUGGGCAUUGUAUUGGAAAAUAUGAAGCAUUAGUAUAAAUAUUGUGUUGAAAUUAGGUUUUUUCUUAGUUAUUCAAUUUUGAAGCUCUCUUAUGAUUUGCAAUUUCACUCUCAAAAGAUGUAAUACUGGAAGGGAAUAUUUUGAAAGAAACAUUUAUAUUAUUUUUCAUAUUUUGAAAAUAUGAAGCAUUGGUAAAAAUUGUGUUGAAAUUAGGUUUUUUCUUAGAUAUUCAAUGUUGAAGCUCUCUUAUGAUUUGCAAUUUCACUCUCAAAAGAUGCAGUACUGGAAGGGAAUAUUUUGAAAGAAACCUUUAUAUUAUUUUUCUAUUUUCAAAUUUGAAGUGGACAAAUUAGCAAUUUAUUGCCAUGACAAUUUUUAUUUUGUCACGAUGUCUAUCGAUGUGGUAGUUUUUCUUAGUAUAUUUGUUCAUGCAAUGAUGUAAAUACUAAAAUCUACUAUUAUCUAGUUGACUAUACAUGUUUUGCUACUCAAACCAUGUUUGGCAAAGCUUAUUCUUUUACUUUAAUUUUGCAAUACUUCAAUAUCAUGUCUAAUUAUUUACUUUUAGUCAUUAACAGUAUGUCAUCUUAUUGUAGUUGGAUGUGGGGGACAAGUGGAUAAGGGUUAUCUUACAAAUGAAUUUAUUAUGGGAGUUGAAGAGUUUAUUGAAUUUGUGAAUUCACGGUCAGGGGUAUCUGAUAAGAUUAGAUGCCCUUGUCGUAAAUGCAGCAAUAAAGAAUUCCAUAUGCGAUAUGAUGUAAAACUUCACUUAUUCAGCAAAGGAUUUAGCCAUGAUUAUACUGAAUGGUAUGCACAUGGUGAACAAUACAUUAGUCGAUUUAAUUUGGGUGAAUCCUCAAAUGCAAAAGAACAAAGUGAAUGUAGAAAUCAAGCAAUGGUGAUGGAUGCAAUGGGCCCUAAUAUUUACAAUACUCUUUUGAAUUAGCAACAUUCUUUUCUAUAAGAACAUGAGUCGAAUCCAAGAACUGAAAAUUUCUUUAGACUACUUCGAAAAGCUAAUGAACCUAUAUAGCCCGGUUGUACAAAACACUCUAAACUUCCAGCUUUGAAUUUUAAGUCUAAAUUUAAUAUCUCUGCAAUAUGUUAUUGUCAUAUGUUGUCCAUAAUUACAGACAUGUUGCCACAAGGUGCACAAUUAGAGGAUACAUUUUACAAAACAAAGAAAAUUUUAAGUAGUCUUGGUCUUCCUUAUAUGAAGAUACACGCAUGUGAUAAUGUUUUCAUGUUGUACUAUAAAGAAAGUAAGAAUUUGAAAGAGUGUUUGAUCUGUGGUAAGGAACAAUAUAGAGAGAAACCUUCUAGAUUAGGACGUAAGAUGCCAUACAAGGUAUUGUGAUAUUUACCUCUAAUACCUAGACUAAAAAUGUUGUAUAUGUCAAGGCAUACAAUAGAGCAUAUGAUAUGGCAUUCGAAACAUAAAUUUAUGAGUGGAGAGAUGUCACAUCCAGUACAUGGUAAGGCAUGGAAGCACUUCAACACAAUUUAUCCAUAAUUCUUCCUUGAUCAUCAUAAUGUGCGUGUAGGUUUACGCAUUAAUGACUUUUUUGCCCUUUCAGUAGAAAUUCUAAGCUAUACUCGUGUUGGCCAAUAAUUAUCAUUGUGUAUAAUUUCCCACCUUUCAUGUGUAUGAAAAAAGAUAACAUGAUUCUGAGCAUGAUUAUCCCAGGUCCUAAAAGUCCAAGCAAAAGUUUAGAUAUAUACAAAACAAAAUUUUCAAAUCAAAGCAUCUUUGAUGUGGACUAUAAGUGAUUUUCCUGGGUACGGCAUGUUAUCUGGAUGGAGUACUCAUGGUCCAAUGGCUUGUCGUUAUUGUAUGCAUCUAACUAUAAAUCCUUCAGACUUAAACGUAAACGUAAGAUCUCUUUUUUAUUGCCAUUGUUGCUUCUUACCACAAGAUCAUCUGUUAAAAAAACAACGAGGCUAUUUUAUGAAACGUACAAUUGAAAAUGAUACGGCUCCUCCUCGAUUAUCAGGUGAUCUUAUUUGAUGUAUGCAUGAGGACCUUCCCGACAUUCCUUAUGAUAAAGCGUCUAGUAGACAAGAAAUUGAAGGUUUUGGAUGUAACCAUAAUUCGGUAAAGAAAAAUAUAUUUUGGGAAUUACCUUAUUGGCAUACAAAUCUCGUAUGCCAAAACUUAGAUGUGAUGUACAUUGAAAAAAUAUAUUUGAUAAUGUGUUCAACACAGUUAUGGACAUAAAAGGAAAAACAAAGGAUAAUGUAGAGGCAAAGAUUUGGAGAUUCAUUGUAAUCGGGCAGAGCUCCACUUAUUUAGAGAUGAAAAAAAAAUAAAAAUAAAAAAAAUACUUUUAAGCCAAAGGCUGACAAAUGAGCAGAAAAGGAAUGUAUGUGAUUGGGUUAAAGGAUUAAGAAUGCCAGAUAGUUAUUCUUCUAACAUUGCUCGUUGUGUUAAAGGCGAUGGUGAGUUUUACGGGAUGACGAGCCACGAUUGUCAUAUCUUUAUGCAAAGAUUGAUUCCAAUAGCAUUUAGAGAUCUAUUGCCAAAACCAAUUUGGGAAGCAUUAACUAAAACUUAGUCAUUUUUUCAGAGAUAUAUGCUCUACCGUUUUAAGAGUAGAAAACAUGGAAAAACUCGAUGGCAAUAUUGUUGUAACAUUAUGCAAACUGGAAAAGAUUUUUCCACCAGCAUUUUGUGACUCAAUGGAACAUUUGCCAGUUUACUUAGCAUAUGAAGCUAAGGUAGGAGGUCCUGUGCAAUAUCGAUGGAUGUAUCCUUUUGAGAGGUAACGGGAAAAUUAUUAGCAUUACCAUUCCAGAUAUUAAUAUGUGUAUUAACGUAAUACCCAUACAUUUCAAGUACAUAUUUCACCUAAAAAAAGUUUUAAAAAAAAAAUCAAAAUCAUGCUGAAGCAUCUAUAGUAAAAGCAAACAUUGUAGAGGAAAUAUCUAACUUUUGUAGGUUAUACUUUAACACAAAUGUUAAAACACGAUUGAAUCAUCCACUGAGGAAUGAUGAUGACGGGAAUGUUAAUCCGCAAGGAAGACUAUCAAUUUUCACAAAGUUUGGUCGAUUCCUUGGUAAUAAGGCUCCAAAUAUAAAGUUUAUGAAAGAUUAAGAGCUACAAACAGCACCACUUUAUGUGCUAUUAAACUGUGAAGAAAUUAUCCCUUUUGUGUGGUAGGCUAUACUAAUAAUCAAUAUAUAUUUUCUCGAAGCAUAAUUAGUUACACUAACUUUUACAUCAUGAUCUUAUUUAUAGGAAGUUCGAUCAACAUAUGAGAAUGGAUUAUCCUUAGGUGUCUGAUGCACAACUUAUCAAUUAUGUGACAACUGUUUUCCUCAUUAGCUAAAAGAAUAUGUCAGAUGCUCAUUAUUAUACAUAUAACCAACAUAAGCUAUUAGUAAGCACAUUUCAUUUUCUCAAGUUUUGGAUUGUAGGAAUAUGGUGGACUCCGAAGUAAAGAACAUCGGUUUAGGUCUUUCUAGUAAAGUGAAAUGUUACAAUGGAUACUUUGUGAAUGGUUUCAAAUUCCAUAAUUUUGAAUACGGUUUAAAUAAUACGUCUAUUAAUAGUGGUGUGUGCAUUCUCGAAAGUUUUUAUAAUGACUAUGAGCGCGACUACUAUGACAUGUUACUUGAAGUUUGGGAAAUUGAAUAUUUUGGACCUCAAAAUAGGGUUGUCUUAUUUAAAUGCCAUUAGUUUGAGAGCGAGAAUGAGAUUCGUGUACAUCCACGAUUUGCUAUAUGUUUUCGAUUUUAUCCCGCAAGUGGAUGGUUCGUAACAAGUAAUAAAGUGGACCUUUUGAGUCCGGAUUAUCGUUCCCACGAGGACUAUAUUUUAGUACUUAAUUUAUUAUUCCUAACUUCUAUUUACUGAAAAUAAAUAAAUAGAAAUUGAAUGUGAUUCUUAAAUCUAAAUUUUAAAAAAAAAUGCGAAUGGAUGCAAUAGAAAAUGAUUGAGAAUUCAAAUAAUAAAGGACGUUAGGGCGGAACAAUUUCAUCUAAUGGUCACCUUUACUUCGUUAAUCAAGAUUCAUACAACCUAAAGUAAUGUUCGGUCAAAUUCUUCUAUGGUAUUCAACUUACCCUUCUCGAGUUCUCGUUGAGCCUAUUUAGUUAAUUCAAUUUCAUAUCUCUAUGCAAAUUAAAUUUAAUUAAAUGCAACAUUGGUUCUAAGAAUUCAUACACGACCGCAGCAAUCAAUAUAGGUAUCUCUACACGUUAUAUCAAUUUACUGAAUUUUAACAUGUAGUCUAAACAAAUAAUCCGUAUCUCUACGCAAUCAUUGUUCACAAAUCAUCUAAUUAGUGAUUAAGUAAUUAAAUGCAUUAAGAACAACAUUAAAAUCAACACAUAAAAUAUAAAAGCACUAGAAUCUUAAUUCAACGAAAUAAAGGGUUCCAAAAGAUUACGUUGUUCGUCCUAAUUUUGAUUUAGCUACGCAUAAUAAUGAAAGAAAAACACAAAUUUAUUAGGAAAUUCAUCACCGGGUCAAUUGACGGAACGUAAAUAAUUUGCAAGACUGAAUUGCCGUCUUUUGCCGUGUCUGCUUCCUUUCAAUUUCAGCCUCUUGUCUUGUGUGUGUGAUUAGCAGCCGCCAAUUUUAUUAAUUGAAGAAGUCAAGUUGAAGCCACCAUUUCUGUAUCAAUUUUUAUUAAUUGAAGAAGUCAAGUUGAAGCCACCAUUUCUGUAUCAAUUUUUGUGUAUAUUCAGCUUUAGUUUUCUCUUUUAUUCAGCCCAAAGGCAGCCUCAAUUUUUUACUUCAAUCAACCCCAAAGCUGCUGCCAAUUAAUUCCCAGACAAACUCCCAACUGCUGCCCUCAAAAUAUGUGCGUAAAUAAGAAUAAUGAUGCAGCAACCAGGAGCUUUCAAUUCCUCUUCUCUCUGGUUUUCUGUGCAUGUAUAUAGAGAGAGAGUUCAUCCCCCAGCCAAUUUUUCUGUGCUUGUAUAUAUAUCCUCCCAAGAAGAAAAAUUGGCAGCCACAAUAAUUUUCUCCAAAAGGACUUCUCUCUUUUUUCCCAGCGGCCGCCGAAUUUUUUUCUCUCCAGAAAACUCUCUCCCCCAUUCCCCUUAGUUGGUAUGUAUAUAUAUAUUAUAUAUAAAAAACCUAGGGCCACCCUAGUUGACUAAGAAAAGGACUCUCUCUCCUCUCUUUACUUGGCUUGUACGUGUUUAUAUAUAUAAAAUAACCUAGCCACAAUAUGACUUCAAAAUAGACUCUAAUAAUGUCAAUUGCCUGCCACCUUUGUUGACUAAAGAAAACACUAAUUCAUACAUGCAUGUAGGGGUUAAAUCAACACCAAUUGAUACCAUAAUUAUUCUUCAAGCAUUCGACUUUUUAAGUUAAUGCAAUGUAGUCCUUGAGUUCCUCCAUUGUGCAAUCAACGUCCUCUUUAAUUUUUCAAGUGUUGAAUUUGAUCUUCAAUAUUGCAUCAACUAGCCAAUUUGUUCUUCAUCCUUUUCCAUUUGCUCCAAACGAGUCCAUCACUAAAAACAAACUAAAAUUAACUCAAGUUAAAUAGAAAUUAAUAAUUUGACGACAUAAAAACUUAAUAAAAUGGUCUAAAUAAGUGCAUAAUUUGUACUCAUCAAAUACCCCAAAACUUAAACUUUUGUUCAUCCUCGAACAAAAUCAUAGACUAAAUAAUAACCAACACACAAGCAUGCAAAAAUAUUUGGUUGGACGGUUUUAGCUUUUUACUUCAGGAUCAAGAUAUUAGUGUUUACUCUAUAAACAUGAUUCAAAGUCACAGUACCAAACUAAUAUCCACUCUUCCAAUAUAAAAAUUGACUUGUGUGUGUGAAGAAUCGAGUAAUCAACUAUGACUGCACAAGUUGUUUCAAUUCCCAACCCUUAAUGGUCAUAUAUGUCGUUUCAUCACUCGUAAGAUUCACACAUACCCAAACUUAUGUUUUUUUCAUUCUUUCCCAGUGUGUAAUCUAAGGCUAAAUAUUUCAUCACUAUCCUCACCCUCUCGAGUUUAGAUGGACGUUACUAAUUGCAAGUCAACACUUUAAUGAACAGGGAUUCUCCAAUUAUUUGAUUGCUUCGACCUUCAAGACUCAACUAGCUAAUUAUCUUGCAUCAAAAGUCAAAUUCCCUCAAAUAAGUGUUAGGACUUAACCAAUGUAUUUAGUGCUUUUGCUCUUUUCAUGCACUUGCUUUUUUUCUAUUUUUCACAAGUAUAUAUAUAUUUUUAUAUCUCUCCAUUAAGCUUUCUAAAUGACCCAUGUAGUAGGCUUUAGGUCGAUGACUCCCAAACCAGAUGAUUUUAGGGCACCAGGUUUUUAAAUACCCUUACAGGCUUACUGGCCCGAGUAAAAAAGGCUUCGAAGAGAACAAUUUUUUUUUUAGUGUAGCUGUCUCUAAUUUAUUUCUAAAUGACCCACAUAACGAGCUUUAGGCCGAUGGCUCUCAAGUCAGACGACUUUAGGGCAUCAGGUUUUAAGAUACCCUUACAGACUUAAUCACUCGAGUCAUAAAGGCUUCAGAGAAAAGUUCAAAAUUUUCAAAUGUAUAUCUCUUGAUUAGUGCAAUGCCCCUUAUCACACACUUAUUCAAACAAACCGACCUCUAACUUAAGAAUUUCGCAGGGUUUUAUCAUGUUAGUCUAAGACAAUCCACACAUAAAUAUUUCACACAUGGAAUCUACAUUCACAUCCGCAUCUUCCUACGACUAUAAAGUCACCUCUAAACUGUGCUAAAUUUGGUCUAAGGAUAGAUAAUUUAUUCUGGUUUAGGUAAAGCAUCUAUGUCCAACUAAAUCAACCUAUCAAAAGCAGGAAACAACUUAUUUAAUCAUAAUGUCAAACUCAAUUCUAGUGCGCUUGUAAUAUCAAAUUUUGCAAGGUUGAGCUUCAAUUAGUCUAGCAUGCAUCUUAUCCACAGUUCAUAAAUCAACACUAAAUCUCAAAUUAAAUCAUCAUUGUCUGCCAGAUUGUCUAACCCACACAAGCACGCAUCUGAACAAAAGAGAUUAUUAUUAUUAUUUAAAAUUUAAUUAAUAUAUAUUUAUUUUUUUCAAACAAACACACAAAAACAUAUCACCCCAAACUUAAAACUGACACUGUCCUCAUUGUCAUAAAGCAUAAAUAAACACAUAAAGGGGGUAGGGAAGAAAAAAAGGAAGGUACUCCCCAAAUUUUUCUGUUGAAUGUGUGAGGCACUAUGUGUGACGGCUGGAUAGUAUGCUUCAUCAUACUUUCUCUUGGAUCUAUGUUGGUUUGAGUGUUCCACGAUGUCAUAUUCCUGAAAAAUCAAAUCUGACUAAUGAAAUACAGGGAACAAGGGUUACUUAGCUCAAACAAUCAAAAUAACCAACAAUAAAUUCAAGGGCCUGAGGGUAUAAAAGAUAUGGGUGAUGACUCCUAGAAAUUGAAACGUGCCUAAAUCUAAUGCAACCUAGUAAACAAAACAAAAAUGUAUGCUAUGCGAUACGAUAAGAAAAAUAAAAAGUUUGAAAAUUGGAUUGCCUCCCAAUAAGCGCUUCUUUUAAGUCAUUAGCUGGACUUUGUGCUGCUAUUAUUCUGGUACAGCUAGGUAUAUGCUCUCUUUAGCGGUGGGGAAAUCUUCCACGUAGUGCUUGAUAUGUUGGCCAUUUACUUUGAAGUUUCCCUUUGUUGGAUGGUGUAAUUCAAUUAUGCCGUAGGGAAACACUUGAGAGGCCGUGAAAGGGUCGGACCAUCUAGAUUUCAAUUUUCCUGGGAAUAGUUUAAGUCUGGAAUUGUAUAAAAGCACUCGAUCUCCUACUCGAAAAAUUCUUUGCCUGAUGUUCUUGUCAUGCCAUUGCUUCGUCCUUUCCUUAUAAAUGGCUGCAUUCUCAUAUGCUUCUCUUUUGAAUUCUUCCAAUUCAUGUAGCUGAAGUAUUCUUGUUUCUCCAGCCUUGUCGAGGUCCAUGUUUAACUGCUUCAAUGCCCAAUAUGCUCUAUGUUCAAACUCCAUUAGUAGGUGGCAUGCUUUUCCAAAUACUAGUCGAUAUGGGGACAUUCCAAUAGGUGUUUUGUAAGCAGUACGAUAUGCCCAUAAAGCGUCGUCUAAUUUCUUUGACCAAUCCUUGCGAGAUGCAUUCACAAUGAGCUCCAGAAUUCUUUUCAAUUGUCUGUUUGAGGUCUCCACUUGUCUGAGGGUGGUAAGGAGUGGCAAUUCGAUGUUGUACCCCGUACUUAUGCAGCACUACUUGGAAUAACCGAUUGCGGAAGUGAGUUCCACCAUCACUUAUUAUGCCCCUAGGUGAUCCAUAGCGGUUAAAGAUGUGUUUCUUUAUGAAGUCCACCACUACCCUUGCGUCAUUUAUAGGCAAUGCUUUAGCUUCUACCCAUUUAGAAACAUAAUCCACUACUACUAGGAUGUACCGAUUGUUAUAAGAUGAUGGAAAAGGACCCAUAACAUCAACUCCCCAAACAUCAAAUACUUCCACUUCCAAAAUGUUGUUUAGUGGCAUCUCGUGACGCGCUGAUAUGUUACCAGUUCUCUGACACUUAUCGCAUGACCUGUAGAAACUGUGGCAGUCCUUGAACAUUGUAUGCCAAAGAAACCACAUUGAAGCACCUUUGCUGCUGUUUUAGUGGGGCCAAAGUGUCCUCCAUAUGCCGAAGCAUGAACCUGUGAAAGGAUCUGUUUCAUCUCAUCCUCUGGAACACAUCUCCUAAUGAUCUGGUCUGCCCCUCUCCUAUAUAAAUUUGGAUCAUCCCAAUAAUAGAAUUUCGCUUCAUGAAGCAGCUUCUUUUUCUGCUGAUAGGUGAGAUCAGGAUCCAUAUAGCCACUAGCUAGGUAAUUAACAAUGUUUGCAUAUCACGGAGCCUUUUCUAUUUGUAAUAACUGUUCAUUUGGGAAAACCUCAUUAAUAUCCAUGUCAUCUGAAUCAUGAAGUUGCUCUAGCCUUGAUAAAUGAUUCGCUACCUGAUUUUCUAUACCCUUUUUGUCGCGAACUUCAAUGUCAAACUCUUGCAGUAACAAAACCCAUUGAAUCAGCCUAGGUUUAGCAUCCUUAUUCUCAAACAGAUAUUUCAAUAAUGAAUAUAUAUUUUCUCGAAGCAUAAUUAGUUACACUAACUUUUACAUCACGAUCUUAUUUAUAGGAAGUUCAAUCAACAUAUGAGAAUGAAUUAUUCUUAGCUAGCUGAUGCACAACUUGAUCAAUUACGUGACAACCGUUUUCUCCAUUAGCUAAAAGAAUAUGUAAGAUGCUCAAUAUUAUAUAUAUAACCUACAUAAGCUAAUAGUAAGCACAUUUCAGUUUCUCGGGUUUUGGAUGAUAGGAAUAUGGUGGACUCUGAAGUAAAGAACAUCAGUUUAGGUCUUUCUAAUAAAGUGAAAUGUUACAAUGGAUACUUUGUGAAUGGUUUCAAAUUCCAUAAUUUUGAAUAUGACUUAAAUAAUACGUCUAUGAAUAGUGGUGUGUGCAUUCUUGAAAAUUGUUAUAAUGACUAUGAGCGCGACUACUAUGACAUGUUACUUGAAGUUUGGGAAAUUGAAUAUUUCGGACCUCAAAAUAGGGUUGUCUUAUUUAAAUGCCAUUAGUUUGAGAGCGAGAAUGAGAUUCAUGUACAUCCACAAUUUAACCUUGUUGAGAUUAAUCAUAAGAAAAUUGUAUUGAGAAAUGACAUUUUCGUACUUGCCCAACAAGCUCAACAAGUAUACUACACAAUGUUUCCUUCAAAUUCUAGAGAUGACGUGACUGGUGGGCAGUUGUGAAAAUAAAAACUCAACAUGUAAUUGAUAUUCAAGGAAUCCUAUCAGAAAAUGACGAUUGUAAUACAUCGAUUGAACUUCUAUUCUAAAAGGAUCGAUCACCUAAUAUACGACAACUUUCAAUUGCUCUGGAGUUAGAUCAUGAAAAUCUAGUUCGAGAUAAUGUUUUUCUAGAAGAAAUAGAUAUAGAUGAGACUAGUAACAUUGUGAACUCUCAAAUGCUUAAUACAAAAGAAGUUCUCAAGAACAAGAUGAUAUACAUGAGGUAGACGAUGACACUAAUAGCUCAACAUCGAAUCCAAGUGAAAAUGAUAAUGAUGAACAUGUAUGCUUAUAACUAUCAUUAUUUUUGUGUUUCUUAUGUUCUCUUCACUUGAUAAAAUAUUUAUUUAAUUUAGUACUAUUGUAUUUAAUUUGUGUUCCUUCAUAUUUUGAAUUGGCUUUGCUAGCAGGAUGACACGGACUAGAGGAGGUUAUAAAUCUAAUCAAUCAAAUUACAAGAGAUCCACAAGGUAUAGUGGCAGGAGUUUUUCACACUGCGGUUGUCGAUAUUGUGAGGCUAAUAUUUCCAAUGAUGAUAUGGAAGAUGAGGAUAUAGACGAACCAUUGUACCAAGAAGACAUGCCAUCUAGAUCUAAUAAUUGGGCUAAGGGUUAUAGGUAAAUUUUAAAUAUAUGUUUAUUAUGCAUUGUGAAAUAUCUGUGUAAAUAGGUUGUGCCCUAUUUGUUCAGAAUUAUUUUCAAAUAUAAAAUUCAUCUACAUAUUCUUAAGUGAAAGAAAGAGCUAACAAUAAUCAUUAAAAGAAAUUAACAGCUUGGCAACAAAUUUAACUAUUAUUGUUUUCAAUUGGUUUUGCAAGCACUAUGUCACCAACUAAUGGAAUAUAUACAGGUCAAACAAGUCAAUAGAGAUCUAUACAACAUGGUGAUAGGGGAUCUUCGCGUGUUUGAUAUGGUAAUCAUGAGGCUAAUAUUUCCAAUCAUGAGGUCAAAGAUGAGCUAUAACACCCCAAUUUUUAAUUAAGGGUUUGAAUCGCUACCAAAAUUUUCAUGUAAAUUUAAACAGCGUGGCACAAUAACAUAUAUAAUUAUGAAAUGGUAAUUUACUCAAAUUUGGAUAAAAAGUUAUUAAUCUAUAUAAAAGAAAGAAAGAAUAUUUUCCUACGCCAUAUCAUUCACAUGUACAUAAAAGAAAAGCACAUAAAAUUAAUCUUCAAUUUAAUGUUAAAGACAAAAACCACUCCUUUUUAUAUCUUUUUUUUUAACUGUUCAAGUGUGAAACAAUUAUUAUUUGACAUUAUAUGUGUGUGUGUGUGUGCGCGCAGAGAAGAAUUCCAUAUAUUUACAUAAGCAAAAUUCCAAAUCAAAGUUAAUAUGCUUCUCUCUUUCUUCAAAACGUGGCACACUGCUCCAAAAAAGAGAGAAUACUUCCAAAAAUUGCCUUACUUUAUUAAAGAAUUCACACACAACAUCACAAUAUGAGACAUACUUAAUGUAUGGAUAUUAGUCAACGAUGUUUAAAAUCUUCAAUUUACCGUGUAGUAUAUCCAAAGGAGAUAUUGAAGGGUGAUGUGACAAGUGAGGAAUCAUUACUUUGACCAUCAAUUUUCAUAAAUUCUGGGAAGGUCACGAAAAGUACAUAAAAUUAAUCUUCCACACAAACAAGGCAGUAGAAUAUAACCAAUUACUUUUAAAUAGUGAAAUCAAUAGAAAAAAUAAUAUUUAAUUCAAAUUUUAUCUAAACAGCAAACGACACAUGUUCAUCUACAAAUAGAUAUGUACGAAUUUACUAUUAUUAUUAUCUUUUAAAAAAAUAAAUGUCUACUACAAUAACUUAAAAUAAAUAUGAAUCAUGAAGUUGCUCUAGCCUUGAUAAAUGAUUCGCUACCUGAUUUUCUAUACCCUUUUUGUCGCGAACUUCAAUGUCAAACUCUUGCAGUAACAAAACCCAUUGAAUCAGCCUAGGUUUAGCAUCCUUAUUCUCAAACAGAUAUUUCAAUAAUGAAUAUAUAUUUUCUCGAAGCAUAAUUAGUUACACUAACUUUUACAUCACGAUCUUAUUUAUAGGAAGUUCAAUCAACAUAUGAGAAUGAAUUAUUCUUAGCUAGCUGAUGCACAACUUGAUCAAUUACGUGACAACCGUUUUCUCCAUUAGCUAAAAGAAUAUGUAAGAUGCUCAAUAUUAUAUAUAUAACCUACAUAAGCUAAUAGUAAGCACAUUUCAGUUUCUCGGGUUUUGGAUGAUAGGAAUAUGGUGGACUCUGAAGUAAAGAACAUCAGUUUAGGUCUUUCUAAUAAAGUGAAAUGUUACAAUGGAUACUUUGUGAAUGGUUUCAAAUUCCAUAAUUUUGAAUAUGACUUAAAUAAUACGUCUAUGAAUAGUGGUGUGUGCAUUCUUGAAAAUUGUUAUAAUGACUAUGAGCGCGACUACUAUGACAUGUUACUUGAAGUUUGGGAAAUUGAAUAUUUCGGACCUCAAAAUAGGGUUGUCUUAUUUAAAUGCCAUUAGUUUGAGAGCGAGAAUGAGAUUCAUGUACAUCCACAAUUUAACCUUGUUGAGAUUAAUCAUAAGAAAAUUGUAUUGAGAAAUGACAUUUUCGUACUUGCCCAACAAGCUCAACAAGUAUACUACACAAUGUUUCCUUCAAAUUCUAGAGAUGACGUGACUGGUGGGCAGUUGUGAAAAUAAAAACUCAACAUGUAAUUGAUAUUCAAGGAAUCCUAUCAGAAAAUGACGAUUGUAAUACAUCGAUUGAACUUCUAUUCUAAAAGGAUCGAUCACCUAAUAUACGACAACUUUCAAUUGCUCUGGAGUUAGAUCAUGAAAAUCUAGUUCGAGAUAAUGUUUUUCUAGAAGAAAUAGAUAUAGAUGAGACUAGUAACAUUGUGAACUCUCAAAUGCUUAAUACAAAAGAAGUUCUCAAGAACAAGAUGAUAUACAUGAGGUAGACGAUGACACUAAUAGCUCAACAUCGAAUCCAAGUGAAAAUGAUAAUGAUGAACAUGUAUGCUUAUAACUAUCAUUAUUUUUGUGUUUCUUAUGUUCUCUUCACUUGAUAAAAUAUUUAUUUAAUUUAGUACUAUUGUAUUUAAUUUGUGUUCCUUCAUAUUUUGAAUUGGCUUUGCUAGCAGGAUGACACGGACUAGAGGAGGUUAUAAAUCUAAUCAAUCAAAUUACAAGAGAUCCACAAGGUAUAGUGGCAGGAGUUUUUCACACUGCGGUUGUCGAUAUUGUGAGGCUAAUAUUUCCAAUGAUGAUAUGGAAGAUGAGGAUAUAGACGAACCAUUGUACCAAGAAGACAUGCCAUCUAGAUCUAAUAAUUGGGCUAAGGGUUAUAGGUAAAUUUUAAAUAUAUGUUUAUUAUGCAUUGUGAAAUAUCUGUGUAAAUAGGUUGUGCCCUAUUUGUUCAGAAUUAUUUUCAAAUAUAAAAUUCAUCUACAUAUUCUUAAGUGAAAGAAAGAGCUAACAAUAAUCAUUAAAAGAAAUUAACAGCUUGGCAACAAAUUUAACUAUUAUUGUUUUCAAUUGGUUUUGCAAGCACUAUGUCACCAACUAAUGGAAUAUAUACAGGUCAAACAAGUCAAUAGAGAUCUAUACAACAUGGUGAUAGGGGAUCUUCGCGUGUUUGAUAUGGUAAUCAUGAGGCUAAUAUUUCCAAUCAUGAGGUCAAAGAUGAGCUAUAACACCCCAAUUUUUAAUUAAGGGUUUGAAUCGCUACCAAAAUUUUCAUGUAAAUUUAAACAGCGUGGCACAAUAACAUAUAUAAUUAUGAAAUGGUAAUUUACUCAAAUUUGGAUAAAAAGUUAUUAAUCUAUAUAAAAGAAAGAAAGAAUAUUUUCCUACGCCAUAUCAUUCACAUGUACAUAAAAGAAAAGCACAUAAAAUUAAUCUUCAAUUUAAUGUUAAAGACAAAAACCACUCCUUUUUAUAUCUUUUUUUUUAACUGUUCAAGUGUGAAACAAUUAUUAUUUGACAUUAUAUGUGUGUGUGUGUGUGCGCGCAGAGAAGAAUUCCAUAUAUUUACAUAAGCAAAAUUCCAAAUCAAAGUUAAUAUGCUUCUCUCUUUCUUCAAAACGUGGCACACUGCUCCAAAAAAGAGAGAAUACUUCCAAAAAUUGCCUUACUUUAUUAAAGAAUUCACACACAACAUCACAAUAUGAGACAUACUUAAUGUAUGGAUAUUAGUCAACGAUGUUUAAAAUCUUCAAUUUACCGUGUAGUAUAUCCAAAGGAGAUAUUGAAGGGUGAUGUGACAAGUGAGGAAUCAUUACUUUGACCAUCAAUUUUCAUAAAUUCUGGGAAGGUCACGAAAAGUACAUAAAAUUAAUCUUCCACACAAACAAGGCAGUAGAAUAUAACCAAUUACUUUUAAAUAGUGAAAUCAAUAGAAAAAAUAAUAUUUAAUUCAAAUUUUAUCUAAACAGCAAACGACACAUGUUCAUCUACAAAUAGAUAUGUACGAAUUUACUAUUAUUAUUAUCUUUUAAAAAAAUAAAUGUCUACUACAAUAACUUAAAAUAAAUAAAAUUAUGUACUAAAUUAGUUCUUUAUUGAACGAAACGAGGUACAACCACACCAUAGAAUCACCACGUUCUAACACAAACCGUUCUAACGUGUGAGGCGUAGGGAAAAAGGUGAGUAUAAGAGAAUACUCAGUAGGAUAUAAAAAUUAAUGGUGCAUUCUCGUAUAAAAAAAUUAAACAAAUGUGUCAAAAUAUCAUACAGUCUCAUAUCUUUAAAAUUCCGUAAGAGCUCAUAUCAUAUCAUUGUACUGGAAAUGACCAUAUCAUUUAUAUCAUAGAAUUUUAUAUCAUAAUUUUAACUUUCAUGAGUACAAAAUUCAUCAACAUGUGGAAAAAAAAUUGAACGGGACAUAAAAUAAUGCAUCUUGAUAUCUUACCUUAUUAGAUCGUUUUAAUUAUUUGAAAGACAAAACCAAAGAAAUCACGCUCCAAAAUCCUUCUCGCUGCUUCAAGGAUUUAUAUUAUUUAAAUUGACUUCCUUAUUAAAAUUUCAAUACCACAAGUAUUUGUAUCUUUAAAUUUUUUUAGGGUACAAAGUAAGAAUCCUUUUACACUUCAUAAAGUAUAAAGUAUGUAAUUUACCUGAUUCCAACACUUUUCUCUCUCUACAACUGUGUACUUAUGCAUAUGUCUUCUUUGAUAUACAUAUAUAAAUAUAUCACCCCAUGAUCUAGUCUAACAAAGUGGGUGUGCAGUUGGCGAAACGUGUAGAAGUAGGAUAGGGGUAUGAAUAAGAACUGGGAAACAGACUUUUGAAAUAAAAUAAUUGACCAAGUUUUGCCAACCAACUAUACCACUCAAAUCAAUAUAUUUCAUACACUUGCUCUUGCAACAAUUUGACAGGAAAAUCAUUAAAGUCUCUCUCUCUCUCUCUUUCUCUCUCUCUCUCUCAGGUGGUUUCCUCUUCCAUCUCUCUUCUAUUUUUUUUAUUAAUAAAACAUCAAUCACUACCCUAUUGAGAAUCUAGUUUUAUACACGUCAACCAUAUAUAAAUUUUAAAUUCGUUAAAUAAUCAUUUAAAAUAUAUUUUAAAGUUAUAUCUUUCGACCUCGAUAACUCGGGCUCCGCUAAUCCAAAUUAACUUUUUCUCAAGCCUAAUGGGCAUGAUUAAUUACGAUCUUUCCAACGAGCCCCAAUCAAAUUACAAGAGAUCCACAAGGUAUAGUGGCAGGAGUUUUUCACACUGCGGUUGUCGAUAUUGUGAGGCUAAUAUUUCCAAUGAUGAUAUGGAAGAUGAGGAUAUAGACGAACCAUUGUACCAAGAAGACAUGCCAUCUAGAUCUAAUAAUUGGGCUAAGGGUUAUAGGUAAAUUUUAAAUAUAUGUUUAUUAUGCAUUGUGAAAUAUCUGUGUAAAUAGGUUGUGCCCUAUUUGUUCAGAAUUAUUUUCAAAUAUAAAAUUCAUCUACAUAUUCUUAAGUGAAAGAAAGAGCUAACAAUAAUCAUUAAAAGAAAUUAACAGCUUGGCAACAAAUUUAACUAUUAUUGUUUUCAAUUGGUUUUGCAAGCACUAUGUCACCAACUAAUGGAAUAUAUACAGGUCAAACAAGUCAAUAGAGAUCUAUACAACAUGGUGAUAGGGGAUCUUCGCGUGUUUGAUAUGGUAAUCAUGAGGCUAAUAUUUCCAAUCAUGAGGUCAAAGAUGAGCUAUAACACCCCAAUUUUUAAUUAAGGGUUUGAAUCGCUACCAAAAUUUUCAUGUAAAUUUAAACAGCGUGGCACAAUAACAUAUAUAAUUAUGAAAUGGUAAUUUACUCAAAUUUGGAUAAAAAGUUAUUAAUCUAUAUAAAAGAAAGAAAGAAUAUUUUCCUACGCCAUAUCAUUCACAUGUACAUAAAAGAAAAGCACAUAAAAUUAAUCUUCAAUUUAAUGUUAAAGACAAAAACCACUCCUUUUUAUAUCUUUUUUUUUAACUGUUCAAGUGUGAAACAAUUAUUAUUUGACAUUAUAUGUGUGUGUGUGUGCGCGCGCGCGCAGAGAGAAGAAUUCCAUAUAUUUACAUAAGCAAAAUUCCAAAUCAAAGUUAAUAUGCUUCUCUCUUUCUUCAAAACGUGGCACACUGCUCCAAAAAUGAGAGAAUACUUCCAAAAAUUGCCUUACUUUAUUAAAGAAUUCACACACAACAUCACAAUAUGAGACAUACUUAAUGUAUGGAUAUUAGUCAACGAUGUUUAAAAUCUUCAAUUUACCGUGUAGUAUAUCCAAAGGAGAUAUUGAAGGGUGAUGUGACAAGUGAGGAAUCAUUACUUUGACCAUCAAUUUUCAUAAAUUCUGGGAAGGUCACGAAAAGUACAUAAAAUUAAUCUUCCACACAAACAAGGCAGUAGAAUAUAACCAAUUACUUUUAAAUAGUGAAAUCAAUAGAAAAAAUAAUAUUUAAUUCAAAUUUUAUCUAAACAGCAAACGACACAUGUUCAUCUACAAAUAGAUAUGUACGAAUUUACUAUUAUUAUUAUCUUUUAAAAAAAUAAAUGUCUACUACAAUAACUUAAAAUAAAUAAAAUUAUGUACUAAAUUAGUUCUUUAUUGAACGAAACGAGGUACAACCACACCAUAGAAUCACCACGUUCUAACACAAACCGUUCUAACGUGUGAGGCGUAGGGAAAAAGGUGAGUAUAAGAGAAUACUCAGUAGGAUAUAAAAAUUAAUGGUGCAUUCUCGUAUAAAAAUUUUAAACAAAUGUGUCAAAAUAUCAUACAGUCUCAUAUCUUUAAAAUUCCGUAAGAGCUCAUAUCAUAUCAUUGUACUGGAAAUGACCAUAUCAUUUAUAUCAUAGAAUUUUAUAUCAUAAUUUUAACUUUCAUGAGUACAAAAUUCAUCAACAUGUGGAAAAAAAAUUGAACGGGACAUAAAAUAAUGCAUCUUGAUAUCUUACCUUAUUAGAUCGUUUUAAUUAUUUGAAAGACAAAACCAAAGAAAUCACGCUCCAAAAUCCUUCUCGCUGCUUCAAGGAUUUAUAUUAUUUAAAUUGACUUCCUUAUUAAAAUUUCAAUACCACAAGUAUUUGUAUCUUUAAAUUUUUUUAGGGUACAAAGUAAGAAUCCUUUUACACUUCAUAAAGUAUAAAGUAUGUAAUUUACCUGAUUCCAACACUUUUCUCUCUCUACAACUGUGUACUUAUGCAUAUGUCUUCUUUGAUAUACAUAUAUAAAUAUAUCACCCCAUGAUCUAGUCUAACAAAGUGGGUGUGCAGUUGGCGAAACGUGUAGAAGUAGGAUAGGGGUAUGAAUAAGAACUGGGAAACAGACUUUUGAAAUAAAAUAAUUGACCAAGUUUUGCCAACCAACUAUACCACUCAAAUCAAUAUAUUUCAUACACUUGCUCUUGCAACAAUUUGACAGGAAAAUCAUUAAAGUCUCUCUCUCUCUCUCAGGUGGUUUCCUCUUCCAUCUCUCUUCUAUUUUUUUUUUAUUAAUAAAACAUCAAUCACUACCCUAUUGAGAAUCUAGUUUUAUACACGUCAACCAUAUAUAAAUUUUAAAUUCGUUAAAUAAUCAUUUAAAAUAUAUUUUAAAGUUAUAUCUUUCGACCUCGAUAACUCGGGCUCCGCUAAUCCAAAUUAACUUUUUCUCAAGCCUAAUNNNNNNNNNNNNNNNNNNNNNUCUUCCUUAAAAUAUUUUCGUUCUCGAAAAUUUACCUUGGUUAAUCGAAGAGCUCUGGAUACUUGAUUCUAAACUCCUUUUCUUUCUCCCAAGUUGACUCAUCAUGUCUAUGAUUCUGCCAUGGGACCUUGACUAUGAGAACUUCCCUGUUUUUGAGUUGAUGCACUUUUCUCUCCAAAAUCAUUGUCGGGGUUUCUUCAUAUGAUAAGUCUUUUUGUAUAUCCAAUAUCUAAUAACUUACCACAUGAUUGGGAUCAUGAACAUAUUUUCGGAGCAUUGAUACAUGGAGCACGUUAUGCACUGCUGGAAGUUCAGGUGGUAAGGCAAGUCGAUAAGCCACAACACCAAUCAUUUCAAGGAUCUCGAAAGGUCCAAUAAAUCGCUAUCUCAACUUUCCCUUCUUACUAAAUAUCAAUAUACCCUUCAUGGGUGCUACUUUAAGAAAAACUUUGUGGCCCACUCUAAAUUCCAAAUCCUUUCUUCUACUAUCAACAUAACUUUUCUUUUGGUCUUGUGUUGUCUUUAUUCUGGCUCUAAUAUUAUCAAUGCCUCAACUAUUUGUUCAAUGAUUUCAGGACCUAAAAUUCUAUUCUCUCCGACCUCGUUUCAAUGGAUAGGGGAUCUGCACUUCCUACCAUAAAGAGCUUCAUAUGGGGCCAUACUUAUAGUGACUUGAAAACUAUUGUUGUAAGCAAACUCCACUAAAGGCAGAUGUGUCUCCCAACUACCUCCAAGAUCCAAAACACAUGCCCUCAACAUAUCUUCCAAAGUUUGGAUGGUUCUUUGUGAUUAUCCAUCUGUUCGAGUAUUAUAAGCAGUGCUAAACUUCAGUUUCAUCCCCAUGGCUGUUUGCAAACUUUUUUAAAAUUUAGAUGUGAACCUCGGGUCUCUAUCUGAAACAAUGGUGACUAAGACUCUAUGUAGUGUGACUAUCUCUUUGAUGUAUAACUGUGUGAGCUGAUCCAUGUUGAAGUUUACUUUGAUUUGUAGAAAAUGGGCUGACUUCGUUAGACGAUCUACCACUACCCAGAUAGCAUUGUGACAUUUUGCUGACCUUGAGAGGCCUACCACAAAUCCAUCGUUAUGUAUUCUCAUUUCCAUUCUUGAAUAUCCAACGGUUUUAGUAGUCCUGAUGGUCUUUGAUGUUCUGCCUUGACCUAGUGACAGAUAAUGCAUUUUUCAACGAAUAGACUAAUUCUUCUCUUCAUGUUUCUCCACCAAAAUGUAUCUCGAAGAUCUCGAUACAUUUUCAUACCACCUAGAUGUGCCGAAUACGGUGUAGAGUGAGCAUCUUCCAAUAUCUCCUUUCUUAUACUUUCAUCCUUAGGUACACAUAACCUUUCUUUGAACGUCAGUGCAUUAUCUGUAGAUAUUUCAAACCCUAUACGUCUGUUUGAACCAAUCUUAGUCUUUAUCUUCUAUAGAAAUGGAUCUUUAUCUUACACUUCCUUAAUUCGAUCCCGAAGUGUAGGUUGAAUCACGAAUGCUUUAAUCCUCUCUGUAGUCUAAGUCGGCGUUAUGAUAACUUCCAAUCUUAGUUUCUCAUUAUCAGGCAUUCCUACAUCAUAGGUAGAACUGCUAACUGUGACCCUAUCUUUCUGCUUAGGGCAUCAGCAACUACGUUAGCCUUACUCGGAUGGUAAUGAAUCGUGCAGUCAUAAUCUUUCACUAAUUCCAACCAUCUCCUUUAUCUCAUAUUUAGCUCCUUCGGUGUGAAAAAGUAUUUGAGACUUUUGUGCUCUAUAUAGAUUUCACACUUCCUACCAUAAAGAUAAUGACGCCAUAUUUUUAAGGCGUGAAAGACCGCUGCAAGUUCCAAGUCGUGUUUUGGAUAGUUUUGAUCAUAUUGUUUCAACUGUCUCAAGGCAUAAGCAUCCAAUUUUCUAUGAUGCAUCAGUACACAACCCAAACCCUGCUUGGGGGCAUCGCUAUAAAUCAUAAAUCCCUCUUGUCAAUACAGGAGCUGAAACUUGUCUCCGCUUGAGUUUUUGAAAACAUUUUUCACAUUUUUCCAUCCACUGAAACUUCACACCCUUUCUCGUCAACUGAGUCAUUGACCCUGCUAUUUUUUAGAAGCCUUCAAUGAAUCUUCUAUAAUAACUAGCCAAUCCCAAGAAACUGUGAACUUCACCCACACUGGUUGACCUUAGCCAAUUUGUUACUGCUUCCACUUUAGCAGGGUCUACUUCCACUCCUUGGGCGGUAACCACGUGACCAAGGAAACCUACACGAUCAAGCCAAAAUUUCACACUUCUUGAAUCUGGCAUAUAAUUUCUCAUUCCUCAAUGUUUCAAGUACUACUCAGACUUGUUCCUCAUGUUGUUUCUUGUUUUCGGAGUACACGAGUAUGUCAUCCAUAAAUACUAUAACAAAUUGGUCUAACUAUUGAUGAAACACUCUGUUCAUGAGAUCCAUAAAUAUAGCUGGAGCAUUUGUCAAACCAAAUGGCAUGACAGUGAAUUCAUAGUGUCCAUAACGAGUCAUAAAAGUAGUUUUUUGUAUAUCGCUUGCCCUGAUUUUUAGCUGAUGAUACCCUAACCUCAAAUCGAUCUUGAAAAUAUUGUAGCACCCCUUAAAUGGUCAAACAAAUCUUCUAUUCUUGACAAUGGAUACUUAUUUUUUAUGGUCAGAUGGUUCAAUACCCGAUAGUCAAUGCACAUCCUCAUACUCCCAUCCUUUUUCUUGACAAAAAAUAUAGGAGCUCCCCAAGGAGAUAUACUUAGUCGAAUGAAACAUUUCUCCAACAACUCCUCUAAUUGCAACUUCAAUUCUUGAAGUUUUUCAGUGUCAUUAGGUACAAGGCUUUGGAUACUAGUGCUGCUCCAUAAACCAAAUCAAUUGUAAAUUCCACUUGCAUAUCUUGUGGAAUGCCUAGUAAUUCUUUUGGGAAUACUCUGCAAAGUCUCGCACAAUGUUAAUAUCAUUAACAGUCGUUUAUGUAUGUUGGGAACUGAUGAUAUUAACUAGGAAUAUUUGACAUGACUUCUUUCUCAACAUCUUUUCCGCUUAUAUAGCCGACAUAAGAUGAGGUAGAGACUUGAACUUUGCUCAAAAGAAGCAGAACUCUUCCUCUAUUUGUCUGUGAAACAAUAUUUUUUUCUCAUGACAUCGAAUGGUCGCACGAUUAAAUCCCAACCAAUCCAUGACCAAGAUAAUAUCGAAAUCUUUCAUCUUCAAAAAGUAUGAGUCCGCUUGUAACAUUUUCCCCUUAAAUCUCUAACUUUAUGGACUUAGUAAUUUGAUUUGUAUAAAGAGUUCUUCCUGAAGGAUGCUAACUUUUAAUUCAUUAUUCGUUUUCAUACAUGAAAAGUUAGAUCUAGCGAUGAAGGAUGUAGAGAUAAAAGAAUUGGUAGCCCCAGAAUCCAAAAGUACGUAAGUAGGUACAUUAAAUAAUAACAAAAUACAUAUUUUGUAAUUAUAGUGUUAGACUAGCAACCAAGGGACAGAGAUGAAAUAAUGUGUAGUUCUAGGUAAAAAAAUGUAAGCAUGUACAUUGAGUAUAUUAAUAAUAAAAUACCUCCUAUCACAUUCGGAUCCUACUCUGCUUCAUGCUAAUUCAGUGUAAAAACUUGAGCCUUUCCUUUCUUGUUCUUGUCCUGAUCAUCAUUCUUCUUCUUUGGAGGCUUUGUACAUUUAAGAGCGAUGUGUCCAAGUUUUCCACACCGAAGGCACACGUUCUUUCCGAGCAAGCAUUCACCCUUAUAGAGUUUAUUAGACUUAGGACAAGGUGUAAUACUCCCAUUCGUCCCACCGAUACGAACUCCUGUGCUUGGUCUUUUAUUUUGCCAGUGAUGUCUGCUCUUGCUCUGAUCGCCCCAUUUUCUUUUUCCUAACGACUCCUUACUCUAUUAAGCAUACUAUCCAAAUGUGGUCCUUUGAUAUGAAAUAGUGCGGCGCUCUCCAACAUCUCACAAUAUGAGGUAAAACGAUGUGACGUAAUGACCAUGCUGAUCUUUGGGUGCAAUCCAUUUUCAAACCUCCUAAUCUUCUUAACUUCAGUAUCCAUAAGUGUAGGGGCAUAUCUUGAGAGAUGCUUAAACUGCCUCUCGUAAUCAGUAAGCAACAUGUAUCACUACCUGAGCUAUAGACACUUUGGUUCCUUGAAGUCUCUCAAAACCUAUGAAAAAUAUUUUGCCACCACUUCAUCCUUAAACUGCUUCCAAGUCAAAUUACAUUGCUGCUCUUAUGUCUUAGUGCAUGAGACAGAUUCUCACUAGUGACUAGCUACUCCAACAAAUAUAAAUUAUGCACAUAGCAUUUUCCGUGCAUUCGUACAAGCGAUGUGUCGAAAGAUGUGCUCCAAACCUCUAUCGACUCCUCAAUGGCCAGUGGGUCGGAGGCUUGUAUCUACAAAACUGCUCAACCAUUGAGAUGGCUCCCAUGACAAAUGGAGGUGCAUUUUGUUGUGGAUGUGCAUUCCGUGGCGAUGGUAUUUGGCUCUGUCUGCUCAAUUCUUAUACCGCUCGUAGUAAAUUGCGCAUCAAGUUCAUGUGCGUAGGUGGUUCCAUUUCCUAAAAUUUAAUAUGAGUUACCGGUCACAUUCCAGUACUAAGUCUAACAAGUUAUACUUAUUUUAUUGUAAUACAUAUCAUAAAUUUAGUGGGGAAAUAAACGUGUAUCUAUAAAAAAAAUUUAAAGAUAUGAAAUUUAAAAUAUUUAAAUUAUGCAAAAAUGUCUAAGCAUAUUCAUCUUCUCACCCCUUUACCUACCUUAGGGUCGUCGGAGGGUGGCCGAUUGGUGGUCGUUGAGUGCCAAAGAUCAUUCACAUAUUUAAUAACUUUAAAUUGACCUUAUUGUUAAAUUCAUAAAUCUUUAAAAAAAUGUUAACCUUUAACAUGUAAAAUCCAAUGUUUACAUAUAUCAUAAAAAAAUAUUUACUUUAUUUACAUAGGGAUUAUAUCGAAAUUUUAGCUACUAGAAAAUAUCACAUACUAGUGCAUGGACUAUUAUAAAAUUUCACCCAUUUAAAAAAGCUAUUAACUAAAUAAUUUAGUGAUUAUUGUGGCUAAACAUAAAAUAAAAUUUAUUCUAAGGGACUAUUUCUUAAAAAAAAAAAACCUACAAAUAUAAAUACAUACACAUAAAAACUAUUUAAACAAUCACCGUUUUUUUUUAUCCUAAUUCACAUCAAAUAAAAAGGGUCUAUAGGAAACUAAACCUAAGCUCUGAUACCAAACUAUAACGUCCCAAUUUUUAAUUCAAGGUUUGAAUCGCUACCAAAAUUUUCAUGUAAAUUUAAAUAACAUGGCACAAUAACAUAUAUAAUUACGAAAUGGUAAUUUACUCAAAUUUGGAUUAAAAUAAAUAUAUAUUAAUCAAUAGAAAAGAAAGAAAAAAUAUUUUCUUAUGCCAUAUCUUUCACGUGUACAUAAAAAGAAAAGCAUAAAAUUAAUCUGCAAUUUAAUGGUUAAAGACAAAAACCCCUCCUUUUUAUCUCUUUUUUUUUUAAACUGUUCAAGUGUGAAACAAUUAUUAGUUGACAUUAUAUAUAUAUAUAUAAAAUUCCAUAUAUUUACAUAAUCAAAAUUUCAACUCAAAGUUAAUAUGCUUCUCUUUCUUUAAAACGUGGCAUACUGCUCCAAAAAUGAGAGAAUACUUCCAAAAGUUGCCUUACUUUAUUAAAGAAUUCACACACCACAUCACAAUAUGAGACAUAUAUUUAAUGUAUGAAAAUUUGUCAACUACGUUUAAAAUCUUCAAUUUACCGUGUAGUAUAUCCAAAGGAGACAAUGAAAGGGUGAUGUGACAAGUGAGGAAUCAUUACUUUGACCAUCAAUUUUCAUAAAUUCUAGGAAGGUCAUGAAAAGUAAAUAAAAUUAAUCUUUCACAUGGACAAGGCAGUAGAAUAUAACCAAUUACUUUUAAAUAGUGAAAUUAAUAGAAGAAAUAAUAUUUAAUUCAAAUUUUAUCUAAAGAGCAAACUACACAUGUUCAUCUACAAAUAGACAUGUACGAAUUUACUAUUAUUAUUAUCUUUUAAAAAAUAAAUGUCUACUGCAAUAACUUAAAAGAAAUAAAAUUAUGUGCUAAAUUAGAUCUUUAUCCAACGAAACGAGGCACAACUGCACAAUAGAACCACCACUAUUCAACACGAUCCGAUCUAACCUGUGAGGUGUAGGGAAUAAGGCGAGUACAAGGAAAUACUCAAUAGGAUAUAAAAAUUAAUGGUGCAUUCUCGUAUAAAAACUUUAAACACGUGUGUCAGAGUAUCAUACUGUCUCAUAUUUUUAAAAUCCAGUAAUAGCUCAUAUCAUAUCAUUGUACCGGAAAUGAACAUAUCAUUCGUAUCAUAGCAUUUCAUACAUAAUGUUAACUUUCAUGAGUACAAAAUUCAUCAACAUGCACACAAAAAAAAAAAAAACAAUUAAACAGAUAUAAAACACUACACCUUGAUAUCCCACGUUAUUAGAAAAUAAUAUUUAAUUCAAAUUUUAUCUAAAGAGCAAACUACACAUGUUCAUCUACAAAUAGACAUGUACGAAUUUACUAUUAUUAUUAUCUUUUAAAAAAUAAAUGUCUACUGCAAUAACUUAAAAGAAAUAAAAUUAUGUGCUAAAUUAGAUCUUUAUCCAACGAAACGAGGCACAACUGCACAAUAGAACCACCACUAUUCAACACGAUCCGAUCUAACCUGUGAGGUGUAGGGAAUAAGGCGAGUACAAGGAAAUACUCAAUAGGAUAUAAAAAUUAAUGGUGCAUUCUCGUAUAAAAACUUUAAACACGUGUGUCAGAGUAUCAUACUGUCUCAUAUAUUUAAAAUUCAGUAAUAGCUCAUAUCAUAUCAUUGUACCGGAAAUGAACAUAUCAUUCAUAUCAUAGCAUUUCAUACAUAAUGUUAACUUUCAUGAGUACAAAAUUCAUCAACAUGCACACAAAAAAAAAAAAAACAAUUAAACAGAUAUAAAACACUACACCUUGAUAUCCCACGUUAUUAGAUCGUUUUAAUUUUUUGGAAGACAAAACCAAAGAAAUCAUGCUCCAAAAUCCUUCUCGCUCCUUCAAGGAUUUAUAUUAUUUGAAAUUGACUUCCUAUUUUAAAUUCCAAUUCCACAAGUAUUAAUAUCUAUAAAAAAUUUUAGGGUACCAAGUAAGAAUCCUUUUACACUUCAUAAAGUAUGAAGUAUGUAAUUUACCUGAUUCCAACACUUUUCUCUCUCUCUCUACAACUGUGUACUUAUGCAUAUGUCUUCUUUGAUAUACAUAUAUAAAUAUAUCUCCCCAUGAUCAAGUCUAACAAAAUGGGUGUACAAUUGGGAAACAUGUAGAAGUAGGAUAGGGGUAUGGAUAAGAAUUGGGAAUGGACUUUCGAAAUAAAAUAAUUGACCAAGUCUUGUCAGCCAACUAUACAACUAAAAUCAAUAUAUUUCAUACACUUGAUAAGACAUGUACAAUUGAGGAUACUAAAAAACAAGUCACAUUCUUCUAUUUGAAACAAGUUGAACCAUAACCUUUUAAGAAUAAAGGAAAAAAAUGCCCCCUCGGACCCCAUGACAAGGCGGAUUUUUUUGCCCCAUUCGGGGUGGAGCGGGGUGGGGCAAAUUGCCAUCACUAUCUCUCUCACGUGGUUUCUUCUUCCCCACUCUCUCCCUCUCUCUCUCUCUCUUUUUAUUAAUAAAACAUCAAUCACUACCCUAUUGAGAAUCUAGGUUUAUACAAGUCAACCAUAUAUAAAUUUUAAAUUCGUUAAAUAAUCAUUUAAAAUAUAAUUUAAAUUUAUAUCUUUCCAUCUCGAUAACACGGGCUCCGCUAAUCCAAAUUAACUUUUUCUCGAGCUUAAUAUGCAUAAUUAAUUACGAUCUUUCCAACGAGUCCAAUAUUCGUAUAAUUAUUUUCGCUCCAUCAACAUCUACAUUUUAACAUCCGAUAAUAUUGAAAUUUACAUUACAUAUAUUUUAGUCCCUAAACUUCCAAAAUCUUAAAAUAUAGCACACAUAAUUAAAUUCUAAUCUAUGAAAUUUUGUUACAUUACAUGAGCAUAAGGAUGAACUUUAUCAAGAGAAUAUGUAAGAUAUAACAGACCCAAAGGCGACAAGUAUAUUUAAUUAUCCAUCUUUCAAAUAUAUUUGAUGUCGCUUAGUAAGAUAUAUGGACGAAACUGGACUUACUGAAGGAAAUAUUUUUAACCAACAAGGAAUGAUGAUGGGGAAGCAUUCUUGUCUGCACAAUUUCUUUCAUCUUAAUUAAAACAAUGGAUGAGAUUUCAUCAACUACAAGUUGCUUCUCUUCAUACUGGUAGCUGACUGCAAUCACUGUUUAUAAACAGAACAUUGUUCUUUGUAUAUAUAAAAACUAAAACAUUGAUCAAAUACAUAUCUAAGGACAAACUUCAAUAAUAUUAAAUCAAUUUGCUUGGCAUGCAGGAUAUCACUAACUAGAGGAGGAAAUACAUCUAGCCGAACCAGGCAACAUAAAUCAACACGUGGUGGUGAUACAAGGUCUAUAUGUAGCAAUAACGAACAUCAUAAUCCUAGUACUCUCAAUGAUGAGUUGGGAGCUAAGCUUACAAAUGAUUUACCUAAAGCUAGUAACAGGAACAUGGGUCUUAAUCGUGGUACUCCUAUGCCUGCUGAUUGAGCACAACGUAUCGAAAUAACUAUUAAAAAUAGCACAUAAGUAUACAUUUAUUUUCAAUUGAUUUUAUAUAUUUAGAAACAUACUUAUUGGCAUUUUCCAGUGUCCCAAUUAGAGUUUUUUAGUCAAGUUUAUAAGAAGAAUCAUGGACUUGGUGAUUUUGUUAAUAAAAAAUCCAAGUGAGUUUAUAUACUUCAUAGUUUGUUCAUAUAGUUAGUAAGCAUUAUUUUUUUUUCAUAGGAUACUUAUAAGACUUCAAUCAAGUCCAAGUAUGGUAAUGUUAGGGAUAGUUAACCUAAGUUCAUCCUGAUUCAUGGAUCAAUGCUGUCAACUGUUCAUCUAAGGGUUGUGUUUAUGGGUUUUGUCCUAGACAACCUGCUUCACUUGUUCUCGGUACACCUAUUUCAUCUAGAUGUUCAAUACUUGCACAUGAUGAAAAGAUGAAUAAUUUGAAGUUAGAACUAGCUAUUGCACGUAAUACAAUAGAUGAGAACAACGAAAGGAUUGAUAAUCUCACUAUAUGUCUUGAACAAGUUUAAAGAAAUCACAGGAUCAAGAUGCGAGUAAUACUGCGAAGCAUGCAUAGGAAACUAAAUAUUCCUAAUUUUCAAUUUCCUUCUUGCUCAGGAUCACGAAAUGAUGAUAUGUGAGACAUGAUAUUUAUAUUUCGGAAUUUCGAUGUAAUAGUUUAAUCUAUUAAAGCUUUUGUAUGUUUUGAAAAGUUUAAUUAUUUAAUACAUUUUGAAAUUAAUAAUUAUUAAUUAGUGGGUUGUAUAAAUUUUGAAAAAUAAUAAUUAAAAUUCACCAAUGGAUUUUUCAUUGGUAUUGAAGCUGUAUUAGAAAAUAAUUUUAGCAACGAAUAGUUUGUUGGUCAAAUAUUCAGUUUGUAAUAUCCAUAUUUUAUUAAUUAUGACAAAGUUUUUACCAACAAAAUUUUCAUUGUUAAUGAAGACUUUCUACCAACAGAAUAUCCAUUGACAAUUAGAAGGUUUUUACCAACAGAAAUUCUGUUGGUAAUGAAAAGACUUUUACCAAUGAAAUUUCCAUUGGCAAUUAUAAGGUUUUUAAGAACGAAAAUUCCAUCGGCAAUGAAAGAUUUUUCCCAGUGGACUUUCCAUUUGAAAUGAUGAGGUUUUUACCCAUGAACUUUCUGUUUGUAAUGGAAAGACAUUCACAAACAAAAAAUGUGGUUGGUAAAACUAAUACACUAUCAGCAACCUUUAAAAUAGUAGCGGAUUUUUAGUUGAUCUUUUUCUGUUGGUGAAGACUACUAGCAACGAUAUCAUGACUUUAGGAAUGGAAAAUCCAUGUGUGAAGCAAUGUUUUUUUAGUAAUUGUACUUAUGUUAUUAUUUCGAUACUUAUUUUUUGAUCAAUUUAGGAAAAACUUGGAAUAAACAAGUUUGGAUAAACUCGGUUAAAAGUUAUCCAAAAUUGAGGUUUAUAGGAGAAAGUAAUAAAGUCUUGAAGUUGAGGAUCUGUAGUGCAAAUAAAAUGGACUUAGGAUGGACAAUAAAUGAAUGUAGUGGACCAAAGUGCACGAAACUGAAAGACUUGUCAACUUUGUUGUUUGCUUAUUAUGCUCGAAUUCUACAUGAAACGUAUUUUAGGAUGCUAUGAAAAGAGAUAAAAGAGAAAAGAAUACAAAACUCAAUAGACUUGUGUAUAUUUUAUUAAAAAUCAAAGCCCUAUUAUUUAUAGGGAAAAAUCAUGGAUACAACGAUAAUAAUUUCUAGGGUUAUAGGGAUACAAUUGUUAUUCAUUAAUAAACUUACCAUUUACAACACUCCCCCUUGAAUAACACAUUACAAAAUAAUUGCCUCGUUAAAACAUUGUUUGGCAAAAAUCCAAUGGAACAAAGAAAAUCAAAUGAAGGAAAAAUACUAAAGUUAUUUUGAAAUAUUAAAAAUAAAUGUUGCUUCGUUAAAACUAUGCUAGAAAAACCUAGUGGAAUAAAGCCUAAGCAAAGGAAAAUAGUAUAGCUACUCUUCCUAAUGUUGAUUACUGAAAUUUUUUGAGUGGAUGCAUUCCAAUCUCAUGAACCAAUUUUUUGAAUGUAGAUGUCGACAAUGCUUUUGUGAAUAAAUUGGCCACAUGUCACUUGAACAAAUUUGUUGGAUAUCGACAUCGCCAUUACUCUGAAGUUUAUGUGUAUGAAAGAAUUUUGGAAAAAUAUAUUUCGUUCUGUUACAUUUGAUACAACCUUCAUAUAAAAUUGUUAGAUUAACUAUUGUUUAAGUUAAUCAUCAUGAUGUUUGAAUGUGAUGGGUUAAGUUCUUCAACAAUACACAAUCUUGACUUGCUCAUGGAUUGCAAUAAUUUCAAAAUGAUUUAAGGAUAUUGCUCUUAAGGAUCGCUUCAUGGAUCUACAUGAUAUAGUUAUUCCUCCACGUGUAAAAAAAUAUCUUGUUUGUGAUUUAGCUUUAUGUAGAUGAAAGAGAUAACCUGCAGUUGUAUAUUCCACAAAAACGAAUCCUGACUUUUAAGAAUAUAAUAAUCCCAAAUCAAUAGUACAUUUCAGAUAAUAAAAAAUGUGUUUAACAUCAUUCCAAUGUCUUUGAGUUUGUAUAGAGCUAUAUUUAGCAAGGAGAUUUACCAAAAAAAAAAAAAACAAAAAGUUACAUCAGGUUGAGUUCAGUUUGCAAGAUAAGUUAUUGCUUUAAUUGUACUAAGAUAUGAUACUUGAGGACCAAGAACCUUUUUUCCAACUUCAAGUGGACAAAAUGGAUCUUUUCCACAUUAAGUGAUCAAAUAACCAUAAGUGAUGAUAAUGGAUGUACAUUAUCUAUACAAAAACAUUUUUAGACAAUUUCUGUACAUGCAGACUACUGAACAAAUAAUUCUUCUAUGAAACGUUAAAUUUACAACCCAUAACAAAAUUUGGUUUUUCCUUAUUUCUUCAUCUCAAAUUCAUUUUUCAAUUAAUUUGCAAUCUUGUUGAGCUCUUCAAGAAUUUCAAUUAAAUUUAAAUUAUCAACAUAAACUUCCACAAUCACAAAUCUAAUAUUUGGGGCAGACGUCGCCAUUUUUAUAACACAUCUUUAACUAAUAUUCUCUAAGGUAAUUAUAGCACAUGUUUUUGGAAUGUUUCAAUCCAUAUAAUGAUCUUUACAAUUUAAUUAAGACCAUGGUUCUUGGGCAUGUAUCUUUUGUUCCUGGCACUCUAAGUCCUUCGGAGAUUUUUAUAUAUAUGUCACUAUCAAGUUAUCCAUAAAAAUAGACAGUUACUACAUUCAAAAGCAUGCAUAUCGAGCUUUUAUAACACAGUCAAGCUCAUUAAAAAUCUAAAAGUAAUAGUGUUCAUUAUAGAAGAAUAUCAAUUCCAGGUCUUUGUGAGAAAUCUUAAGCCAUGAGUUGGACUUUGUAUUUUGUAAUUUUAUUAAUUUCAUUUAUCUUUCAUACAAAAAUUCAUUUUUAUCCUACAGGGAUUACAUUUUCAAAUGUUCAAAUUACAGGUCUAAACACUUUUCAUUUCUCUAAAAAAUUCAAUUCCAUCUAUAUGACAUCUUUCCAACUUAUCCAAUCAUUUUCAUUUUGACAAUCUUAAGCAGACUGUAGUUCAGGAUCCUCAUUUUGUAUAAUAUCAAGAGCCACGUUAAAAAUGAAAAUAUUAUCUAUAAUAACAUCAUUUCGUUCCAUAAUUUAUGCAAUAACUAUAACUUAUUGAAAUAUCAUUAUUUUCAAAUACUUGUGGUUUUUCACGAAUCAAAUUUUCAAUAUUUGAUUGACAAAUCUUUUUUUAAUGAUACUUCUUCCUAAAUUUUUGGUUGGUUUUUCUCAUAUAUUUUUCUUUUUCAAGGUACGAAAUCUUUUGAACCAACUGGUCGACCAUGCUUUUGUGUACUUGAGAUUCAUUUGUUAUAGCAAAUUGUCCUAUAGAAACAUCAAUUUUUACUUAAAUAUUUUUUACUAGAAUAUAUAACUUUGUCACUUUUCUUGGGUCAACAAAUAUAUCAGAUAAUUGAUUUACAAUUCUUCGCAGAUGAACUGAUUUACAAUUGUUGCAAGAAUUAAAGUGAGAUAAAGUCCUUUAAUUUUAAUAAAUUUUACCUUAUUUUUUAAGAUGUAAUUUUUCUCCUCCCAAAGUUGGAAAAUUUAUUUCAUCAAAAUAACAAUUUACAAAACGUGGAGUAAAUAAGUCACUCGCUAAAGAUAUCUAAUAAUAGAUGGUGAAUCAAGACAAUACAAAUCCCAAGUUUUCAUUAAAGACCUAUUUUAGUACAUUGUGGGGGUGAAAUAGGGACUUGGACGGAGUAACCAAAGCCCCGUAGGUGAUAGAUAUUAGGUUCAUGAGCAAAAUCCAAUUGUAGAAGUAAAUAUAAUAGGCAGUUGGUUUGAUGUAAACCAAUAGCGCAACAUGUAAUAUGGAAUGACCCUAAAUAGAAGUUGAGAGUUCUGUUUUUAUAAGUAAUGGUCUAGUAAGAAGUUAUAGACGCUUAAUAAAUGACUUCGCAAAACCAUUUUGUGUAUAGACAUAUGCAACUAAAUGUUCAAUAAUAGUCCCAAUUGGCAUACAAUAAUUAUCGAAUGCUAGAGAUUUAAAUUCACCAGUAUUAUCAAGAUGAAUAGUUUUGAUUGACUAAUUAGAGAAUUGUGCUAGCAAUUUUAUGAUUUGAGUAAGUAGUCUAGCAAAUACUACAUUCCUAGUAGAAAGUAGGCAAAUAUGUGAUCAUUUAAUAGAAGAAUCAAUUAACAACAUAAAAUAACGAAAUGGUCCACAUGGUGUAUCGGCCCAUGUAUAUAUCCAUGAAUUAUAUCUAAGAAAGUUGAAAAUUUAAUAUUGACCUUUGUAAUCGAAGGCUAAUGAUUAACUCGCCUUGCAAAUAAACUAAACAUGGAUAAUCAAUAGGUAAAAGAAUCUUCUAGUUCUUUAAGAGAUGUCUGUGUGAAUUGUUUAUCAUUCGACUCAUCAUAAUAGCUCAUGGAUGUCCAAGUCAAUCGUACUAAAGUAUAAAAAUUUUUGGGUCAACGAACUUCUGGUACAUGAUAAUAUUUGAUUCAACCAUUUUUUCAAAUGUAUAAUACAUGCUAGAUGGAAGUGGAUGUAGUUUUUAUUUUAUCUACUUCUAGCUAAAUACAAAAGAAGUUAUGCAAAGAUAUUCAACAUUAUUUUCUUGUAUCGUUGCAAUGUGAUAUUUAUUGUAGCGGAUGUAUUUAAAACUAAGCAAAUUUUUUCUGAAUUUUCUAGAAUAAAGUGCAUCAUCAAUAUAUAAUGUUGCAUUAUUUGAUGAAAUAGUAUAGGCUCUUCCAGAGCCUUCAAUGAUAUUCGAUACACCUAAUAUCAUAUUAACAUUAUUUUUUGCUAAUGUUAAAUAAAUAAAUAAAUAAAUCUUGAAAUAUAGUAUGUGAAACUACACUAUCAAUCAAGUAGGUAUCUUAAUAAUCCGUCAUGAAUAUUCACUAGACUUUGAAAAAUUAAGUUUUCACGCUGACAAAGUGCCAUGAAAAGAGAGAAAAAGGGGAAGUGAAAAUAAAAGUCAAUAGACUUCAGUGUAUUUUAUUAACAACCAAAGUCUUAUAUUUAUAGGGAAGAAUUAGAGAUAUAAUAAUAAUAAUUUCUAAAGCUGUUGGGGUACAAUUUACAACACAUGAUUAUUUUUUAGAGUUAUUUUAGACAUCCGUUUAUGGUCCACACUAAUAUAAACAGAAAAACACAUAGAAAUUCAAUAUCAAAGAGUAAAAAUCUAGGUUUUUCAAAAUUUUCACGAAUCCUUACAGAAUAAGUAACAAAGUCACUUUUUGACCAACUGUUACCAAAUCACCACCCCCAAAUCAUGAAGCCAUUGCGAGAGGUGCUAAACCACAAGUGUUUUGUAUCCAUUGAGCAAAAACUGGGUUUGGAGAAGAAGAUUUUUUAUUUUUUUGCAGCAUUCGAUUCUUUUUCUUUAUAAAGAUAUUCAAAUCCAGUGAUGAGUACUAAUUAUUUUUUUUUCACAAAUAUGAGUACUUAAAUCAUUAGUUAUGGCAAAUUAUAUGUAUGAUCAUUUUUUUCGAUGUUAAGAUUCUAGUAGUUUAAUUUCAUGUGUUACGGUGUGGUACUAACUAAUCCUUUUUGUUCUAACUCUUAUCUCUCUCUGAUUUUUUAAUAUUAUGUACCAAUUUUAAUGGUUUGUAAUAAUUGUCCAUUAACUCAACAAUUUGCUAAAAAAUCAAGAGACAAGUUGUAGAUUUUGACCAUAUAGUAAAAUUUGGUAAUUUGGAUAAAUGUAUAGAGAUAAGCUUUUAUGGUUAUUGUGGUCGUUAAAUGGAUUCUUAGAAAGUGAAUGCUUUAAUGAAAGCUUAUUUGACUUUUCAUAGAGAUAUGAUUAAUUGACUUAGUUAAAUAUUAUUAAUUCAGACUCGAGGGGGUAAGUUAAUUAGUUUAGAAGAUUAAACCAAAUACUGCAAUAAGUAAUUAAUUUUGAUUUGUGAAUCAAAGGUAAUUAUUAGAUGAAAUUGCAAGUUAUAAAAUUCACAUUCAUACUUUAAAAAUCCUAAUUUGAUUUAGUUUUGUGCUUUUAGAUAAAAUUUAGUAUAAUUAGAUAAUUUAAGUAAUUAAUUUAAAAUUAUUACUUGUAUUUCUUCAACUCAAAGUUAAAAAUAAUAAGUUAUGAAUUAAAUAAUAGUAUUAAUUGGAAUGAUCAUUCAAACUCAUUGAUUCAUUAUAUAACUUGCUACGAUAUCAUACACUUACAACAGCAAAAAAAUAAAAAUAAAAAAUAAAAAAUAAAAAAAAUUCACAAGAUUUGGGUGCCGUUGUUGAAAACUAUUUACACUUAGUCUUGAUUUAAUUUAUUUCUAGAUAUUAUUGGAAUUCUUUUUCUUCUUGUUUUAACCGUCCACUUUUUUCUUUGUUUCAUUGACAGUGACAGAAAAGAGGCAAGAGACUCACAACAAUAUUCAAUGAUUGAUCCCAUCUUCGAUGAUAGUGAUCAUAUGAUUGUAGGAGAUGUCUUUUUCAUGCAAUAAUUUAAAAUAAUGGAAUAUAAACUACUUGCUAAACUUGAUAAGCAUGAAUUGCCAAUGAGAUUAUUUCUCCAAUGUAAAAUUUAAUAUAAUUAGAUAAUUUUUAGGAUGAUCCACAUUUAGAAUAUGAUGGCAGAAUCAUGCUCGUGAAACAUGUUUUCUCCAUGGAAAAAUUUAAAGGAAUUGAAUCCUAAAUAAUUCUGGAGGAAACAAUGAAAUGGUUAUGGGGGAUCUCUUCGUCAAUCAACUCGAGGAAUUAACAACUAAAGAAGAAAAGCAAGUAGGAACCUAAAAAUUAGUCAUUUCUGAGCCUGACAAAUCAGUAACAUUCAACGAAGAUGCAAUUAGCAUACAAUCACUUGUGGUUAAGCUGAUAAGAAUCCCUUACUCUCACCUAAGAGUAUUUGCUUGUUUAGCAUUUAGUCAUAUAUCCAAAAAGCUAAGACAGAAGCUCGACACGAGGAAUACUCCAUGUACUUUUAUAGGCUAUGAAGAUGAGAAAUUUGAUUAUCGAUUAUGGGACCCAGAGAUAAAGAAGGUCAUUAGAAGCAGAGACAUAAUGUUUCGUGAAAAUCAGUCAUUAGAAGACAUUGAAAAGCCUACAAUGUCUCCUAAUCCUAAAUUCAGUGCCCAAGAUAUUGCUCUAAAUCUAGCACCAUAAAAAUUCACCAUAGAUAAUGAUAAUGUGCAUGAAAAGAUCUUAGAAGCAGAAUAGGAAAAGGAAGAAGAUGAUAGUCAUCAAGGAAGUCACAACCCUUUCCAACAGAAAUUGUCGGAUCAUCACAUCAACCAAAUGAUGGUGUACCUCUUGAAACCAAUAAUCUGCAAGUACAAUGAUCAAAACAAAGACCAACUCCAUCAGUGAGAUAUAUAGAGUUUACACUUUUCUUACUGAUGAAGAAGAGCUAGAAAGCUUCCAGGAAGCACAAUCUCAUGUAGACAAAGACAAGUGGAUACAAGCAACGUAGAAUGAGAUAAAGUCACUAUAGAAGAAUUAGACAUAUAAGUUGGUUGAGCUUCCGAAUGGAAAGAAGACACUGAGUAAUAAAUGGGUUUUCAAGCUCAUGAAAGAUGGCAAUGGAAAUGUGGUGAAACAUAAUGCCCGUUUGUUAGUCAAAGGAUUUUUACAGAAAAGGGAAUUGACUUUGAUGACAUUUUUUCUCCUCUUAUAAAGAUGGCCUCAAUUCAUGUUAUAGUUGGAUUAGUAACCAAUUUGAAAAGUCAGAGCAAUGUAUUGGGCAAGGAAAAAUAGUCCAAUUUAUUUAUUAAAAAAAAUUAAAGUCAACGACAUUUCAAAAAAUUUGGUAGAAUAAAAUAAUUAUCCAUAGCAAAUUAGCAAUUAACAAAUAAUUAUCUGCUAUGUGAGUCUAUCCCAUGAGUGAUGUAAAGUUAGGUAUAGUAUUCGAGCAACAAGAAAUGCACAAUCAAGUUUGAAAUCUACAAAAAAAGUAGACUAGAAUUUGUGUUAAACAAAUGUUUGAUCAAGUACAUUAAUUCGACAAUGUUGAACUUUAAAAGUAUUCUAUGAAUCUAUAAUUUGGUUAUAAAUAUUGCAUUUUUCAGCCUUCAUGUAAACUAUGUUUUUUUUACUAAACUAAUUGUACAAACUUGGUGUACAUCAAGUUUGACUCACCAAAUAUAGUUAAAAUCUGUGCCAUUAAUUGAUUGAAGUAUUAUGAAGAUCAAUGUCAAAAAAAAUGCUACAAGAAUGUCAAACUUAUUGUAAAACUUUGUACGUGUAGCUUGAUUGCCUUUUUUUCCCCUUUUAAAACAAGUAACUAAUAACUAAAUAUGUAACCAUAUGUAUAUGAUGAAAAUAAAUUCAACGAAUGAGUUUCAAGCUCAACUUUUGUCAAUCACCUAACUAAAUAGAAUUGUACAUUUGCAUGACGCUAUCCUUCUUGCUGGAUUUUUAAUUAAACUCGAAGCAGAUUGACCAAAGCCAAUGCUGAUGCCACAAACAAUAUCCGCAUUAUUUGAGAAGGAGUCGGUUCAUUUGUGCCUACCAAAUGUUCAGGCUGAAUCUUAUUGACACUCACAACUUUUAUCUAUUUUGCAGAUGAACAGUAAAUGAUGACACCAGCAAUAUACUUAACAGCUAUUUUAGCCAUAAUUUGGAGCUCAUGAUAGCAACUUUAUUCAUCCUCUUCUUAAUGCUCCAUGUCUAAAAUCUUUAAUUCUUCAACGAUAACUUUUAUUAAUAAACUUUUAUCGGGUUUCCUUCUACUAGUCUUAAUAUGAUAUCAAAACUUAUUAAUCUCAAACAGGCAAGUUGAUCUAACCAAUACUCAUAUAAUUGAGCACGUGGAUUUCGAAAUUGAUGUUCUGAAAUGGAGCACCAUCUCACUAUAUCAUUGUAGCCACAUUUUAAAUGAAUUUUCAACUUUUAAUAUAAUUUAAUUUUUAAAUAAAAAUAAAAAAUUUAAUUUUAUAGUAAAUAGAUCAUAGACCAAAUUAAUUAUAUUCAACAACAAAUCAAGGAUAAUUAAAAUGCCUAGAACACGCGGUUGAAUUAUUUGACAUAUUUAGUUGACUUUGCUAUACUAUCUACCUUAAACUAAAAAUUCUAAAACAAAGGCUAUGAUGCAGGGUAAUUUAUUACUUUUAAAUGCCAGUGACUUACAUUUAGCUGCAAGUUAGGUAACUUAGAUGACAUUUAGCUACAAGUUUGGUGACUAAUGAUGAAAUUAUCCCAUUUCUUCUUCUUUGUAUUUAUAAAUAGAAACAACAUACUCUGAAUGCAUUCAUAUCAAUUCUAGAUACCUAUGGAAUAGAAGCAAGAAAGAAGAGCAUGCACCACAAUUUAGACAUGCAUGUCGACCCAUUUCUUGUGGGUUAUUUAUUUAUGGUCGUUGAGCUCAUACGAAACUGGUGUCUAGAUUAACAAAAUACUCGACUUUCAUUUUCUCGCAAAUUGUUAACCAGGCAUUUUUUUGAAACAAAAAAUGCAGUGUUUCUGUUAUCUAAUUUUCAACACGACAGCAGAAGAUUGGGGAAAUAGAUAUACAUGUUGAAUUAUUUAAAAAAUGCAGUCACUGAAUGAGUUUUUCCGAGACUUUUCGUCCUCUCGAAUUUUCUUCAUCUGUCAUUAGAAAAUGGUAUUUAUCAGCAACCAAUUAGUGUAUUCUGUGUAUUUUAAUAAAGAAGAAAAUAUGCAGAAUUAUUGAACUAAAUGUGAUUACGAAUAAAAUAAGAAGUAAUCUCUGCAUGAUGAUCAAACGUGAUUAAUUGGACUUGGAAAAAAAAAAGUUUAUAUAUUAUUGUGGUCUAGAACAAGACAGAAAGGAUGAAGGAUUUUAUGGCUUGAUUGAAAAUAUUCAUAGGACAUUUAAGAAUGCAAUCAAAAUUCAAAAGGCAUGAUUUUGACUUGGAGACAGGAACCCAAGGUGGUGGGGUGUGUUGUGAUUCCCCGAUCAUGAAAAAAAGAAGAUAAAAGAGGAAAAAUAAUUCUAUUUCUAUCUUGAAUAGAAUUUACAAUAGAGUAUUAAAAAAAAAAAAAAAAACCUCUCUAAUCUCUCUUUUUUAUCUCUUCUCCACACUCUAUUUUUUCUUCUUUUCAUGGGACAUCUUUUUCAUUGUGGUAGCACAUAUUUAUAGAAAAUUUUUGGUUGCAAGAACCGCCUCGAUUUGUGGCCAAAUUUCUGCCAAUUAAAUGAUAAAAUGGAAGUCAACAAAGGUGGCUGCCUUCAUACAUGUGGAAAUUGGUUUUGAUCAGUUUUCUUACAUGUUAAGAGACUUCUUCAUUAAGUAAAUAAUUGUGGUUGAAUUUCAAGAUUUUCAACUUGGAGAAUGUGGCUGGACUUAUCAAUUCUCCCCCUCCAGUCACAUCUAACUCAAUUGUCAUUUGACAACCAUCACAGUCAUGUCUCCACACAGGUCUAGCUUCUCUCUUGAAACCACCCUUGUUAACAUAUCUACUGGAUUCUCAUUUGUGUGAAUCUUUACUAGCCUUAGCAAUUGUUGAUUCAUCACUUCUCUUAUUCAAUGAUAGAGGAUGUCGAUGUGCUUUGUUCGAGAAUGGCACGUUGAAUUCUUGAUUAAGUCAAGAGCACUCUCGCUAUUACAAUGUACUUUGUAAUCUUUUUGCUUGAUCCCUAUUUCUUGGAGAAAUCACUUUAACCACAACAUUUCUUCACCAGCUUCCGUCACUAUAAUAAAUUCAGCUUCUGUUGUAGAUAAAGCAACACACUUUUGUAGCCUUGACUGCCAUGAAAUAGCUCCCCUUGCAAAAGUAUCGAGAAAUCUUGAAGUGGAUUUUCAAUUAUUAAGGUCUCCAGACAUAUCUGAAUCGUAUAACCUUCCAAGAUUGGAUCAGCUUCCCAUAGCACAAAUAUAUCUUUGUUACAUCUUUAAGGUACCUGAGAAUCCACUUGACUGUUUCCCAAUGUUCCUUUCCGGGAUUAGAGAGAAAAUAAUUGACCAUGCCCACUACAUAAGCAAUAUCUAGCCUGGUACAUACCAUUGCAUACAUCAAGUUUCCAACAGUUGAAGAGUAAGGUACCAAUAACAUCUCCUCUAUCUCUUUCUUGGAUGAGGGGCAUGAGUUCUUGCUCAACUUGAAGUGGUUGGCGAGUGGAAUGCUAACAGGUUUGGCAUUAUGUAUGUUGAAUCUCUUGAUCACUCAUUCAACAUACUUUUCCUGCUAUAGCUAUAAUCUUUUAUUCUUCUUAUCUCAAGUUAUGUUCAUUCCCAAAAUUUGUUAAGCUGGGCCUAAUUCCUUCAUGUCAAAAGACUUAGAAAGUUCUUUCUUCAACUGGGUGAUUUUUGUUGCAUCUUGUCCAACGAUUAACAUGUCGUCUACAUACAAUAGAAGAGCAACAAAGUUGUCACCUGGAAACCUUUGGAUAUAAACACACUAAUCUGCAGCAAUUCUUUUAAAGCCUUGGCUUACCAUGAACGAGUCAAACUUUUUGUACCACUACCUUGGUGUUUGCUUAAGACCAUACAAGCUCUUCUUUAGCUUGCAAACAAAGUUAUCUUUUACUGAAACUUCAAAACCUUCUGGCUAUUCCAUAUAAAUUUCUUCAUAUAAAUCACCAUGAAGAAAUGCUGUUUUGGUAUCCAUCUGUUCAAGCUAUAGAUUCAAACUAGCUACUAAUCCAAGAAUAACUCGAAUUGAGGCCAUCUUUACAAUAGGUGAAAAAAUCUCAUCAAAGUCAAUUUCCUUCUUCUGAAGAAAUCCUUUGACUACCAAACGGGCUUUAUGUUUUACCACAUUUUCCCUGUCAUCUUUCUUAAGCUUGAAAACCCAUUUAUUUCUCAAUGCCUUCUUUCUCUUCAGAAGCUCAACCAACUAAUAUGUUAGAUUUUUCUGUAGUAACUCUAUCUCAUCCUACAUUGCUUGUAUCCACUUGUUUUUGUCUGCAUGAGUUUGUGCUUCCUGAAAGCUCUCCAACUCCCAUUCGUCAAUAAGCAAAAUGUACUCUGAUUCUGGAUAUCUCGUUAAUUGAAUCCGUCCUCGUUCGAAUCUUCUUACAUGUGGAUCGUUGGUUUCAAGAGGUGAAUCAUCAUAUGGUUGAUGUGAUGGUCCAACAACUUUUGGUAAAGAGGAUCGUGAUUCUCCUUAUCAAUGUCCCCUUCUUCAUCCUUUCGUUCUGCUUCUGGCAUAUUUCCUCAUGCACAUCGUCAUUAUCUACGGUGAAUUGUGUUGGUGCUGGAUCUGGAGUAAUAUUCUAGGCACCAAAAUUAAAAUUAAGAGAUAUUGUGGGCUUUUCAAUGUCUUCUAAUAUCUGGUUUUCAUGGAACACUACGUUCCUUCUUCUGAUGACCUUCUUUGUCUUUGGGUCCCAUAAUCUGUAUCCAAAUUCCUUAUCUCUAUAGCCUAUAAUGAUGCAUGGAGUGGUCCUUGUAUCUAGCUUUUGUCUUAGUUCCUUAUGUUAGGAAAAUGUGUAAUUGGCAAUCUGUGACCAAAGGAGCUAUUUGUCAAAUUGUAAAGUCAAGGACUAAAUUGUACAGGUCAAAUAGUUCAGGGACUAAAGUGGCAAUUUAGUAAAGGUCAUAGCAUAGGUCUAGGGUAAAGUGGGAUGCUUUGAAGAUGCAAACGGCGUGUUGAUGUCGCAGGAGUUUCGCCCUGACCUUACUAGAGCCAAAAUUGCAGAACUGACCUCGCUGAAGUUUCGCUGGUCUAUCGCCUGAGCGAAGGUACGUCGCUCGAGUUUCGCCAGGACCUCGCUCGAGCGACUAUGGUAUCUGGCCUUUGAUAAUUUUAAUGCCUCGCGAAUUUUUAACGCCCUAUAUUACCAAAUUCGACUUACUAUAUAAACAAAACGUCCGAUUUUCUUAUUGCACCUUUGGCAAACAUUAAAACAACAAUUCCUCUCAACUUCCAAAGAAUCAAGAACCAAAAUAAAUUCAUCUUUUUCAUAUUUGAUUCUCAUGGUUCUUUGAAUAAAAACAUCAACUCUCACAAAACCAAAACACCUUUUCAUAUCUCCAUAUAAACUUCCAGAAGAUCAUCUGUUUGAAGAUCCGGAAAGGAAAUUGCUUGAAGAACUGGAGAGCUUGGUGAUUCACAGGAGGUAGAAGAUAUUCAAAGCUGGGAUUUUGGCACAGAUCUGCAAAAUCCAGGAUAGCUAUGGUUGAUACAGUAAGGAGGUCAGAAUAUUGUUAGAAUCAAUAAUGUCUGACGUACUGUAAGUCAAUAUCUUCUAUAGUGGAUCUCUACUGGCUUGUGCCCGGAGUUUUUACCUAGUUGGGUUUUCUCCGUCAACAUUUUGUUAUAUUUUUACUGCUUUCUGCUAUUUAUUUUUCAACCGAUAAUUCAACUUAGAUAGAUAAAGUAUGUGAAUGAAUCUAGGCAAUGCAUAAUUGAUGUGACUUGUUGCAUCAGUUAAUUAAUUGUUUUAAUUCCGCAUAAACACCUAUUCAUCCCCCUCUAGGUGUUGGUUGGGUCGAACUAUUGCUUUUUCAUCUUAGAUACAUGUGCAAAGGCCAAACAACCAAAUACUCUCAGGUGAGAGUAAAAGGGAUAUUUACCAACCAUACUUUCUCUAGAAUUUCAAAAUUCAAUAGUACUGAUGGUGUUCUGUUGAUCAGGUAGCAAGCGGUUUGAACAACUUCUCCCCAAAAUAGCAUUGGCAGUUUAGCUAUAUUUAUCAUACUUCUAAUUUUUUCCAUGAUCGUCCGAUUUAUCCUCUCGGCUACUCCAUUAUGCUGUGGGCUAUAUAGGACUGUCUUCUCAUGUCGAAUGUCGUGUCUUCUGCAAUAGGCAUUGAACUCUUUAGAAGUAUACUCACCUCCAUUAUCUGUGUAGAGAGACUUCAGCUUCUUUCCUGUUUCACGCUUUACCAUGGCAUGAAACAAUUUAAAUUAAUCCAAUACUUGGUCCUUCGUCUUCAAGAAAUAUACCCAUACCUUUCGACAAGCAUCAUCAAUGAAUGUUAAAAAAUAUUUGUUGCCGCCUAGUGAUUCAAUCUCUAAGGGACCACAAACAUCAUAGUGUACCAUAUUGAGCAACUCUAAUCGUCUUAUCAAAGAGAAAUUGAAGGAGAUUCUGUAUUGCUUACCAAAUAGACAAUGACUGCAAGGAUCAAGCACAGCUUCCUUGGCAACCGUAAUUAGCUCAUUCUUUGUCAAAGUGGACAAUCCUUUCUUACUCAUGUGACCAAGUCUCUGGUGCCACAAAUUUUGAGAUGCUUCAUGUCUACUAUGUUUAGGCUAUUCAUAUGCAUUUUCACAUGAGUCUUGUGUAAAGUGCUACAUAUAUGUCCUCGAGCGACAUCAUAGAACCUUUCAUCGUUUUCAUGUGUCAUUGCUAAAAUGAUUGACGUAGCCAUGUUUAUCAAGGGCUAUCCCCGAAAGUAGAUAUAGCCGAAGAUCAGGAACAUGUGAACAUCGUUUAGGGUUAUUUUACACCCGGAGGUUCAUUUGUAUCUAAACAUCACCAAUUUCUACGAUCUUAGAAGAACUAGUAUUUUCCAUCUUCACUAAACCAAAGUCGUCGGCUUUGUAUGUUGUGAAGAAAUCUUUGCUUGGAGGAUGCUAAUGUGUCUAUUACCCACUCAAUAUCUUGGUUUGAGACAUGAAGACAUGUCUCCUUAUGGAUGGAGCAGAUAGCUGCCUUCCUAGAAAUAGCUCUCAUUCCUUAUUCUUUAGUCACGAAUUGUUCUGGCCUUGCUCUCAUAGCAAUUUUUGAUAGCACUUCUUCAAGUGGCCCUCCAUACUACAAUAUUUGCACUUGCAAGUAGGCUUCCUUCCAUCUAUGGAUCUAUUUCUACUUUUGCUUCUACCUCUCCCCCUGCCUCGAACACCUCCUUACUAUCUUCUUCGGUUCUCUGUGACAAGGGCAUGUGACUGGUCUGUGUCGACAUCCUUUUUCCUGGCCUCUUCAUUAAAUAAGGCAUCCUUGACCAUAGACAUGGUAAGUUUGCCAUUAGGGGCUGAGUUGUUGAGAUAAUACUAGUGUCUCCCAACUAUCAGGAAAAGAACUUAAAAGUAAUAAGGCUUGCAUUUCAUCCCCGAGCGACAUCUCCAUAGAUGACAAUUGGUUUACCAAGCUCUAAAAUUCACUAGUGUGCUCAGCAACUGAAUUUCCACUUUUUAAUUUCAUCUUUACCAAAUGUCUCAUCAACAGGGCUUUGUUCCGAGCGGUCUUAGCUUGGUACAUGUCCUCCAGAAUCUUCUAGAGGGCAUAUACAUCUAUCUCCUUUGCCAUAAGAUGAAAGACACUAUGGUUAAUCUAUUGUCGAAUUUGAUCGAUAGAUUUCCUAUUUAGCUUCUUCCACUCUAUCUCCUUGGUAGGAUCAAGGUAUAUGCCUUUGGUUUCUAGGCGAUCAUACAAAUCCUUACAACUGAGGAUGUCUUCCAGCCGAGACCUCCACAGUGUAUAAUUGGUGGCGAUAAGCUUGAUCAUAGCUCCCGAUGAAGAUUCCUCCAUUGACAUCUUGGCUUACAAAUACUUUAUCAAAAUUGAAGCUAUAUCAAAAAACUAUUAGGGUCAAUUGAUAAACCUUGCUCUAAUACCACUUGUUGUGAUCCUCUAAUCACGAAAAAAGAAGAUAAAGGGGGAAAAACAAUUCGAUUUCUAUCUUGAAUAGAAUUUACAGUAGAGUAUUACCAACUCUUUUAAAAAAAGAAACUCUCAAAACUCCCUAAUCUCUCUUUUUUUCUCUCUUCUCCACACUCUAUUUUUUCUUCUUCUCAUGGGACAUCCUUUUCUUUGUGGUAGCAUAUAUUUAUAGAAAAUUUUUGGCUGCAAGAACUGCCUCAAUUUGUGGCCAAAAUUUCGCCAAUUAAAUGAUAAAUGGAAGUCAACAAUGGUGGUUGCCUUCAUGCAUGUGAAGGCUGGUUUUGAUAAGUUUUCUGGCAUGUUAAGAGACUUCUUUAUUAAGUAAAUAGUUGUGGUUGAAUUUCAAUAUCUUCAACUUGAAGAAACUGAAAAAAUGCGGCUGGACUUAUCAGGGUGGAGACUGCGGAGGUGGAGACAGUAAUAUCAUGCUUGGAUUAAAAAUACUUCAUAGAACAUUUAACCAGUGUAAAUAAGAAUGCAACCAACAUUCAAAAGGCAUGAAGUUGACCGGGAGGCAGGAAAAUGAGGCGGUUGGGGGGUGUAAAUUUCGAUUUUGUCCUAAGUUAUCUUAUAAAUAGGGAGUUGUCAUUAGACUUUUUGUUACCAUCGUAAAAGGGAGAAAUAGAGGUUAAAGUAGAUAAGUUAUGCGAUUUUCUCUUAUAAACAUUUUUCAUCUUAGUGAAUUAAUGCAUGGACGGAGGAGUACAUAGUCUCAUAUUAAAGUGAACUUUUUAUAAAUCUUUUAUCUCUUUGUUUCUUUCUACAAUUGAUUGUUUUCAGUGGAAUAGCAUUAUGAUUUCUAAUUCUCACCAAUUGAAAUGUUUAAAAUAAAUGAUUCCAGGGAACCAUUGAGAGGGAAGAUUUAUUAGUUAGCGAUGUUGAACAUAGCAUAGUGACAUAUGUUACAAUUCCAUUCCUGAGUGAAUGUAGAAAGCACAAGGAAGAAUGUAGCUAAGUAUUGUAGUCAUUAUAGUUCAAGCUACGUACGCUUGGCAUACAACCUACGGGUUUCUUAGCCGAGAGAAACAAAACAAAAGACUAUGAUGCAGGGUAAUUUAUUACUUUUAAAUGCCAGUUACUAACAUUUAUCUACAAGGUAGGUAACUUAGAUGACAUUUAGAUAUAAGCUUGGUGACUAAAAAUAUAAUUUCCCCAUUUCUUCUUCUGUGUAUUUAUAAACAGAAGCAACAUAUUCUUAAUGCAUUCAUAUCAAUUCUAGAUACCUGUGGAAAUUCAGAAGUAAGAAAGAAAGAGCAGAAAGAUGGAAGUGGUGCAAGUUCUUCAUAUGAACAAAGGAGAAGGGGAAACCAGCUAUGCCAAGGAUUCAAUUGUGCAGUUUCCGUUUCUUGCUAGUGCUCGAGUUGAGUUUUUGAGCCUAACCCUUGAUUUAAAAAUAAAAUAAAAUAAAGAAUAUUGAUUGGGCUUCUUUUACUAUCUAUAGCAAAGAAAAGUCCUUGUAUCAACUUGCAUCAUUGAAUGUAUUUAGUCAUAUUUAAUCUUCUAUUUGUUUUUCUUCAAGACUAACAUGUACAUAGUUUCUCAUAGACAAGUAACACAAAGACUUAAAACAGAUAAUUUUUAUUGACUGUGCUACCAUGCUGAAUUACUCAAGUGAAUUAAAUAAGCAGAACACCCAAGUAUGCCAUUUUCAUUUUUCUUAAUUUUACAACUUGAUAAGGUAAAACAAGUAAUCAUUAACUUCAGGUUCCACGAGUUUUGGAUUCAAACAUACUCAAACCUCUGAACAAAGGAAAUAUCUAUAUAUCAAAAACAAGUCCAAGAAGCGUACUAGAUGCAUAUCUAUCACAGUUUAAGAGAGAUUUCUCAUUAUUUCUGAAAUCGCGGACAGAAGAAAUGGUUGUUGAUGGACACAUGGUGUUGUCAUUCAUGGGCAGACUCUCUGCAGAUCCCUCAUCAGAAGAAAGUUGCAUGCGAUGGGAACGCCUAUCACAAGCUCUCAUGAGUAUGCUCUGAGAGGUAAAUUAUUAUUUGCUAAAUUAUUGGUGCACUUCUUUUAUCCCAUCUAUUGACAUGGUGCAACUUGGUUCGCAAUCUUCAGAUUUUGGCAACUAGAUCCCAACUUUUAAGUUUUAGAGUUCAUCGAUUUCAAGUAAACCAUUUUCUUUCAAUUGACCUUAAAAACUUUGAUUUUCAUUAAAAAGAUAUUUUACAUCUAUUUUUAAUUAAAAAAAUUAAGAGAAAGAAAUUCGGAACGUUGUCCCUUCACAUGACUCCACCAUCACCCUUUCUCCCCCAACCCCAAAACAACUUUUCUCAUUUAUGUUUCUUUUCUUUUUACUAACUAUUUAUUCAGGAAAAUUUAAAAUUUUAUUAAAAGAUUGACCUCAAAAUUAAUAAUUAAUUUUAAUCACAUUUUAUAGAUCUACAACUUUAUCAAACUUUCAAUCACACAUUUUAUUAUUUUAUCCGAACCUGCUAAUUUUUUUUUUAUCAAACUCCCUAAAAUUAUGUGUGUAUAUAUCGCUUACAUCGGAUUGUGUAAUCAAAUCAAAUUCUCUCGCAAUACAUAUCUCAAAGAAUCCAAUUCGUAAGGAUUAUUUCCCAACUAAUGAAGAUAUUUUAGUGGAAUUGCCACAUAUGAAACAGGGCAAUUUUGGAAAGAAAUAGCUCACUUGUUUCUCAAGAAGAAAUGAGAAAAUGAGAUGCUCAUUCUCAUUUAUUUUUUUGUUGAUCAUGUCCUUAUUUGUUCAAAGAAAUCCCUUAACAUCAAAUUUUUUUUUUUUUUAACAUAAAGCUAAUAUGAGAUACGAAAUACUGUGUUUUUACUAAAUUUCAAACGGUGAACACAAAUUUAAGUUGAUUCUACUUCACCUAUUCCUCAUAGAAAAAGUUGAUCAAAUGAAUGGUCCUUGUUGGGUUUUUUUAUACCCAAAAAUCCCAGGCAACAAUAUUAAACAGUGUCAGAUAAUAUUUCGUAGGCCGAGGCCGAUGAGUGAAAUAUUUAUCAACCAGUCAACUUAUAUACUCGACCCGAAAACAAUAUGGGCUAUUAGUUGCAACUUAAUUGAGUUUAAUGUUGCCUUGGUCCAAAUCCACUUAUAGGAGGGCUUCCUUGUGUCUUGGCCCAAUUGGUAAUAUACCUAAAAGUAUAUAUAUCUCAUUUAUCUUGCAAGAGCCGUGUGCUUUGCCCUAUUGGGUGAGAAGAGAGACUUUAGCUACCUCUUGCAAUCUUCUUUAAGUUCUUGCAUCUUCUUAUCUUCUCUUGGCAUUUGUGGCUUGCAAACACCAUCAUAUCAUUGUCCCUUUGUGGGUGAGAAAAAGGGGAAUGCAACCAUAAAUGGAUUGAGGCUGUGGGUUGGAGAUUUGAUUGAUUGGUUGAUGUAUAGAUUGGUAAGUUUGAUUUGAGCCAAGAAAAUCCACCAUUGAAGGUCGUUUAUUCAACAUUCCUUUUAGUAUGUGCGUUUGUAUGCAUGCAUGCAAGUCCUUAUGCUUGCACAAAAUUGGUGAUUUCAGGUUCUUGUUGAAGAGAAGACUGAUUCUUUCAAUGCACCCUAUUAUGCUCCAUCUGCUCAGGAAGUGAGAUCAGUCGUAGAAGAAGUUUCAUUCACCAUUAAUUGUCUUGAGGCCUUUGAGUUGGACUGGGAUGGGGGUGCUCCUAGCAAAAAUAAUUUCUAAAAAUACAUUGAUAUAAUUUAUCAAAGGGUCAGCAAGCGGCUAAAACAAUUAGGGCAGUGAUUGAAUCAGUGCUGGAAGUCCAUUUUGGAAGAGAAAUCAUGGAUGAAUUGUUUAAAAGAUAUGCUCAGGAGGUUGGUGAUUACUUUUCUAGAACUAGUGCAAAAUACAUUGACUUGGUAAUUUCAUUGACCAAAAAGGGUUAAUUGAAGUAAUCACUAAGGAAAUUAUGCAUAAUUUUACUAGUUCUACUGAUAAGUGGCAUGAACAUGUUCUUCGGUAUCUUCUCGAUACUCAUAUGAUUCGAAAAGUUCCUCGUUUUAAUUGAUUAUGCUUUCUCUAAUCUAGAAUGUUGAUGUAAUAUUUAUGACUAUAAUUAGUUUGCAACUUUCCCCAAAGAAUGAUAAUCUUGAUUUUCUAAUGUUUAUGAUGCAUGUUAUAAUGUGUUUUUCCUUCAACAAAUUAUUGGGUUUUUGAUAUUCAAUAAAUCUCGGGUUAUAAUGUUAACGUGGGUUAGUAUUAGGGAAAAUUACAUAAUUCCAGGUUUUUGAACAUCACAAUUCAAACAUCAGGGACCAAGAUUCAUAACUUAAAUAUCAGGUACUGAUAUAAUAAUCAAAUAUUAAAUAUUGAAAUUUAAUUCACAAACCCUAGUAUUUUCAUCCCUUUUGUUCUCUCGCUUCUCUCUCUCUCUCUCUCUCUCUCUCUAGCUAGCUUUAUUCCAUCCAAUCGCCAGUCACCACCCCUCUUCGGUGCGGUCUCCGUAGUGGCGGGUCGAGUGUGGUAGUGGUGGAGGCUACUUAUGGUGGUGGUCGGUGGAGGCUAUGGUUUCAGCUGGCAGCUUGUGGUGGUGUUGUUCGGUAGAGGCUGCUGUAGUUUUCAGCUUGCGGCGUCGGGGUGUGGUGGUGGCGGUUGUCGGUGGAGGUUGCUAUGAUUCUCAUCUAGUAGCAUCGGGGUAUAAGCGUUGUGCUGCCAAUUGCCAAAAUGUCGAUUGAAGGCACAACCGGCGCUUCGUGCAACUCCAACGUUGACGCCUCGCACGCGGAUCUGUAGUUUUGUCGAUAAACACGUGGGUGGUGUGUUUUGUGGUUUGGGGAUCUUUGUUAUGUCAUGGCCCCUGGGUGAUGUGUUUGGUGGUGGUUUUGUGGUGUGUUGUGGUGGUUGUUGUGUGGCUUGGUGAUGGCGGCGAACGGGGAUGGUGGUGGACUAGUAAAUUUGGCGGAGACGACGAGGUGGAGUUGGUGGGGGGUGUUGGGUUUGGAGUUUUUUGCUGGAUGGUGGUUGUGGUGUUGUGCAGUGUGGUGAUCUCCGUAUUGUUGGCGACGACGGUGUUGGUGGUGGAUCUGGCGGCGGUGAUGGUGUGGUUCAGACAACGAUAGUGGUUUUUUUUUUUUGUGCUGUGGUGGAAUUGAAUCAGGUGCGGUGUUGGGUGGUAUAGUGCAAUCGACGAUUGGAUGGUGGUGGUUUGUGAUCGAGAUUGGUGCUGGAUGGGAUCGGUGGAAGGGGUAACCAUAAAGUUUGGUCUGAGACCUUAAAAUUUGACGAUCUAUUACUAAAACAAUAAUCUGUGAACUCAAUGAUUUGGUUCGUGACCUUAAAAUUUGACAAUCUGUGACCUCAACGAUUUCGUCCGUGACCUUAAAAUUUGAUAAUCUGUGACUAAAAAAAUUUGUGACCUAUAAAAUUUUCGAUUUAUGACUUCGAAAUAAUCCAUGGCCAAUUAAUUUGAUGAUAUGUAACGGAUAAAUAAAUCUGUAAAAUUUGUGACCAUUAAUUGUUUAACUGUGAUUUUAAUAUAUUUAUUUAAUAAAUAAUUUUAAUUAAUUAAAUACAAACUUGAAUUUUGAAUUUUCAAACUUCUUACCUGGCUUUUGAAAUGGUGUAAAGAAUACACCUUAACUAAGAAUUUUUCCCUUAAUAUUAUUUUAUAGGUAUAGGCCAAUGAAUGAAAUAAAUCCAACAACCAAGUCCAUAAGCUAUACCUGGCCUAAUUGUGUUCCCUCUUGGAUGACUUCAAUCUUAGCAUAUUUACCUUUUUAAUGGUCAAACUUAAAGCCUAUACCUAGAGUAUAUAUGUCGCUAUAACCCUUGCCACUUUCUUGUGAUGUUUUGUGUGGUUUUGUGAGAAAAAUAAAGAAAUCCCAGCUACCAACCUCUAGAAGUGUUCAAAACGCUUGUUUACGUUGUGUAACUAGUGGUUCCUUCAUAGUACACCUUUGUAGUGUCUUCUCCUAGCCUUUGUGGCUAAAUAUCAUCAUCUUUUCUUGUCCUAAGAGUGAACUUAUUUUUGUUUUUGAAAGAAUAGAAAUUUUUAAAGAAAAUAUUUUACCAGUUCCAGUUAAGUUUUUUCGACUCGGUUGCUUGCUAAUAAAUUUUUAAAUAAAAUAUAAAUUUAAUUUUUCAACAAUAUUUGGUGUUAGGUGUUAGUAAAACCAUUCUAAACUUAAUAACAAUUUUGAUGUUGCAAUACAAUAUUAGAUAUCAGGAUGUCUAACGGAAUGUAUAAUGAGGCCUAAGAUCCGGUCAAAUGCGGUUUGUACUAAGGGUAAUGAUUAUCAGUUUCGAAUAUGAUGUCGACAAAAAAAUUGAGUACUUUGAUUGCUCUGAAUAUUAGUCGAUGCAAAGGACUCUAAACGCAACAAUAUGUGGCUAUAUAUUUUUCUCAAGUCCAAACUAGGUUCGACUUCCCACAAUGUGAGGAUACAAAUUUCGAAGUAUUUUCCUUCAAAAUGAUUAAUUUUCUCUUUCUUAAUCAAACUCAAGUGCGAAUUUUUUCAAGUGGGGAAGAUACGACAAUCCUGUCCAAGAGGAUAUGAAUUAUUUAUUGUCGUAAGAUUUUCUUUCUUGAUUAAUUAGUAAUUUUUCUUUCUGUUUAUUUCUUUUUGGUUUUUUAAUUCUACUUCUCUUUGAAUUUUAGUUUUCUUUUCUUUUAUGAUAUUGUUUCCUUACACCAUUAGGAUUAGGAGUUUAGUUAUUUCUUUGCCUUUAUGAGAAGGGUUUUAGCAUUAUUUUGUACUAACCAAUUCAUUAUAAUUAAAUUCUCAUAAAAUUUAGAAUUUUUCCAACAUUCUUCUUUCAAGAAUUUUAAUUUCUCUUCCACAACAAGUUUUGCAUAUUCAGGAGGUAGGCUUCAGGACACAUCAACUUUGAUAAGUUCGUUAUUUUCUUGAAUUCUAAAAUGGGACAAACUAAUAGAGUUUCAUUAAAAGGGUUGCGUAAUUCGAUGAACAUGACAAAUAUCUUGGUUUACUUUUGUUGGUUAGUCGAUCGAAGGGGAAAAAACCACUUUUGCAAGAAUGAACGAUAAACCCUAGAGUACGGUAAAGGUUGGAAUAGAGUUUUUGUUUUCAGCCAAGGGCAUGGAGAUUAUAGUAAAAGUUGUUUUACAAUUUUUGUCUAUCUGUGAGAUGAGCACUUAUAAGUGUUACAGUUAUCUUGGUCGUCAAAAAGGGACUUUGGGAGUACUUAUAUUAUUUCGAUAAUUAUUUAUGAUUAAUUUGGGAAAAACUUGGAUUGAAUAAGUUUGGAUAAAUUCGGUUUAAAGUUAUACAAAAUUGAGAAUUUGGGAACAAAAUAAUGAAGUAUUGAAGUUGAAGAUCCGUAAUGCAAAUAAAUGGACUUAGGAUGGACAAGAAAUUAAUGUAGAGGACCAAAGUGCACAAAACUGAAAGACAUGUGAACUUCGUUGUUUUCCUUAUUAUGCUCAAAUUAUACAAGGUACAUAUUUUAGGAUGUUAUGAAAAGAAAGAAAAGAGAAGAGAAAAUAAAAGUCAAAAGAUUUGUAUGUUUUAAUAAGAUCCAAAGCCAUAUAUUUAUGGGAAAGAAUAAGGGAUACAAUGUUGAUAAUUUUUAAGGUUGCAGGGGUACAAUUUUGUCAUUCACUAAUAAAAUUUAGAUAUACAACAUUCCUCCUUGAACAGCACAUUACAAAAUAUGUCUCAUUAAAACAUUAUUUGAUAAAAAUUAAAAGGAACAAAAAAAUAAACGAAAGAAAAAGAGUACAAUUAUUUUGGAAUAUUAAAAAUAAAUGCUGCCUCAUUAAAACCUUGCUAUAAAAACUAAGUGGGAUAAAGCCUAAACGACAGAGAAAAAGUACAACUACUCUCCCUGAUGUUGAUUACUGAAAAUUUUUGAGUCGAUUUUGUUUGAUAAAAGUCCAAAGGAACAAAAAAAUAAACGAAGGAAAAAUAGUAUAUUAUUUUGGAAUAUUAAAAAUAAAUGUUAGACUCAUUAAAACCUUGCUAGAAAAAACUCAGUGAGAUAAAGCUUAAGCAAAGGAAAAAAGAGUACAACUACUCUUCCUGAUAUUGAUCACUGAAAAUCUUUAAGUCGAUUUAUUUUAAUCUCAUAAACCAAUUUCUUUAAUGUAAAUAUCAGCAAUACUUUUGUAAGAUGGUCACAUUUUUACUUGAGUGAAUUUGUUAGACAUUGAUGGACCAUUCUUCUAAAACUCAUGUAUAUGUAAGAAUUUUAGAGAAAUAUGUUACGUCCUGUCACCUUUGAUAUAACUUCCAUUGAAUUGUGCAAUACAAGUAGCAUUGUCUUCGUACAAGAUUGUUAGAGUGUCUUUUGUUAAAAUUAAUCCGCAUGAUGCUUGGAUAUGAUAGGGCAUGCUCCUCAAAAUGAUUUGAGAAUGUCGCCAUCAAAUAUUAUUUCACAGAUUUUCAUGAUAUAGUUAUUCCUCCAUGUGUAAACACGUACCUUAUUUGUAAUUUAACUUAUGUGGAUCAAAGAGAUGUAUUUGCAUAUCCUAUUAAAGCAGAUCCCGACUUUUGAGAAUAUAAUAAUUCCAAAUAUAUAGUACCAUUUAGGUAACAAAACAUAUGUUUAAUACCAUUCCAAUGUCUUUGAGUUGGUGUAGAGCUCUAACUAGCAAUGGGAUUUAUAGAAAAAGCUAUGUCGGUUGAUAAGUGUGUUUUUGUACACUUAUUUAGAUCACAAACAUGACUUAAUUACGAGCAAAAUGUUUGAAUUGUGACUUAAUAUCGUUGAAUUCAUGCAAUGUAGGUGUUUUUAUGAAAAUAGUGGAAUUCAAAAGAAAAGAGCCGAAAAAAAUGACUAAAAUGGAGCAAAGUGAUAGUUUAAGGACUAAGGAUGCAAAUAUUCAAAAUUUGAACUCAAAGGCAAACCUGGAAUGCAAAUAUACUAAGUAUGAACUCGAAAGCGAUACAAGAUGAUUAGAAGAAGAAGGAAUUGCAAAGGGACUAAAAUGAAGAAAAAUGAAAGUUGAAGGACCAAAAUAGACAUUUUGCAUAGUUGGAAGCAUUAUGCGACUGCAUAGUGCUACCCUCUAUGCGGUCGCACAGAGGCCCCCCGAGAAUUUUUUCUCAAAUUUUUUUACUCUAUGUGACCGCAUAGAAAUAUACUAUGCGGUUGCAUAGAAGUUCUGGGGUCGAUUCUGUAGUUUUCUUAUACGACUGAAAUUAUUUUGGUAACCUAAUUUUCACGCAAUAUAAAUACCAAAAGAUGUCCAGAAAGAGGCAGGACGUAUUGGAGGCAAAAAAACACUUCUUGAAGAGGAUUUUGAGCGCAAGAACGAAGAUUUACACUAAGAGUUUCAAGAUUUCUCAAGAUUUCAUAAUCCGGUGGUGUCUUUUAUCCAAAAUAUGAUGUAUUCUUUUAUUUCAAUAAUGCUAGGCUAGAUUUUUAUGUGCUAAGAGAUCGAUGUACCAUAUAAUUUGAUCUUUAAUUUUCUAAUUUUGCAAUUUGACAUUAAGACAUAUUUCUAUUGUUUUGAAUGAUUUAUAUGCAAUUAUUGUUUCCGUAAUUAAGAGCCCGUAAUUGUGUGAGUUUGGGUGAUUUAUUCUUGUAUUUGAGAGAAUUGGAAUAUGUUCGAUCUAAUAUAAAUCAUCGUAGGAUCUGAUAAGGGAUAGAAAUAUAUUGCUAUGCCCUACGUGAAUCUUUAAGUGUUCAUAAAACUGCAUGCAUUUUUACAUAUGCACUUGUAAUAGAAAUAUAAGUCGGUGGUAUGUAGAAAUAAGUUCGAUACAUAUCGAGAGAGAGUAUUGGAUAGACUUAGGAACAUUGAUUUGUCACAAUUGAAGUGUGUUGUCACAUUAUGAAAUUAGAGUUUUAAAGUGAUAAUUGUAUAAAAAAUCGUGAUUCUAGUGUGUUUAAUUUCUAUUGAUUACAAAAAACAUGUGUUCUCAACAUUUGAUUUCAUUUUAGAGUGUUAAAAAUAUUAUUUUGCAUAUUUAAUUUAAUUCAAUCAUAAAAAUUGCAUAAUUAGGUUUUCUUUCCAAAAUUAGGGUUUUAAUUAGGUUCACAUUCACUUUAGUAAUUUAGUUUCGGUUAAGGUGACGAUAGGUAAAAUUGAACUAAUCAAUCUCUGUUGGACGAUAUUCGGACUCAUUUAAUUCACUUUAUUACUUGCUAACAAACCGUACACUUGCGAUAGUUUUAAAUCGAAAGAAAUAAUUUCGCGAACAAGCUUUCGGUGCCGUUGCCGAGGAUUGAGUUUAGUUUAAUUUUAUUUCUCGAGUCACUAAUUCGAAUUUCAAUUUUUAUUUUGCUAGUAUAAUUUUGUUUUUAUUUUUAUUUUAGGUUAUUAUCCUUUAUUUGUGUUUCAGUUAUUUAAAUUGUUUGAAUCUCAAUGCUCGUACUGAUUUUAUUUCUUAGAUUUGCAUGCCACGAUUAACUGGAGGAGAAUUGAAUCGAGCACACCUUCAUCGACUACAAAGAGAUCACCGAGAAGCAUAAGUACAAAUGGCAAACGAACUAAACAAUCACAUUAUUCAAGUUAAUGAAUGAGAGGCAAUGGACGAAUGAAAUGAGAUUUUGGGAGAUUUCUUGACUUCUCAAGUAAUUCAAAGUCAAUUCAGCAUAGUGUAUCUACCGUUUGGGCAGCCAAAUUUCCAGUUGACAACCAAUGUGAUACAGCCAAUGGAUGUGCAUGAUCUAUAUAAAAAUGUUUUAAAACUUUUUCUAUAUAUAGAUUGAUGAACAAAUAAUCCUUAUGAGAAAUGUUAAGAAAAUUUAAUUUUUCCUAAUUCUUUUAUCUCAAAUUCUUAUUUUAAAUAAUCUACAGUCUUAUUGAGCUCUUCAAGAAUAUCAAUUACAUUUAAAUCAUCAACAUAAACUGUCAUAAUUCUAAAUCCAAUAUUUGUUUUCUUUAUGAAACACAUGGGUAGAUAUCGUCAUUUUUAUAACCAUCCUUCAAAAAAUAUUCGCUAAAGAAAUUAUACCACAUUUUUAUAAUGAUCUUUGCAACUUAAUUGAGAACAUGGUUUUCAAGCAUGUAUUAUUUGUUCUAGGCACUUUAAGUUCUUCGGGGACUAUCAUAUAUAUGUCACUAUUAAGUGAUCCAUACAAAUAGACAAUUACUACAUCUAAAAGGCACAUAUCAAGCUUUUGUGACAAAGUGAAACUAAUUAAGAAUCAAAAAGUGAUAGUGUCCAUUAAAGAAGAAUAUGUUUUCUGAUAAUCAGUUUCAGAUCCUUGUGAGAAACCUUAAGCUACAAGUCAAGCUUUGUUUCUUACAAUUUCAUUCUUUUCAUUUUUCUUUCAUUAACUCUUUCCAAUUUGGCCAAUCAUUUUUAUUUUGAUAAUCUUUAGCAGACUAUGGUUCGAGAUCUUCAUUUUACAUAAUAUCAAGAACCACGUUAAAAAUAAAAAUACUGUCUAUAAAAACGUUAUUCCAUUCUCAUAAUUUAUGUAAUAACAUAUAACUUAUUGAAAUCUCAUUAUUUUAAGAUACUUGUGGUUCUUCAAUAAUCAUAUUUUCAAUAUUUGAUUUAUCAAUCUUUUAUAACGUUACUUGUUGAUUUUUCUCUUGUACUUUUCUUUUUCGAGAUACAAAAUCUUUUGAACCAACUGAUAAACCACGCUUCUGCCAUAUUUGAGAUUCAUUUGCUACAGCAAAUUAUUUUACAGAGACAUCAAUUUUCAAUGAAAAUGUUUUGUACUGGAAUAUAUAACUUUUGUCACUUUUCUCAUAUCAAUAAAUACAUUAGGUAGUUGAUUUACAACUUUUUGCAAAUGAAUAUUUUUUUUUUCAACUUUUUUCCUCAAGUUGAUUAUUGCAGGAUCAAAGUGAGAUAUAGUCAUUUUAUUCUAAUAAACUUUACCUUAUUUUUCAUAAUGUAAUUUUUCUCCUCAAAAAGUUGAAAAAAUUUAUUGUAUCAAAAUGAUAAUCUUCAAAACAUGUAGAAAAUAAGUCAUCCGUUAAAAGUCCAAGAUACCUAAUAGUAGACGGUGAAUCAAAAUCCACAUAAAUCCAAGUUUUCGUAUGGGACCUAUUUUAGUACAUUGUGGAGUGAAAUAGGGACUUGAAAAAUACAACCAAAAACUUGUAGAUGAUAAAUAGAAAUGCCAAUUGUAGAGGUGAAUAUUAAUAAUAAACAGCUGGUCUAAUAUGAACAUAUUACACAACAUGUAAUACGGCAUGACACCAAGUAGAAGCUGGAAGUUUUAUUUGUAAGUCUAAAAAUAAGUUAUAGACGUUUAAUAAAUGACUUCGUUAAAUCAUUUUGUGUAUGGACAUGUGCAACUAAAUAUUCGAUAAGAAUCCUAAUUGACAUACAAUAAUGAAAUGGUCCACAUGGUGGGUGUAUUGGCCUGCAUAUAUCUCCAUAAAUUAUUUUCAAUAAAAUUGAAAAUUCAAUAUUGACCUAUGUAGUCGAAUGUCUAAUGACUAAUUUGCCUUGUGAAUAAGCUACACAUAGAUAAUCAUUAGGUAAAAGAAUCUUCUAGCCCCUUAAAAGAUGUCCAUGUGAAUUGUUUGUUAUUCUAUGCAUUAUUAUAGCUCAUGGAUGUUCAAGUCAACCAUGACAAAUAAAACUUUUUGGGUUUACGAACUUCUGGUUUGUAACAAUAUUUGAUUCAACAAUUUUUAUUAAUGUAUAAUGCAUACCAGAUGGGAGUGCAUAAAGUUUUUCUUUUAUCUACUCUAGCUAAAUACAAAAGAAGUUAUACGAAGAUAUUCAACCUUAUUUUCUUGUAUCCUCUCAAUGUGAUAUCCAUUGCAUCAGAUAUAUUUAAAGUUAAGUAAAUUUCUUAUGAAUUUUCUAGAAUAAAGUUUAUCAUCAAUAUAUAAUUUCGUAUUGUUUGAUAAAAUAAUAUAAGCUAUUUCAGAGCCUUUAACGAGAUUCGAUGCACCUAAUAUCGUAUUAACAUUUUUUUCUGCUAAUGCUAAGUCUAAAAAUUAUUUUUUAUCUUGAGAAAUAGUAUGUACAGUUACACUAUCAAUCAAGCAAAUAUUUUGACAGUUCAUCAUAAAUCUUCACUAAACUUUGAAAAAUUAAACUUUCGUACUGAUAAUAUUUUUUGAAAAGAUAGAAAAGAGAAGAAAAAUUAGAAGAGAAUAGUUUUGUAUAUAUUUUAUUAAGAAUCAAAGCCUUAUAUGUAUAGAAAAAAAUUUGGGAUACAACGAUAAUAAUUUCUAGGGCUGUAGGGGUACAACUGUAAUUCACUAACAAACUUACAAUUUACAGCAUGGGAUUCUUUUUUAUAGUUAUUUUAGACUUCCAUUUAUGGGACACACUAUUGUAGAUAGAAAAACACGUAGAAAUUCAAUAUCAAAGACUAAAAAUCUAAGUUUUUCAGAAUUUUCACGAAUCCUAACAGAAUCCGUAACAAAAUCACUUUUCCACACACCGUUACUAAAUCACUAUCCCCAAAUCAUGAAGCCACUAUGACAAGUGCUAAAUCUCAAGUGUUUUGUAUCCAUUGAGCAAAAAUUUGGGGUUUGGAGAAGAAGAUUUUUUUGUGCGACUUCGAUUUUUUUCCUUAUAUCAAGAUCUUCAAACCAAGUGAUGAUUUUAUUUUAUUUUUUUCACUAUUAUGAAUACUUAAUUCAUUAUUUAGGGCAAAUUAUAUAAUCUAUGUAUGAUUUUUUUUUCAAUGUCAAGAUUCUAGUAGUUUAAUUUUCAUGUGGUACGGGGGUGGUACUAACUAAUCCUUCUUGUUCUAACUCUUAUCUCUCUCUGAUUUUUUGAUAUUAUGUAUGGGUUUUAGUGGUUUGUAAUAAUUGGCCACUAGCCCAAUAAUUUUGCUAAAAAAUCGAGAGGCAAGUUAUAGAUUAUGACCAUAUAGUUAAAUUUGGUAAUUUGGAUAAAAGUAUAGAGAUAAGUUUUUAUGGUUAUCGUGGUCGUUAAAUGGAUUCUUAGAAAGUGAACGCAUUAAUAAAAGCUUAUUUGACUUUUCAAAGAGAUAUGGUUAAUUGACUUAGUUAAAUAUUAUUAAUUCAAACUUGAGGGGGUAAAUUAAUUAGUUUAGAAGAUUAAACCAAAUACUACAAUAAGUAAUGAAUCUUAAUUGUGAAUUAAAGGUAAUUACUAAAUGAACUUGUAAGUUAUAACAUUCACAUUCAUAUUUUAAAAUCCUAAUUUGAUUUAGUUGUGUACUUUUAAAUAAAAUUUAGUAUAAUUAGAUAAUUUAAGUAAUUAAUUAAAGACUAUUACUCGUAUUUCUUCAACUCAAAGUUAAAAAUAAUAAGUUAGGAAUUAAAUAAUAGUAUUAAUUUGAAUGAUCAUUCAAACGCAUUGAUUCAUUAUAUAACUUGCUAUGAUAUCAUUCACUUACAACAACAACAAAAAAAACUAACAAGUUUCGGGGGCUGUUGUUGAAAACUAUUUAUAUUUAGUCUUGAUUUAAUUUAUUUCUAAAUAUUAUUGGAUUUCUUUUUAUUUUUAUUUUAGCCAAUUCACUUUUUUCUUUGUUUCAUUGGCAGUGAAAGAAAUGAAGCAAGAGACUGACAACAAUAUGCAUUGAUUGAUCCCAUCUUUGAUGACAGUGAUCAUAUGAUUGUAGGAGAUGUAUUUUUAAUGAAAUAAUUUAAUAAAAUGGAAUAUAAACUACUUGCUAAACUUGAUAAGCGUGAGUUGCUAACGAGAUUAUUUCCCCAUGUAAAAUUUAAUAGAGUCAAGAUAAUUUUCAGGAUGAUCCACAUGUAGAAUAUGAUGAUAGAGACAUGCUCGUGAAACAUGUCCUCUCCAUGUAAAAAAUAUAGAAGAAUUGAAUCCUAAAUAACUAUGGAUGAGCCAAAUAAGAUGGUUAUGGGGGAUUGCAUCGUCAAUCAACUCAAGGAGUUAACAACUAAAGAAGAAGAGCAAGUACGAAACCAAAAAUUAGGCAUAUCUGAGCCAAACAAAUCAAUGACAUUCAAUGAAGAUGCAAUUAGCACGCACUCAUUUAACUCCAUCGAUUUUGUGGUUAAGCUUAUAAGAUUCCCCCCUACUCUCACCUAAAAGUAUUGGUUGUUUAGCCACUUAUAUCCAAAAGGGUAAGACAAAGGCUUGAUGUAAGGAAUACUCCAUGCAUUUUUAUAGGCUAUAGAGAUGAGGAAUUUGGACAUAAAUUAUGGGACCCGAAGACAAAGGAGGUCAUUAGAAGUAGGAACAUAAUGUUUCAUGAAAAUCAGUCAGUAGAAGAUAUUGAAAAGUGUACAAUGUCUCCAAUCCUAAAUUCAGUGCCCAGGAUAUUUUUCUAAAUCUAGCACCAUAACAAUUUAACAUAGAUAAUGACGACGUGCAUAAUAAAAUGUCAGAAGUAGAGCAGGAGGCCAAAGAAGAGGAUAAUGAUCAGGGGAGUCACAACUCUCUCCAACAAAAGUUGUCAGCCCAUUACAUCAACCAGAUGAUGGUGCACCUCUUGAAACCAGCAAUGUACAAGUACAAAGAUCAGAAUGAAGACCAAUUCCAUCAACAAGAUAUUUAGAUUUUGAGUACAUUUUGCGUACUAAUGAAGAGCUAGAAUGCUUCCAGGAAGCACAAUCUCAUGUAGACACACAAGUAGAUACAAGCAACGCAGAAUGAGUUGGAGUCACUGUAGAAGAAUUAGACAUAUAAGUUGGUUGAGCUUUAGAAGGGAAAGAAGACGCUGGAGAAUAAAUGGAUUUUCAAGCUCAUGAAAGAUGGCAACAGAAAUGUGAUGAAACAUAAAGCCCAUCUAAUAAUCAAAGGAUUUCUACAGAAAAAGGGAAUUGAUUUUAAUGAAGUUUUUUCGCCUGUUCUAAAAAUGGCCUCAAUUCGUGCUAUAGUUGGAUUAGUAGCCAAUUUAAAUCUAAAACUUGAACAGAUGGAUGUUAAGACAACAUUUCUUCAUGGUGACUUAUUUGAAGAAAUUUAUAUAGAGCAACAAGAAGAUUUUGAAGUUUCAGAAAAGGAGAACUUCAUUCACAAUUUAAAUAAGAGCUUGUGAAGAAACAUUCUGUCAAACUACCAUAACUGUUCACAAUCUAAAGAUAAUAGCCAUUUGCUCUUAUAUAGAUGUAUCUUGUGCUUCAUCAACAAGAAUGCAAAAGCAUUCAUUCACAACUUCCACUCAAACCAUCCAUCGUACUCUUUUGGCCAAAGUGUGCAAAUUUUCUUUUUGAAAAGUUAAAGCAAUGUAUUUGACAAGGAAAAAUUGUCCAAUAAAAAAAAAUUCAACAAAACUUCAAAAAAUUUAGUAGAAUAAAAAAACUUAUCUAUAGCAAAUUAGCAAGCAAAUAAUUACCUGCUAAUUGAGUCUAUACCAAGAGUGAUGUAAAGUUAAGUAUGGUAUUCAAGCAGCAAGAAAUGAACAAUUAAGUUUGAAAUCUACAAAACGAGCAGAAUUUGUGUUAAAAAAUGUUUGAUCAAGUACAUUAACUCGGCGAAGUUGAACUUUAGAAGUAUUCUAUGAAUCUAUCAUUUUGUAAUAUAUUUUGCGUUUUAAAACCUUCAUGUAAACUAUAUUUUUUUUAUUAGACUAGUUGCACACACUUGGUGUACAUCAAGUUUGACUCUCCAAAUAUUGUCAAAAAUCUGUGACAUUAAUUAGUUGAAGUGUAGUGAAGAUCAACGUCUAAAAAAAUGCUACCUCAAAAGAAUCCCAAACUUAAUGUAAAACUCAGUGUACAUGUAGCUUGGUUUUUUUUUAUUUUUCAUUUUAUCUGCUAUUUUCAUAGCUCCACAUAAAACAAGUAAAUAAUAACUAAAUAUGUAACCAUAUGUAUAUGAUGAAAAUAAAUUCAAUGAAUGAGUUUCAAGCUCAACUUUUGUUACUUUUAAAACUGCAGAAUCAUAAGGCAGCUAAUUCUCUUUAAUUCAUGAGCAAUCAAUUUUCACACAUACACUAUAUUAGUUUUUAUAAAUUGAACUAUUUUGAAGAGCUUUAUUUUUUCUAUUUGGGUAUCCAUUGUCAAUCACCUAACUAAAUAGACUUCUACAUUUUCAUGACGUUAUCCUUCUUGCUGGCUCGUUUAAUUAAACUCGAAGGAGAUUGACCGAAGCCAAUGCUGAUGCCAUAGGCAAUGGCGGCAUUAUUUGAAAAGGAGUCGGUUCAUUCAUUCCUUACCAAAUAUUCAGGUUAAAUCGCAUUAGAACUCACAAUUUUUAUCAAUUUCGCAGACGAACAAGAAAUGAUGACACCAGUAAUAUAUUUAACAGAUAUUUUAGCCAUGAUUUGAAGCUCAUGAUGGCAAUUUUAUUCAUCCUCUUCCUAAUGCUCCAAGUCUAAAAUUUUUAAUUGUUCAACAAUAACUUUUAUUAGCUAACUUUUAUCAAACAUGUUUCCUUGUACUAUUCUUGAUAUGAUAUCAAAACUUAUUAAUCUUGAACAAGCAAGUUGAAAACAUUGUGAUUGAGCAUGUGGAUUUUGAAUUGAUGCCAUCUCACUGUAUCAUUGUAGUCACGUUUUAAAUGAAUUUCCAACUCUUAGUAUAUUUUAAUUUCUAAAUAAAAAUAAACAAAUCAAUUUUAUAAUAAAUGGAUCAUAGACCAAACAAAUUAUAUACAACAACAAAUAAAGGAUAAUAAAAGUACUGCAUAGAACAUGCGUUUGAAUUAUUUGACAGAUUUAGUUGACUUUGCAAUACUAUCCACCUUAAACUAAAAAUAUUUAAAAUUAAUUUUGCACCACAAUUUAGAAAUGCAUGUCGACACAUGUCUUGUGGGUUAUUUAUAUAUGGUCAUUAACAAAGUACUCGAAUUUCAUUUUCUCGCAAAUUGUUAACCAGGCAUUUAAAAAAAAAAUACAGUGUUUCUGUUAUCUAUUUCAACACAACAACAGAAGAUUGGGGAAAUAGAUAUAUAUGUAGAAUUAUUUAAAAAAUGCAGUCACUGAAUGAGAUUUUCCGAGACUUUUUGUCCCUCGAAUUUUCUUCAUCUGUCAUUAGAAAAUGGUAUUUAUCAGCAACCAAUCAAUGUACUCUGUGUAUUUUAAUAAAUAAGAAUGCAGAAUUAUUGAACUAAAUGUGAUCAACGUGAGAAAUUGGAAUUGAAAAAAAAAAAAAAAAGACUGUUUGUUUUUGUAACAACCGACUAACUGCCAUUAAAACACCCACUACUCAGUCAUUAAAAUUCUGCAUUAACAUGGUGAAGACUGUUACCACCAUCCUACCUAUAAUGUGAUCAACGUGAGAAAUUGGAAUUGAAAAAAAAAAAAAAAAAGUUUAUAUAUUAUUGUGGACUAGAACAUGACAGAAAGGAUGAAAGAUUUUAUGGCUUGAAUGAAAAUAUUCAUAGGACAUUUAAGAAUGCAAUCAAAAUUCAAAAGGCAAGAUUUUGACUUGGAGGCAGGAACACGAGGUGGUGGGGUGGGAGGCUGCGGAGGUGGAGAUAGUAACAUCAAGCCUGGAAUGAAAAUAUUUCAUACAACAUUUUAAAUUUCGAUUGUCCUAAUUUAUCUUAUGAUAGGGAGUUGUCAUUAAGCUUUUAUAUUACCAUCGUAAAAGAGAGAAAUAGAGUUUAAAGUAGAUAAGUUAUGCGAUUUUCUGUCAAAACUAUUUUAUAAUUAGUUGCCAUGUCUGCUGUAGAGAUAUCUGUUCCUAAGUAUUCUGAAAAACCUGAGUUGUUUGAUGGAAAGAAAGCCUGGAAUGAAAAUAUUUCAUACAACAUUUUAAAUUUCGAUUGUCCUAAUUUAUCUUAUGAUAGGGAGUUGUCAUUAAGCUUUUAUAUUACCAUCGUAAAAGAGAGAAAUAGAGUUUAAAGUAGAUAAGUUAUGCGAUUUUCUGUCAAAAACAUUUUUCAUCUUAGUGAAUUAAUGCAUGGACGGAAGAUUACAUAGUCUCAUAUUAAAGUGAACUUUUUAUAAACCUUUUGUCUCUUUAUUUCUUUCUACAAUUGACUAUUUGCAGUGGAAUAGCGUUAUGAUUUCUAAUUCUCUCCAUUUAAAACAUUUAAAAUAAAUGUUUCCGGGUGACCAUUGAGAGGGAAGAUUUAUUAGUUGGCGAGGUUGAAUAUAGCAUAGUGACAUAUGUUACAAUUCUGCUCCGAGUGAAUGUAGGAAGCGUAAGGAAGAAUGUAGCUAAGUAUUGUGGUCAUUAUAGUUCAAGCUACGUAGGCUUGGCAUACAACCUAGGGGUUCUUAGCCGAGAGAAACAAAACAAAGGGCUAUGAUGCGGGGUAAUUUAUUACUUUUAAAUGCCAGUGACUAACAUUUAUCUACAAGUUAGGUAACUUAGAUGACAUUUAGAUAUAAGCUUGGUGACUGAAAUUGUAAUUAUCCCAUUUCUUCUUGUGUGUACUUAUAAAUAGAAGUCUGAAGAUUGGGGAAAUAGAUAUAUAUGUAGAAUUAUUUAAAAAAAUGAAGUCACCGAACGAGUUUUUCCGAGACUUUUUGUCCUCUCGAAUUUUCUUCAUCUGUCAUUAGAAAAUGGUAUUUAUCAGCAACCAAUCAGUGUACUCUGUGUAUUUUAAUAAAUAAGAAAAUAUGCAGAAUUAUUGAACUAAAUGUGAUCGACGUGAGAAAUUGGAAUUGAAAAAAAAAAAAAAAGUUUAUAUAUUAUUGUGGACUAGAACAUGACAGAAAGGAUGAAAGAUUUUAUGGCUUGAAUGAAAAUAUUCAUAGGACAUUUAAGAAUGCAAUCAAAAUUCAAAAGGCAAGAUUUUGACUUGGAGGCAGGAACACGAGGUGGUGGGGUGGGAGGCUGCGGAGGUGGAGAUAGUAACAUCACGCCUGGAAUGAAAAUAUUUCAUACAACAUUUUAAAUUUCGAUUGUCCUAAUUUAUCUUAUGAUAGGGAGUUGUCAUUAAGUUUUUAUAUUACCAUCGUAAAAGAGAGAAAUAGAGGUUAAAGUAGAUAAGUUAUGCGAUUUUCUGUCAAAAACAUUUUUCAUCUUAGUGAAUUAAUGCAUGGACGGAAGAUUACAUAGUCUCAUAUUAAAGUGAACUUUUUAUAAACCUUUUGUCUCUUUAUUUCUUUCUACAAUUGACUAUUUGCAGUGGAAUAGCGUUAUGAUUUCUAAUUCUCUCCAUUUAAAACAUUUAAAAUAAAUGUUUCCGGGUGACCAUUGAGAGGGAAGAUUUAUUAGUUGGCGAGGUUGAAUAUAGCAUAGUGACAUAUGUUACAAUUCUGCUCCGAGUGAAUGUAGGAAGCGUAAGGAAGAAUGUAGCUAAGUAUUGUGGUCAUUAUAGUUCAAGCUACGUAGGCUUGGCAUACAACCUAGGGGUUCUUAGCCGAGAGAAACAAAACAAAGGGCUAUGAUGCGGGGUAAUUUAUUACUUUUAAAUGCCAGUGACUAACAUUUAUCUACAAGUUAGGUAACUUAGAUGACAUUUAGAUAUAAGCUUGGUGACUGAAAUUGUAAUUAUCCCAUUUCUUCUUGUGUGUACUUAUAAAUAGAAGCAAUAUAUUCUUAAUGCAUUCAUAUCAAUUCUAGCUGUGGAAAUUCAGAAGCAAGAAAAAAGAGCAGAAAGAUGGAAGUGGUGCAAGUUCUUCAUAUGAACAAAGGAGAAGGGGAAACCAGCUAUGCCAAGAAUUCAGUUGUGCAGGUUCCAUUUCUUGCUAACGUUCAGUUAUUAAUACUAGAAAAAUUCUAAAUUUAUAAUUACUACGAUUCUAGUGAGGCUGCAUGCACAAAAUCAUUUUUAACAUAAAUAUCUGUGAAUUUAUCUUUCGGACGUAAAUGUCAAACUUCAAAAUUUCUUAGUUUGCAAGUUAUUAACUGAUCAAUAUUAGUGAUACCAUCAAAAAGUCCUCAAAUGAAAUAUUCAUUUACAAAAAAAAAAAAAAAAGGGUGUAUAAUUUUAAACAAGUUUGUUAAACUUUUAGAUAAGUAUAACGAUCUGAGCUUUUAGAUUUGAGGAUGAACUUAAAAAGUUCUUCCUCUCUCUGUUGUUUAGCUUUCUGAUACUGUAUUUUGAAACAUUUCCAUGCAAUUGCAGAAGAAGAUAAUAUCAGUUGCAACUUCAAUAAUCAAGGAAGAAGUGCAAAAGUGUUUGGAAAAGAAUUACCCUGAUAGUAUGGGAAUUGCAGAUUUGGGAUGUUCAUCUGGACCUAACAGUCUAAUGGUAAUUUCUGAUCUAAUAGAUACAAUAUAUGCCACAAGUAAUCAAAAGGAAAUUCCAUUACCGGAGCUAAGGGUUUCAUUGAACGAUCUUCCCGGCAAUGAUUUCAAUAACAUAUUCAUCUCUUUGCCGGAGUUCUACAAUCAACUCAAAAUGGAGAAGAACAUUGGACCGGAAGGGUGCUUUAUUUCAGGUGUGCCUGGCUCUUUUUAUGGGAGGUUGUUUCCUAAAAAGAGUCUGCAUUUUGUUCACUCUUCUUCGAGUCUCCAUUGGCUUUCGCAGGUUAGUUUCAUUGCCUCGAACAACUUUCAUAAAUUGAUAGAGACGAGACAAAAACUCAUGACUUAUGUAUGCCGUGAUAUGACAAUCUCAUAUAAAAUCUCAUACACUAACAAGACACAUUUUUUUAAUUCAAAUUUGAUCUAAUGUUUGUCAAACACUUCAAAAGUAUGCCUAACUAUAUAAAACAAACCGUGUAUGAAGAGGAGCCUCAUGUUACUUGAAUUGGGCUCUCCAUCUGUCAGAAGUUUUAAUAGAUAAAGCGAUACGUUCCCCCCAGCUAGGUUAUUAUUUUGAGUAAAUAACAAUUUAUUUAAAUAAAUUGUAUGAAGAAUAGGCAUGUGAAUCAUAAUUUAAAAGUGUAAUUUCGUAUGGUUCUUGUGCAAUACUUGUCCUGGUUUACAUGUGCCCAAAAAAAAAAAAAAUGAAAUUUAGAUGUGACAUUAUAAUCAAACAAAACCACACAAGGAGAAAAACCAUUUGGUCCCCAUAAUCAAUACGAGGAAGAAGAAUAAUGAGUGGAAAGAAAAAGACAAUGGCGAUUGACAAUUUGUUUCUUCCUCUCAUUUAUUGUUCACAAUAAGAAAAAUAUCUACGAAAGCUAAUAUUAUUAAUAUUAUUUCAUUCUAAGAAUUGUAUGUCGAUAUAUCAUAUACACAUAUAGAUACGGAUAGGCUUGCAUACAUGAACAGGAUAAGACCUUGUAAAAAAUAAAACAUAGAAGAAUUAUUGAGAUAUUAAAGUUUUAGGAAUAAUUAAGAAUUGCCUAUAAUUUCUGUCUUGUUCUCCUUCCUAUGUUGUGUUAGCUACGAAAACCUACAUCCCGUCUCCAUCUUUAAUUGGUGGACCACUACACAUCGCUUGUACCUAUUUUGUAAAGAAAUAUCUAAGGCUUAACCGAAUAGUGCUUGAGUUGAAUUUUCGAGCCUAAUCCUUGAUUUAAAAAUAAAUAAAUAAAUAAAUAAAGAACCUUGAUUGGGCUUCUUUUACUAUCUAUAGCAACGAAAAGUUCUUGUAUCAACUUACAUUGAUGAAAAUAUUUAGUUAUAUUUAAUCUUCUGUUUGUUGUUCUUCAAGGCUAACACAGUUUCUCAUAGACCAGUGACACAGAGACUUAAAACGCAUAGUUUUUACCGACUCUGUUACCAUGCUGAAAUACUCAUGUGAAUUAAACAUCCAUAAGCAGAACACCCAACUAUGCCAUUUUCCAUUUUUCUUAAUUUUACAACUUAAUAAGGUAAAACACAUCAUCAUUAACUUCAGGUUCCACGAGUUUUGUAUGCAAACAUACUCAAACCUCUGAACAAAGGAAAGAUCUAUAUAUCAAAUUCAAGUCCAAGAAGCGUACUCGAUGCAUAUUUAUCACAGUUUAAGAGAGAUUUCUCAUUAUUCAUGAAAUCGCGAUCGGAAGAAAUGGUUGUUGAUGGACACAUGGUGUUGUCAUUCAUGGGCAGACUCUCUUCAGAUCCCUCAUCAGAAGAGAGUUGCAUGCAGUGGGAACUCCUAGCACAAGCUCUCAUGAGUAUGGCCUUAGAGGUAAAUUAUUAUUUGCUAAAUUAUUGGUGCAAUUUUUUUCCCCACCUAUUGACGUUGUGCAACUUGGUUCGCAAUCUUCGGAUUUUGGCAACUAGAUCCCAACUUUUAAAAGGGUGUUUGGAAGAUAUUUUUAUGUAAAAAUGCAUUUUUUGAAUAGUAAAUUGAUGAGAAAUGUAAGGUUGAAAAAUAAGGAAAAAAUUUUGAUUUACGUAUAAUAUUAUUUUAAUAAAGAAUGUGUAGUUGAAAAGAAGAGACAGAAAAAUUUUAAAAAAUGGGUACCAAACGGGGCCUAAGUUUUGGGGUUCAUCGAUUCCAAGUAAACCUUUUUUAUUCAAUUGACCUUAAAAACUUUGAUUUUCAUUAAAAAGAUAUUUUACAUCUAUUUUUAAUUAAAACAAAAAAAAUUUAAGAGAAAAAAAAAUUCGGAAUGUUGUCCCUUCCCAUGCACUCCACCAUCAACCUUUCUCCCCAAACCCCAAAACAACUUUUCUCAUUUAUGUUUCCUUUCUUUUUAUUAACUAUUUAUUUGGGAAAUUUUAAAAAAUAUUAAUAAAACUUUGAAGUCAAAGUCAAUAUUAAUUUUAAUCACACAUUUUAUAGAUCUACAACCUUAUCAAGUUUUCAAUCACACAUUUUAUUAUUUUAUCCAAACCCGCUAAUUUUUUUUUAUAAAAUCCACUAAAAUUAUGUGUUUAUAUAUCACUUACAUCGGAUUUGUGUAAUCAAAUCAAAUUCUCUCUCAAUACGUUUCUCAAAUAAUCCAAUUCAUGAGGAUUAUUUCCCAACUAAUGAAGAUAUCUUAGUGGAAUUGCCACAUAUGAAACUGGGCAAUUUUGCAAAGAAAUAGCUCACUUGUUUCUCAAUAUGAAAUGGGAAAAAAUGAUGCUCAUUCUCAUUUAUUUUAUUGUUGAUCAUGUCCUUAGUUGUUCGAAGAAAUCCCUUAACAUCAAUUUUUUUUUUUUUUUCACAAGCUGAUAUGAGAUACGAAAUACAGUGAUUUUACUAAAGUUCAAACAGUGAACCCAAUUUCAAGUAUUCUUCAUAGAAAAAGUUGAUCAAAUGAAUGGUACUUUUAGUAUGUGCGUUUAUAUGCCUGCAUGCAAAUCCUUAUGCUUACGCAAAAUUGGUGAUUUCAGGGUCUUAUUGAAGAAGAGAAGAUUGAUUCUUUCAAUGCACCCUAUUAUGCUCCAUCUAUUCAGGAAGUAAGAUCUGUAGUAGAAGAAGAAGGUUCAUUCACCAUUAAUUGUCUUGAGGCAUUCGAGAUUGAAUGGGAUGGGGAUGCUCCAAGCAAUAAUAAUUUCCAAAAAUACACUGAUAAAAUCGGGAAAAAUAACUUUUCAAGGGGACUGCAAGUGGCUAAAACAAUUAGGGCUGUGGUUGAAUCAAUGCUGGAAGUCCAUUUUGGAAGAGAAAUCAUGGAUGAAUUGUUUAAAAGAUAUGCUGAGCUGGUUGGUGAUUAUUUUUCCAGAACUAGGGCAAAAUACAUUGACUUGGUAAUUUCUUUGACCAAAAAGGGUUAAUUGAUGUAAUAACUAAGGAAAUUAUUCAUAAUGUUUACUCGUUUUACUGAAUAAUGUUCUUGAUUUAUCCGUUAUAAGUGGGAUGACCAUGUUCUUCGGUAUCCUCGUGGAUACUCGUAUAAUUUGAAAAGUUCUAAUCUAGAAUGCUGGUGUAAUAUUUAUGACUAUAAUUAGUUUGCAAAUUUCCCCA